Molecule: long non-coding RNA, 150947 nt
Filed under: Triticum aestivum (bread wheat)
Lineage: Eukaryota; Viridiplantae; Streptophyta; Magnoliopsida; Poales; Poaceae
Description: long non-coding RNA (TAES_LNC023363)
Source: RNAcentral
CUUCUGGGACGGCACAAUCCAUCCCCGGCGAGCACCUCCCAGGAGCAUGAAUCCCCUCUCCAUAGGAGAAACAACAAUAUGUAUGUGGCUCGUUAAAGGUGAACCAGUUCUUCACCCUGUCACCGAAGUUCUUAAAGCACACCUCGGCGAAUUGUUUGUAAUCAUCUCUGGAAAAAAAAUCAAACCCGAAGGAUGUUCAACAAAAUUGUUUCUUAGCUUAACAAUAAGUAGUUAUGUUAGUUUACUGAUGCAUCAUUGAAUGACAGUACAACAUUGUUUGUGAUCUGAAAAGAAACGUUUUUCUACUCAUGGUCCACUAAUGGCCUUCAUCCAAACCAAAUAGUGUAUAAGCAAAAUCAUAUAUAAAGUAAUCUUGUUCAAAUCGAAUUUAACAAUAUUAUAGUUCGUAGUUUUUGUACAUAUCGUGAUUGCAAUUACUGAUCUUUCUUCAGAACCAUUUUCUUACAAAUCAAUGUACUGUUGUUUGCCGCAUACUUACACAAUCUGCCUAUUUAAGAAGCCGCCGUACUUGUCUUCCAGUGCUUGAGGGGUGUCCCAGUGCCAAAUUGUAACAUAUGGCACUAUGUCUGAGUUUCAAAAAACAAAUAAUUAUUUGUGCGAGCUCUUAUGAGUCUGACUCAUUAAGCACUAAUCAAACAAAGAAAAAAAGGGUUUUCACCGUUAUCUAUCAGCGAGUUGAUCAGCUUAUUGUAGUAGUCGAUGCCUGCCUGGUUUACUUUUCCCGUCCCAUCUGAAAGCCAUAGUAAACAUGUGCUGAAAUUAGGACCCAAAUAUUACAACAAGUCUUAUCGGCUGCGUCUAAUUUGUAGAGGACAUCUUUAUUGUUCCUAACUUAUUCACCAUACAAAAUAUACAUGGUUAUUUUGUAUUUACCUGGCAGUAUUCUCGACCAAGAGAUGGAGAACCUAUACACUUUCAUGCCCAUGUCCUUGAGCGCUUUGACAUCCUCCUGUCAGUCAUAAAUGAUGACAUGAAUAAUGAUGACAACAUAUUAUCAUGCAUAUUUCUAUUUUUAUUAGAAGUGCAUAUUCCAAAUGGUUUUUCAAAAAAAAAAUGCAACGACAUAAAAACAGUCCUGUCAUAAUUGAGAUUUGUUAGAUUUUUGUUUGGAAAAACCAUUGGUCCCGUCAGAGUACUUACUUCAUAUAGAUGGUAGGAGUUUGCUGCAACAUCCCCAUUGGUCAUGUCGGAUAUGCGCUCUGUUCGUAUAUAUACACAUGAAAUUAAGGAGAAGGACGCACGAUAGACUAAUAUGAGUAUGUUUGUAAUAACACUGAAAAGGUAUAUGUUACCAGGAUAUGUGUGGCAGAAGUGGUCCCAAGUGCUUGGCCCCUUGCCAUCUUCAUUCCAAGCACCUUCAAUCUACACGGAUGACGACAUAUAUAACAUUUUGUGCAAUCGAACAAACCACUAAACAUGCAUUUUGACAUCAUGUUUUCCCUUAGGUAUUUGUUAUCAUUGAAACAGUUGACACCAUUAUUUUAUUUUAAAUUAACAGAUAUAAGGUUGUGCAAGAAAAUAAUUAGUACCUGGUACGCUGAAGUGGAGGCACCAAAUAGGAAGUCCUUGUCGAACCAGUCCCUUUUAGGGAUUUGCCACGGCUUGAGCUUAGUGAACACAGGCCCAAUGGGCUCUGCUGGCUUUGACGGUGUGCCUGCCCUGAUGGUGAGGUUACAGAACCUUCCCUUGCUCUUCUGUGAUGAAGCAGUAGACCGGAGCCAUAGGUUCUCACUGUUGCGUCCUGCACGGCUUCUAAGGCUAAGGUGGGUGGUGGGAUUCAGGGUAGCAGCAGCAAGUAGAGCCAUCUCUUGCUAGCAGCUGGCUGGAGUGUUGUGAGCAGCUUGAGGAGUGAGUUCCCUUGCAGGCUUAUGCAUCUAUUUAUAGAUGAGGAUGGAGAAUCUGUCAAGUGGGCGUGGUGGUGGGAUGAUAAUGAAGCUGCGGCUGGAACCCUAGCUAAGACACAAGGCAGUUGGCUAACCUGGUGGGAGCUCUUUGUAACUUACCACUGGGCAUUCCUGCAGCCCACCCCCAAAAAAUAUGGCAGAGGAACAUAUCCUUCUGCUGGGUCAAAUGCAACAAAAAAAAUGUGUUUUGUACAUUAACUAAAGAGAACAGUGAAAAGUUGUGCCUGUAGACAUUCGAAUGGCACACAUAUAAACUUGAACACACAAAGUUAAAGAGAAAUUGCCAAACUGUUUUCUUUAAAUAUCAAUCUCUCUACCCCAAUAGACAUGUUGAAACUCUUCUUAUCUUAAGCUAAUUAACAGUAGUGUCAAAUCUUUACCCCCACGUAGUGCCUGUAAAAUUUUUUUCUUCGAAAAGGGACACUUUAUUACUUAAAAGGUUUAUAAGCAUUACACCCAGCCUCUGCAUAACUAAGAUGCACACAGCCAACAAAGUCCUCACGACAAGCCAAAAUAAAAGAAGAAGGUGAAAUAGAAAGAAGAAUAUUUGUAUAACACCUAAAUCGUAGGUGGCCCAAUUCUAAGAUCAUGCUGCCACCCAUGUUGGGUGAAUGUAUCCCUCGCCGUAGCCCCCAAUCGUGUACACACCACCGUAAACAGGUCUCGAUUCUCCACUCGCUAUAGAGAGGACCAUAAACGAAGCAUCUCGGUACAUCUGUAGGUAACUUGCAUAAGAGAAGUACUUUUAUCGUUAAAAACCUUAUCAUUUCUACAUAACCAAAGCGACCAAAUCACAGGAAGCGCUCCCACCCUAAGAAGAAUUCUAAACUUGUGAUCAAUACCAUGCAACCAGUUGCCAAAUAUAUUAGCAACACUACAAGGAGGAUACAAGCUAGAAGCUAUUUGGAUGACUGACCAUAUAGAACGAUCCAAUUUACAUUGAAAGAAUAAAUGCUUUAUUGUCUAAUCAUGCGAACAAAUGUUUUCUUGUAGUGCCUCUAAUAUGUCCGGAAACAAUUUUCUACACACAUUCUUGUGGGGCGGCUGCCUUAUGUUAGGCAUUGUUGCCCACUAGGAAUGAUGUGGUUCUUAACAAUAAUUGUGUUUUGUUUCAUACCUUAUGAAGGUUAUUCAUGCAUGUACGCGAUGACCCCAUACUUGGUCUAUCCUGCACAGCCCGGAGGACUGAGACCUUUCUAUGAUGGUGUCUACCCGACUGGAGCAUACGGUCAAGGAGGUUUUCUCCCUUCAUGAUGGCGGUGUAAUCUCCAGAUAUGAUCCACCCCACCUUAGGUUGGACUCUUUAUUAUUUUCGUAAAAAGGCAUUUUAUUUUUGGUUGUGUUGGACGUGUUGGCUGCGUGCAUCGUGCUAUGUAGAGGACGCUUUUUAAUGUGGUUGUAUCACCUUGAUAUAUCAAUUAAAUGAAAUGUCCUUUAUAGAAAAAUAACAGUAGACAAAAAGCAUGACUUGACUCUACUUCCUAUAGAAAGUACAAAAUAUAUAUGUUCACCUAGAGGACCUCGACACUAUAUGUUGCAAGUAUUUCAGAAACUUGUUGUUCACAACUUUUAUUGCAUCACUCCAGUUAGCUUAACUUAGCGGCGUGGCCCGAUGCUAGCUCUGCCCCUGAUCAGAUCUAUUGUCUUUCCUAAAGAAAUACCCACCCUUUUCACUUCAAAAUCUUACAUUCUUAAGAAAUUGCUCCCCACUUCUACCAAUUCUCUCAACAUGCACGCUGUCCAUGUCAGCUUCAUGCCAUGUCACCAAUUUCCACAACGGCAUGCAUUUUGUUUGCAGCCGUUAAGACAUGCAACCUUCCAGCUCAGCUUCCUUUACUUCGGUCUAUGGUCUGGGCCGCAAUAUCUUCCACGCAAAUGAUGCAAAAAGAAACGGAUGGUUCUUAAUAUCCCCACUAUCUCACGGCCCUUCAACUUUUCCAUGUACGUUUAAGAAAGAAAAAAACUUCUCCAUGUAAAGAGCAACCCAAGAGGCGUUGAGAAAUUAUUUUCACCUUUAAAUACCUCAUUAGACCACAGAUGUUGCAUGCCCGUCGUCCCCAUUCUUCUCACACAACGUCUUCCUAGAUAGCAACGAUUCAUUGUUGAGGUCGGUUUCUCCAUAAAAGACUGGAGAUGAUGGAGACGGAGACACCAACGAGGGAGUGAGGCAUUGCAUGCAUGUCUUCCACCAUACCGGCCAAGUUGGAUGGCCGGACGCGGAGACGCGGCUGCCACUACUGAUUAUGUUGCCGAUGCCAUGAAGCGUGGGGUGAAACCAUGAAGCGCUCAAUCUAGGCCAUCCGCCCCGCCUUCUACCGAAGCGUCAUAUGCAACACAACAGGUCGCUCACACAUGACUCCCUCAUCACUUAAUUUCUUUCCUUCAAGUACCUGUCUGAUUUCUAUCCCCUACACGAGCAGGUCACCAUGCUGCCACAGACCGUUACGAUGCCAGUUGGCCUUCACAUCCGCUGCGUGGGCUGCACAUCCAGUUGCUGUGGGGAGAAAGAGCCUACAAGUCUUUAUACUAUUUUCAACACAAACGUCAGAAUUUUGUUUGCAACCUGGAUGCUAGAUAGUAGAUGUACUUGCAGCACUAUAUAGAAGUUGAGUGUAGUCACGUUCCAAGAAAUAUUAAAGCAAGGAAUUCAUUCAAGGUGCGGGCAGAGCAAAUUCAUGCCGUGAUGGUCAUGUUGUUUCCUUUAUUUCCCUUCUCUGAUUAGUAAUACAUUUUAUUUACAUAAAUUAUGUGCUAAUAUUUUUACAUUAGCAGAACAUCAGUUUGAAUUGCUUUCGUUGCCAUUGAGAUGAACAAAAUACUUUUGAUGAUCCAAUGAAUACGAAGAUCAUGUACAAGUUUGGUCACAAGCUUAUCAUACAGAGAAAGAUGGUUUCAGAGUUAGAUUAUAUAUGCACCAUCUUCUCCAGUUGUCUUUAUCAAUGAAUAUAAAGAUCAUGUACAAGUUUGGUCACAAGCUUAUCAUACAGAGAAAGAUGGUUUCAGAGUUAGAUUAUAUAUGCACCAUCUUCUCCAGNNNNNNNNNNNNNNNNNNNNNNNNNNNNNNNNNNNNNNNNNNNNNNNNNNNNNNNNNNNNNNNNNNNNNNNNNNNNNNNNNNNNNNNUGUCUUUAUCAAUGAAUACAAAGAUCAUGUACAAGUUUGGUCACAAGCUUAUCAUACAGAGAAAGAUGGUUUCAGAGUUAGAUUAUAUAUGCACCAUCUUCUCCAGUUGUCUUUAUCAAUGAAUACAAAGAUCAUGUACAAGUUUAGUCACAAGCUUAUCAUACAGAGAAAGAUGGUUUCAGAGGUUGAUUAUAUAUGCACCAUCUUCUCCAGUUGUCUUUAUUUUUUUUCUUUUCUUAUUAAAGUGCCCUUCUACUUUGACCUCUUUGUCACACUAGCAUCCCGCUGCAACGCGCGGGGUAUUGUCUAGUUAUCUAAACUAAGUCACCCUUAAGCAUAUACAUAUAUCCCACCAUAACACCCUAUAGAAGAAAGAAACCCCCUAAAUCCUCAUCUAAAUCACCUACCUACUACAUGAUCAGAAUAGUCUAGCCCCCUAAAUUUGCAUCUAAAUCACGUACCCAUCUCUGUGAGGAAUAUGCCGACGAUGCUAACGAAUCAAGGAUUUACCGUGUUCUGUGGUGACAUGCAUGGAUCCGAACACAGUGGCCCUUUUAACCUUCUUGCUACUCACAGUUCGUGGUUCUUGCAUUUGUCAGUACAGUCCACACAUCCAGUGUGUGGUUGUCUGUCAUCACAUGCAUGUGGGGGAUGUAGGAUUCUCGCCGCGUUUCUCAGCGGCGUCAGUUGAGAUCAAGACAAGGCGAUCUUACACUGUCCCUAUAAAAAAGUUUAUCUUGCACAUCAGUUGGUACCAUAUCUCUAUAAGUUAAACGUACCUUGCUUGAUUGAUUGUACGUAAUAUAUUGCAUCGCAUAGCGUACAGCUAGCGUAUCGCAUAUUGAUGUCACCGGCAAGUUCUUGAAUCUAAGGGUAUUAAUCUACAUAUUGAUGUCACCGGCAUGUUGUCAGUCCAGCUAGCGUAUCGCAUCGCAUCGCUAAACGAACCUUGCUUGAUUGAUUGUACGUAAUAUAUUGCUGCUUGAUUCACAAUAACACAUACAGUAGUACGAACACCGUCCUGAUUUAUUACCCCUCUUCGUAUUUAGAGUCAUAUUUUGACCAUACUUAUAACCAAUAAAAUAUAAGUUAUAUAUAGCAAAAAUAAUAUUAUCAAAAAAUAUCUUAAAAUGCGAAUCCAACGGUAUUAUUUUUAGUGACAUGCAUUAAUAUUUAUAAGUUAAAUUUAUGCUUAAAAUUUGACACAAAAUAUGAAGAGGCUAAUAAAUCAAGACCAAGAUAGUGCUACUACUCCCUCCGUUUUUAUUUACUUCGCAUAUUAGCUUUGGUCAAAGUCAAACUUUGUAAACUUUGACAAAGUUUAUACACAAAAGUAUUAAUAUAAACAAUAACAAAUCAAUACCCUUAGAUUCAUUAUUGAAUAUACUUUCACAUCAUAUAGAUUUGUUAUUAUAAAUGUUCAUAUUCUUUUAUAUAAACUUGGUCACACUUUGUGAAGUUUGAUUUUAGUCAAAUCUAAUAUGCAGAGUAAAAAACGGAGGGAGUAUGUCUUUGUUAGUGGUGAGGAUCAAUGCGCCACGUCAGUAUCACAUGGCUAGGAAAGAAGAAUCUGCCAUGUCACUAAUAUUGUUUGGCCUGAUCACAGCAGGGCAGAUGUGCUAUAUUAAUUGUGCUACUAAUGAAUUUGUUCGCUCUAGUGGGAGUCUCCGCAAAUUACGCUGUGGUUAGGCUAGUUGUCAUGGAGAGUAUCGUAGUAUCAUACAUAUAAUACUAGUGUAUAAUAGUACCUUCCUAAUGUAUAGUAUCAUAUAUUAGUAUCAUGUAGUACUUUAUUUAUUGCCAUGCAUGAUACGUAGUAGCAUAGCAUUUAUUAUGAUAUGGUAUCAUGAUAUGAUACUCAACCGUCUCUUUCUUCAUUUAAUUUCAUGACACCUCAUCAAAAUUGCCUAGUUGGCAUGCAUGAUACUUCCAUUACGACCAGCCUUAGCUCGGUUUUUACAGCGGAAGCGAUUACUCCCUACUGUAGACACCACAUUUUGCCACGACAAAAACUUCUAUAAGAUGAACUCAAAUGGGAAAGUGUACAAUAUCAAAAAUCAUCAUGUGUUUGAGAUGAACAAUUUUGAUGUUUGGUUCAUGGCCCUCCGGUCUCAUCUCAAGGGCCAAAGUUGUGAUCAAAGUAAUAAUAUUUGGUAUUCAGAGUACUGUUCGGUCAAAUAUGCCUCCAAGCUAGCUCAUAUGAAAAAAGUGCUCUAUACAGAUUGUUUUUGCCUCAUCAAGUCGAUCGAUUUUGAUAUUUGGAUCAUCUUAAUCCGAGAUCAUACGCAAAAGUUAGAGCCAGCGCAGUGCGCCCCUACCAUGAGCAUUAAGUGACGUCCAGCACCCGACACUCAUAUGACUAUGUCUGAUCGAUAGUACGAGUUAUUGCCUGUUUUGCACUAGUUAUUCGGUGCUCAAUAUGAUCUCGAAUAAAAAAUGUCCAAGACAAAAGUUGCCUCAAAAGUGGCCCGCAAGAUGCAGCCAGGUUUUAAACCGAACAAUUUUGAAAAGUUUGAACCAUACAUCGCAGGAAACAUGUAAGUGCUAAGAUACAUUUGGUUCCAAUGCGGUUAAUCCGGGACCAUCUGCAUUGGGCACGCAGGAACACAUGUCAAGUGCUAAUAUACAAGUACGGUGGGCACACGAAAGUGCGGUGCAUUGUCGCCACUGAUACAGAGACGUGCUAGCGUGGAUCACGCAGCAAUAAUGUACUCCUCCCAUCCAGCCAACUACCGUCGUUAGCGAUGAAGAUAAGGAGGGUACCUGCAGUGGAAGAUCCUUUAUGUCAACGGUCAUGUGAUGUGAUGUGUGUUCUGCCUGCCUGGCAAAAUUAUAGUAAACGAGAGACAUUAAUGUUUAUUUGCUAAUUAAUAGUAUUGCAUGCAAUGAACUAACCACUGUAUGUCGUGUUUGAUAGUCUCAAGUCAUUAAAAGCAUGCACACCCUCAUCUUUUAUUGGUUGAUAUGUCAAGAAACAAGAACGAGGUAGAAGUUAAUGCACCGCGCCUAAGUGUUUUGUGAUUAUUUGGUUUUUGUAAGAUGAUUUACACACCUAGACGGAGGGAGUAUCUGUUCAAGCCUACUACCGUCAAUGGAAGAUCCUUUAUGUUUCCCAUGCAUGCAGAUCCAGAACAACCCGACUGCAUGCCCAAUCCGCUGCACCUUGUUGACCCCCAAAUCCUCGCCGCAUUCUGUAAAUAUCGCAGGAACUCCACUGCAUGCCCUCAUCACCCAUAGAAUCUCGAUAGACUAUUUUUUCCUCCUUCGAAUAAUGGAUGUGAUUUCCUUUUCGGGUUAGAAAGAGGGUGCGAUUAUUGCACACGUCCUUUUAUUAUUGCAAAGUUUAUUAAAACCCAACAUCUCACACGGUGGUACAGAUGGCCACAAGGCUACGGUCGACAAGGCUAAAACAGCCAAAACGAAAUAAGAUCGUAUGGUGACGAGUGGCCACUGAUGCAGACCUGCUAGUGUGUGGAUCAGGCAGCAAUAUAUCACCAUCAGCCAAGCUUACGUCCAUGACCAAAGUUUUCAAUCAGUCAAAUAUAUUGUCUUAUGAGAGCAUCUAGGACCGGACCUCUCAAACCCGCCACAUACAUUCAGGCGGGCUGCCCGGUCACUGCUCGGUCACGGUUUUUUGUCCAGACGGGUCUCUCAAACGCCCGGACUGACCGGCACUUCCCAUAUCCAACCCAAAUAUGGGGCGGAUAUAUGGGAGCCCGCGCACACCCGGACACGCCCGUCACGGCGGUCUGACGGCAUGGCCCCACAUGGAAACGUCCGGCAGCCCGGCGGUCCGACAGGUGCUGCCUCCGUCGCCGCGGUGUGAACGUCGCAUGAUUCCGCUCCGGCUUGCCGCCCAAGACGAAAUCGGGUUAUUUUCGCCGACCGGCGUCCCACAGCCCUAACCCACCCCCACCCCCCUCUCUGCGCCGCCGGUCUGAACCCAUCCACCUCCUCCCUCUCUGGCUCCGGCGCUCUGCCCACACUCCCGCACUCUGCCAUGGCGAGAGCAAGAUCACCUAUUAUGUCAUGCUGACGUCGGAGCGCCGCUACGAGAUCCAGUAGCGGAUCCGGAGUCGGACGCACUCUUUGUCGAGCUCGACAUGAACAUAGAGGCGGAGGAAGCCGGAGCGGAGCAGCUGGAGGCGCAGGAGGAGUCGGAGCUGCAGCUGCCGCCCAUGCUUCCGGAGCCGAGAACGGAGAUCGCCGUGAUCUCUGACGAGGAGUAGGUAGGAUCAACGUAGUGCAUAGGUUUAUUUUAGUUUGCAUGUCUUUGUAUGGAUUUAAGAAUCUGGUAGAAGAUGUCCGGAUGUAACAAGUGAAAUUUAGGGUGUGUCUGGUCACUGAGAAUGACGCGUCCGUGGGCAUUUAAGGGGCUGGAUGUGCCAUAUGUGUCUCUAGAUGCUCUGAUCAAAUGUUGAUUUAAAAUACGAGGGGCACAAUAAACCAAGAUGGAGGAAGUAUGUGUCAGUGUGGAGUAGCAUACAGCCAUAUAUGUUUAUGGAUGUGAAACACUAGCUGGACCGACUACAUACCGGUGUCAUCAAUGCAUGUGACUGACAACCACUCGGUGCCAUCAUUCACUUUGGUACUUGUUGUGAUUAAUUAGCAUAUAUUAAUUAGAGGAAAAUCUCCUCUUGUCUAAUAGUGCGUGCGGUUCUCUAUAGCAACCGACGCGUCUCCUUUUCUCAACCGUCAUGACUUCUAACCUAUGACGGUUCAUGUAAAGACGUCUCCUACUUGCGUCCCUUGUACGCAUAUAAAUAGCUACUCUAUCAAUACAAAGAUCAGUCGAUCAUUUUUCAUUCAAACAGUACUGUUAUCGACAUGGUCAUGCCAGCACCUGUAUAGGAGUGGUGACCGCGGCACAUCGCACGACUCGUUCACACAGAGUUUAUUUUUUUUUAGCCUGUUUCAAGUGCUUUGUAUUCUUUGGUGAACUUUUGGAAUUUACUUGAUUCUUUUUCAGAAGAACAAAAGAAAAAGGAACACGCAGUUUGAAUCCAUUGGGCCUGGAGGGAACGUGGCGAAUGUCUCCUGGCCAAGAUACAAGCGCCGUGGGCACGGUGCAAGGGCGACGUGGCAGUUUGGACGCCGAUGCGGCGCAUUGUCGCCACCAAUACGGACGGCCUGGCGUGGAUCACGCACCAAUUUAGAUGCCAUCCAGAUCGAGGACAGCUACGUCGAGCGAUGCGAUUGGCCAGCUCGACGAUAUGCCGGCGCAAGGAAAUAUGCCGAUCCACACAAGAAACACGACGGCGAGAAUCGCGCGUACGCCCCACAUGCAUAUGCAUGCGACUUCGGACAGCCCCGCUCACCGAGUACCACUAUUAUUGGGGUCCAUGCACGCACGGCACCACACACCACACGUAAAUGCCAUGUGAUGCCUGGCACCACAGCAGGCCACAGACCAUCCAUGGACCGCGAUCACUGAGUACGUUUACUCUCUUUGGUAUUAUGCUUAAUAUGCCAUGUGAUGUGUACGUGUUUAGCCUUAAUUAGGGGGGCAGAUCCUUCAUGCUCCCCCAUAUGCAGAUCCAGAUCGAGCCGACCGCCCAAUCAGUAGCCACGGCUGACCACCAUAUCCUCAGCGGCUGGUUCUCUCUAGGACUCGGUCGACUUAGACAUCGCGAAGUGUAAGUCGGCUGAUGUCACCUGUUCAUAUUUUUUCGUUCCUGUCCAAACUAUAUCCCCGUCGUUGCAUCUUGUGGCUUUUUGGGCUGGCCCCCCUUUUUUGUCUUUGGUCUGUGCGUUUAUCAAGUUGUGUUGAGCCAGAUAUUUUGGGCAGUUAUUUCUUGUUUGGUGCUGCUGCUCGUUGAUUAUGUAAUCUUUAGCUAUUGUUUGAGCAUUUUUUCUGAAACCUUUAGCUAUUGUUCGAGUAUAUUAGCUUUGUGGUACACCGGCCAGCUAUAUUAGUUGUUGUUCCUACAGUUUUCUUAACAUGCUAUUUCUUUCGUUUUGUUUGGAUUUCUUUUUCAUUUUUAUUUACAUUUUCACAUUUUGUUUCUAAAAAUUGUAAACAUUAGUCAAAUUUUUUUCGUGCAUUUUCAUAAAUACUCAUCGUGUAUUUGAAAAAUAUCUAACGUGUCACUAGAAAAUGUUUAAUAUUAUUUAAAAAUAUUCUUCAUGCCAUUACAAAAAUAUUCAAUGUUAGUUAACGCUCGUUUUUAGCUUGCAUUUUCUUUGUUUGAUUGGGUUGAGUCGGGCAUUGUUUUACUCGUCUGUUUGUAAUUUCUCUAUCAUCCACAAAUUGAAAAAGGUACUAACAAAAAUAAAGAGAGCUCAUCAUAUGUUGUUUCACAUGCGAUGCGGGCAUGCAACUAGGUUUGUGUGGCAUGCUUUUAAAAAAUUCCAAAUGUCUCUUUUUAGAUAAAAAACAAAUAUAAUAUAAUAUAAAAUAUAAAAUUCAUUUAAUAAUAGGAUGUGGAUACGGCUCGGUCGACUAAGACUUAGAAAGAAGUCUCAGGCAGCUGGCAUCAUGGCGGGGUGCUGUAGUAGCCCGAGGCAACACUUUCAGAUGCAGGUCUAGUUGCAUGCAUGCAAUUGUCCAUCUUCCGAGAAAAACACCAGGAGUUGCAGUCCUGGGCGACACAUGUAGUUGCAUGCCAAGUGUCGGACUUGCAACUUCUCCCUCCCAGACAAAAUACCACAGAGAUGCAGUCUGGUUUAAGACAUGCAGUUACAGUUGUCGGAUACCGGGUUCCGGCAAAACCCUUAAGGUUCGAACAUUGGGGUGCGCACGAAGAUUUCUCCCUAUCGAAUCUUGCUCUCUCUGCCUCAUCGCGAUCACUAGGCUUAGCUAAACGAAAUCACAGAACAAGAGACACAAGGUUUAUACUGGUUCAGGCCACCAUUGUGCUGUAAUUCCCUACUCCAGUGUGUGGUGUGGUGGAUUGCCUCUUGGGCUGAUGAUGAACAGUACAAGGGGAAGAACAGCCUCCUGAGGCGAGGUGUUCUUGUGAUCUAUGGGUGGUUCUGGUCCGAAUGGAUCUCUUCCUUUUUAUGGUGGUGGCUAGCCCUAUUUAUAUAGGCCCUGGUCCUCUUCUCAAAUAUUGAGCGGGAAGGGAUUCCACAACGGCGGGAUUUGAAAGGGGAAAACCAGUACAGGCUAUCCUGACUAAAGGUGGUCUUCGCCUGCCAAAGGCUCUGGUGAUGACGACGUCUUGGGCUUCACCGUGACCUCCAUCUUGCCGUCCUGCUAGUCCUGGUCUUGUUGCACCGAUAUGGAAACCUUUGCGUGAUGCCUCGGUACUCCGCGCCUGCGCUUGCCCCCUUAGCACCAAAGGGGAACGAGUACACUGUGCGCGCUGGAGCCCGCCUGGCGUUGGUCGUCAUGGCUUGCGUCAGGGGAACCUCGCGAGGUACCCCGUGCCUUGAUCUCUCCGCCUCCCUCGUGAGCCUGCCUGAUGAGGCCGCUCUUGAGGAGGCCUUGCGUCGUCCGCUCCACGAGGCUUGGCCCCUCGCGAGGGUCUUGAGUGCUUGGUUGAUGAAGACGGGCCGCACUGGACCGCCCGUGGAGUCACGCAGCGGGCCGCAGGCAGGCAAGUCUGGAUACCCCCAUAUCCAGAACGCCGACAACAGUCUGGGGCAACACUUGCAGUUGCAUGCGUAGUGUCGGGCAUGCAACUACCCCCGCCUCUCCCCGUUGCUCUUCGACAAAAACACAAAGGACAUUUGCAGUUGGGAGGGAUGCGUGCAAUUGCAGUCGAGGGCAGCACGUGGAGUUGCAAGCCUAGUGUUGGCCAUAGAACUGCCCCCCUCUCACGCUGCCCACCGACCAAACAAAAGGUUGGGUGCGGUUGGGUGUGUUGACAUGCAGUUGUAGUCGAAGGCGACACUUGAGUUACAAGCCUAGUGUCUGGCAUGCAGUGUUCUGCAUUAAUUGUGGCCACUGAUGCAGACCUACUAGUGUGAAUCAGGCAGCAAUAUAUUCCUGUUAGUCAAAUAUAUUGUCUUAUGAUCAAAAUUUGACUUAAAAUACAAGGGGCACAAUGAACCGUGAUGGAGGAACUGUAUGUGUCAGUGUGGAUCACGCAACAAGGUAUUAGAGCAUCCACAAUGUAGUGGUUUUCAACCUCGUUAGCUGCCUCUAAAGGCUUGGAGCCCGCCUCUACACACGGCAGACAUUGCCUCUAUGUUUUUUAAGCUUGGCGUAGGCGCUAGCCUUGGAGGCUGCCUCCAAGGAUUAAACAACAACAUGGUCCUACUAGUCAGUGGAUAACUGAGCGUAGCUUAGAUGCAAGGCGCGGGAAUUCGCAGUUAGACCAUCAAGGUUUAAGUCUCGGCUUGAGAAUUUGGAUCUCACGGGGUUUUCUUUUAUAAAAAAAUGUCAACUGGAUAGUCUAGCCCGGGUUGGUCUCUUUCAUUUUUUUCCCUACUAGUCAGUGUAUGGUUGUGGCUAGGCCAUGCAAAUUGAUCAAUACACUCUUCAUUGUUUAUUCUAUUAUGGGACCAUUCCUUAGAGUCAACAGCCGAUGCUACACACUACAUGGUUUCUAGAUCUGAUUAGAGGCUGGAGGUGGGGCCCAGGAUAGAGGCAGCCUAGUGCCCUUAUUUACACCAUCCAACCAUCUAUGUUUACCGAUGUGAAACACUCACUACUAGGGAAAACCCUAGCAGUAGCGCUGGUUUUGUGCUCACUAGUAGCGCGGGUAGGCGCGCUACUAAUAAGGCGCUACAACUAUUGCUUAGCAGUAACGCGUGCCCGCACGCGCUACUGCUAGGACAAAUAGCUGCAGCGUUUGUUCAGUACCACGCUACUGCUAAGGUAACUACUUGCAGCGUGUUUUUUGUCCAUCGCUACUAGUAUUUUUUUAUUUUUUAUUUUUAGUGUAUUUAUGCGCCAUCGUACAAAUAUUGGUACAAUACCAGUUAUGAGGUUUACAUCAUUAUGUCCAUAACAGUGUGUCAAAUGAAGGUGGAUUAGGUUCAAGUGGAGGCAAUAUGUGGUGCAUGUCAAAAGUAUACUACUAAUCCAAACUUGAUCUAGUUUGGACUAGUAGUACUUUCGAUGUGCACCACGUGUUACCUUCACUUGAAUCUAAUCCGCCAGCAGAAGCUAUUUAAUCAUCAUCAUAGUCAUUACCACCAACAUUAUUUAUUUAAUCACUACUAACACUAGCUAAUAAUAAUCAUCACAGUCAUUACCACCAACACUAGCUAUUGUAUCAUCAUAUAAUAGUGUAGCACAUCAUCAUCCUCAAACUCAUUUCUAGCUAGCUAAUCACUCCUGCUGCUCUCUCUUAGUUAAAUAAUAUAAAACAUGUAUAGCUCUCCUCCUUGAUCAAGCUAGAGCAUGCAGAUGAACCUGUCUCCUAAUCGUGGGUAGCACAUCUGUUUGCUGCCCCCUAGUACUUCUCUGUGCUCCCCUAUCACAUAUUUGGUCCAGUCUUGCACUAUUAAGCAUCCGUCGCUAAUCUUGAAUGCACUAAAGUAAUCUGUAGGAUAUCUUGGCCGUAAGCUGGUAAUACUCAUGGUACCUUUAGUCUCGAUUUCAUAAGGCACAACAUUCAUCGGGAGUCCCUGUUGAAGAACAUCGUAUGGUAACAUACUUAGCAAUGAAGUUUAGCUUCAAAAAUAAUGUAUGGAAAAGAUGCACUGAUGACAAAUAGUAAAAAUCUUAUCAUCCUUCCUAAAUGGAUGUGACCGUAGUUCAUUACAAACACUAUUGGUCGCACAUUUUCAGUACUAACAUUUCUAAAUGCAGAAAGAAAAUUUGUCUUGACAGUAUCAAGAUCCUCAAGCCAUGAAACAUAAUGACUGAGCUCCUCGCAGUUGAGUUCAGCCCCAGGACAGUAUACGGCUCUGUCUACCAAGCGCUGGACAUGUUUGUUUGCACCGAAAUAAGCUGACAAUACAAAUUAGUUGUCAACUAUUUUUGAAUAAACAAUAUCAAAGACAUAAAAUAUGGUUGAUAAACUUACAUAAUGGUAUAACUGGAGGCGUUUGCACAUCGACCCAGAUGCCGGUAUUACCUUCAAUAUCAUCUUCCGGACGAAUAUCAAUGGUGAUAACCAUAUCAGGAUCAAAUGCAUAAGUCUUGCAUAGUGCUCGCCAUGUUUUGCAUCCAAAAUAGGUGUAGUCGUCUGAAUUGUACAAUUUUGCAUGGAAAAUAUAACCAUGCUCGGUCUUCAAGUAAACUUUCUUUUCCUCCAUACUAUGACUGAAACCUAUCUAAUCCAAUACAAAAACUCUUGCAUGGCAGGGGAUAUGCUAGUAGAAUAGUAAAAAAAAAAUAUAAGUUGAAGCUAAUGAAGCAGAUGUCAUGCUUAAUUACGAAAAAAGACUUGUCGUUGUGACUUACUGUAUCAACUUCGAAGUUCUCGUCCAGCUUGAUGCUGAAGCGCCUAUCAUCAUCUAGGAAGAUUCCGUCGCACAGGCCACGCUCGUCUUCGCAGUAUUUGCAAAUACCGAAAUCCUUUUCAUCGUCAGACAUUUCCUAUGUUCAUAGUUAAAACAUUAAUUAAAAAUUGAUCAAAGACAACUACCAAGAUACUCAACACACAAAUUCGGGGCACUCGAUAUUUCCUACAUAUUCUGGCACAAGUCAUGCCAAAAUUCACGGAAAAAUCCGGCAUGACCUUUGCUAAAAUAGGACAUAUCGAGUGCCUGAAAUUUGCCGGAACGGAAAUGAAUCAACACUCCGGCAAAACAUAGGCCACUCGGAGGUGUAACCUGCAAACAUGACCGGCCACUUGGAUAUUGAGCAACACAAGAUAUACAUUUCAAAAAAUCUUAUAGGACUCAAAUUAUCAUGCAUUCAAUAAGCAAAAGUUAAUCAUCUCAUGCGUCUGUACAUCGUCGAAUAUUAUCACUAAUACAUCACGAAUAGUGUCAUACAUAUAACAUCACUAAUACAACUAAAAACCUAGCACACGACGGGUAUCGGCGCGGGCGGUGGACACCCAGAGAGAAGGAACCAUCACGGGAUCAUAGCUGCAGUGAGAUCCCCGAAGAACCUGCCAGGUAUUGGAGAAUGGCCUGUGCUCCAACGCAAACAAGUAGCGACGGACAUGCGCGUCCUCCUCACUGACACGGUGAUGCACCACCUCCGUGGAGUCCUCGAGCCUCUGGAUCAUCACUGGCCCAUGCAACCGCCACCAAAGAAGGUUCGGGUCAACGACAGGCUGGAUCCUCACCAACCUACGCCCCCCGGUAGGUAACGCCUCCUAGUACCACCCCAGCGGAGCCCAGUCCCGUACAUGGCCGAUCUGGUCAAGCAGGUGUCAUCCUCCGCCGACUCGACGACGAGGAUGCGGGAUAGGCAUCGUCCACGUCGAGGCGGGAAAAAUUGCUUUAACUAAAAAAUAGAAACAAGUUCUUACUAACUAGUUCUAUUAAUUCAACUAGUUCUUACUAAAAAUAAACUUACUAUAAAUAAAAAUAUUCUAGUACCUAAUUAGUACCUAGUUCUUACUAACUAAUUAGUACCCAGGAACUACUGCCCUAAUUACCAUCUAAUUUGAUGAACCUAUAGGGGUGGAAAGUGGUAGCGGAUAUUUCAAUUAUCCAACUAUAAAGUGAAAUAAGUGGUCAAAUUUUACUCGUUUUAUGAUUCAUCUUAGAAAUUUGAUUCGUUUUCACCCUUACAUGAACCCUAACUCAUUUGAGCCGCAUCCGCAUCCGAUUUGUUUCCGCUCUUACAUGAACCCUAACUAAUUUGAUGCAACUAAAAUAUAAAGAAACCCUAGGCAGAGGUAGGGGAGAGGGAGGAGCGGGCGUGCUCACCUCGGGUGCCUACGACGAGGGAGGGGUAGGGCGGCGUCGAGGUCGGGGUCGGGGCUCGGGCGCGCGGUGGAUGGCGCCCGGCAUCGAGGUCGGGGUCGGGGCGGCGUUGAGGUCGGGGGCGGGGGCGGCGUUGAAUCUGGGGUCGGGGCGGCGUAGAGGGUGCGGAGAGCGCGCGGCGGCCGACGGGCGACGGCGGCGGCGAGAGUGGAGAGAGUUGAAUUUGGGGGAAGUGGCCGCGUGGGGAAGGACGAACCCCGUGGUUAAGUUAGAAGUAGCAGUAGCGCGUUCCAGGAAAAGCGCUGCUGCUAACUUAGCUACAGCGCGUUCUGUGAUACACGCUACUGCUACUCCUUUCUUUUUUUCCCUUUUUUCAUUUAGUUUUCUUCACAAUUUAUUUGUUUCCUUUCACCUUAUUCUAUUUCUUUCAUUUUCAAUUACCUUUCCAUUUUCUUUCCAUUUAAUUUUAUAACCUUUAGCAGCAGCGAGUUUAUAUUAAAACGCGCUGCUACAAACAAAGUAGCGGUAGCGCGGUUCGUCAUAGAUCGCUACUACUAUGUGUAGCCUAUCCGCUAAGCCGUGGGAAUUUUAGUAGUAACGUGUGUACAGCAAGACACGCUACUGCUAGAUCUUUAUCUGCAGCGCGGUUUCCUCAGGCGCGCUACUGCUAAUUAGCACCAGCGUGCUUUUUUGACCCACGCUACUGCUAAAGUUCUGUGUAUAAGGUUUUCCCUAGUAGUGACUAGCUGGACUGACAUGUCGGUGUCAUCAAUGCCAUGUGACUGAGAACAACUCACUCAAUACCAUCAUUCACUUUCCGACUGUUAUCAACAUGGUCAUGCCGGCACCGGUAUAGGAGUGGCGAACACGGGAGUUAAUUGCAGAAAACCACCAUAAUUGUGGCUAGGUAUGUAGAGAACUAUCUAGUCCCUAUUUUUUUCCAAAAGCCACUGCGUUUCUAGUAAAAUUUCUAUAGAAAGCAAUGACCAGGUGAUUUGGUGCAUUUGAUCACUACCUGACAAGUAGGGCCAAUUGUAAGGAGCCGAUUUGGCAAAAAAUGACGUACACCCCAUGGAUUUCACAAAGACACCUUAUCCAAAACAAAAAGCAAUCACCCCCCCCCGCCGGUCGCACGUUGCGUGCCUCCUUAGAGGUGGUGGCUGGACAUUGGGAGCCGGCCUCCGGCAGGACCUUGCUCGCGGGGCAAGACGGCCUCCCUCCUCCCUGGCCGUCGUGGCUGGCCAUCGACUCACCCCUAGCUGCAAGCUCACAACCCUAGCAUGGACACGUGAUGACCCACAAGUAUAGGGAAUCAAUCGUAGUCCUUUCGAUAAGUAAGAGUGUCGAACCACAUGAGGAGCAGAAGGAAAUGACAAGCGGUUUUCAGCAAGGUAAUGUCUGCAAGCACUGAAAUUAUAAGUAACGAGUAGUUUGAUAGCAAGAUAAUUUGUAACGAGCAAGUAACAAUAAUGGUAACAGAAGUGCAGCAAGGUAGCCCAAUCUUUUUGAGGCAAAGGACAGGCCAAAACGGUCUCUUAUGAUAAGCAAAGUGUUCUUGAGGGCCCAUGGGAAUUUCAUCUAGUCACUUUCAUCAUGUUGGUUUGAUUUGUGUUUGCUACUUUGAUAAUUUGAUAUUUGGGUGGAUCGGUGCUUAGGUGUUGUUCUUACAUGAAGAAACCUCCUACUUAUGAUUAAACCCCUCGCAAGCAUCCGCAACUACGAGAAAAGUAUAAGAAUAAAUUCUAACCAUAGCAUUAAACUUUUGGAUCGAAAUCAGUCCUUUACAGAAUAACACAUAAACUAGUGUUUAAGCUUCUGUCACUCUCGCAACCCAUCAUCUAAUAACUACUCCACAAUGCAUUCCCUUAGGCCCAAAUAUGGUGAAGUGUCAUGUAUAGUCGACGUUCGCAUGACACCACUAAGGGAAUCACAACAUACAUACCAUCAAAAUAUCGAACACAUAUAAAAUUCACAUGAUUACUUGCAACAAGAUUUCUCCCGUGACCUCAAGAACAAAAGUAACUACUCAAAAAUGAUAAUCAUGCUCAAGAUUAGAGGGGUAUUAAAUAGCAUAAUGGAUCUGAACAUAUAAUCUUCCUCCAAAUAAACCAUAUAGUAAUCAACUACAAGACAUAAUCAACACUACUAGUCACCCACAAGCACCAAUCUAUAGUUCCGGUACAAAGAUUGAACACAAGAGAUGAACUAGGGUUUGAACGGAGACGGUGAUGUUGAAGAUGUUAAUGCAUAUUGCCCUCCCCAAGAUGGGAGAGUUGUUCGUGAUGAUGAUGACGAUGAUUUCCCCCUCCGGGAGAGAAGUUCCCCUGGUGGAAUCGCUCUGACGGAGGGCAAAAGUGCUCCCGCCCAAGUUCCUCCUCGAGACGGCGGCGCUCCAUCCCGAAAGUCAUCUCUAUAUUUUUUUUCUAGGUCAAAACGACUUAUAUACCGGAACAAGGGCACAAGAGGUGGGCAGGGCUGAGCAAAACCCACCAGGGCAUGCCCUGGUAUCUUGUGCUCACCAGGUGGCCCCCCUCCGGUACUUAUUUGCUGCAUUAUUUCUUAUUUAUUCUAUAAAAAAUUCUCGUGAAGUUUCAUCUCAUUUAGAGUUGUGCAGAAUAGGUAGCCUGCCGAAAUUCUCCUUCUUUGUGUGAACCUUGCAUAUUAUGAGAGAAAAGGCAUUAGAUUUACUGCAAAAGGCAUUAUUAUGCAUAAAAAUAUUAUAAAUAACAGUAGGCAAACAUGAUGCAAAAUGGACGUAUCAAGAGGCGGCCAAUCCCACAUGUUCACCCGGCCCUGUUGUUGUGCUACCAGAGCUCCACCGGCCUACGAGCGCUCCGCCCCACUGCCAACCGCCUCCUGCUCUACUCAUCUCCUCGAUCCUCUUGCCGGCGAGCUCGCCUCGCGCGUCGGACAUCCAUGACCAUGGCGCCGCCUGCCAUAAACCUAACCCCAAAUGUGGUGGUUUUCUGCUUUUAACUAAGAUCGCGGCGCAUCUCCCGGCUCGUUCAUACAGAGUCAUUGGGUGGUUCAAGGACCUCAAUGAAUUUUUUACCAUGUUUGGAGUACUUUAUACUUUUUGGUGAACUUUUGGAAUUUAUUUGAUUCUUUUUCAGAAGAACAAAAAAAAAGGAACACGCAGUUUGAAUCCAUUGGGCACGGAUGGAACGUGGCGAAAGUCUCCUGCCCAAGAUACAAGCGCCGUGGGCACGGUGCAUGGGCGACGUGGCAGUUUGGACGCCGAUGCGGCGCAUUGUCGCCACCAAUACGGACGGCCUGGCGUGGAUCACGCACCAAUUUAGAUGCCAUCCAGAUCGAGGGCAGCUACGUCGAGCGAUGCGAUUGGCCAGCUGGACGAUAUGCCGGCGCAAGGAAAUAUGCCGAUCCACACAAGAAACACGACGGCGAGAAUCGCGCGUACGCCCCACAUGCAUGCGACGUCGGACACCGCUCACCGAGUACCACUAUGAUUGGGGUCCAUGCACGCACGGCACCACAGGCCACACGUAAAUGCCAUGUGAUGCCUGGCACCACAGCAGGCCACAGACCAUCCAUGGACCGCGAUCACUGAGUACGUUUACUCUCUUUGGCGUUAUGCUUAAUAUGGCCAUGUGAUGUGUACGUGUUUAGCCUUUAUUAGGGGGGCAGAUCCUCCAUGCUCGCCCAUAUGCAGAUCCAGAUCGAGAGCCGACCGCCCAAUCAGUAGCCACGGCUGACCAUCAUAUCCUCAGGACAAAUUUGACAAAUUUGACCUAUAGACGGAAUUAAAUCAUAGAAUGAACUAUCCGUGAAACUAUUUUACGCGGCUGACCUUUUUGUGUGACGCCCGCCACGAAGGCGCCACACUACACUGUGCAACGCCUCACAGAUAGGCGCUACACAACCAGCGUCGCACACGUGUGAUCAGAAAAUUACUAAGUCGUGUGCAGCGCCUGAGAGCUAGGCGCCACAGGUCAGCCGCGUGAAAUAGUUCUAUGGACAGUUCAUUCUGUGAUUUAAUUGCGUCUAUAGAUCAAAUUUGUCAAAUUUGCCUAUCCUCAGCAGCUGGUUCUGUCUAGGACUCAGUUGACUUGGACAUCGCGAAGUGUAGGUCGCUGAUGUCACCUGUUUAUAUUUUUUGUUUAUGUCCAAACUAUAUCCCCGUCGUUGCAUCUUGUGUCUUUUUGGGCUGGCCUCCCUUUUUGUCUUUGGUUUGUGCGUUUAUCAAUUUGUGUUGGGCCAGAUAUUUUGGGCAGUUCUUUUUCUGUUUGGUGCUGCUGCUCGUUGAUUAUGUAAUCUUUAGCUAUUGUUUGAGCAUUUUUUCUGAAACCUUUAGAUAUUGUUCGAGUAUAUUAGCUUCGUGGUACACCGGCCAGCUAUAUUAGCUGUUGUUCCUAACAUGCUAUUUCUUUCGUUUUGUUUGGAUUUCUUUUUCAUUUUUAUUUACAUUUUCACAUUUUGUUUCUAAAAAUUGUAAACAUUAGUCAUUUUUUCGUGCAUUUUCAUAAAUACUCAUCGUGUAUUUGAAAAAUAUCUAACGUGUCACUAGAAAAUGUUUAAUAUUAUUUAAAAAUAUUCAGCAUGCCAUUACAAAAAUAUUCAAUGUUAGUUAACGCUUGUUUUUAGCUUGCAUUUUCUUUAUUUGAUUGGGUUGAGUCGGGCAUUGUUUUACUCGUCUGUUUGUAAUUUCUGUCAUCCACAAAUUGAAAAAUGGUACUAACAAAAAUAAAGAGAGCUCAUCAUAUGUUGUUUCACAUGCGAUGCGGGCGUGCGACUAGGUUUGUGUGGCAUGCUUUAAAAAAAUUCCAAACAUCUCUUUUUAGAUAAAAAACAAAAUAUAAUAUACUAUACGACUAAUAUAUCCACCAGUCGACUGUUCAUUUGCUUCAAAUCCGCACGACUCGACAGCCGUCCGAUCCAGAUCCAACGGACCGCGUCGCUCCUGGUGCGCGCAGCGCGGGUGGCGGUAGCCGUUACCAUCGAUGUGUGUCGCUGACUAGUGGGUCCACUGGAACCGCCCAUAUCGCCCAAUGCCACGAUCCCCACUCGUCCCCUCUCGCGUUCGCCCGCACUACUUCUUCUUCCUCUGAUUCCGGCCUCUCCAUUCGAAUCUCCUCUCGCUCCCCUCCCCCUCAUGCGCGACGGUUGCUGCUGGUGGCGCGUUCCGGUUCGCGGCGGACGGCGACUGGUGGAUACGGUGAGGAACGCAUGCCCCGCGCCCUGUUUUCCUUCUCUUUUUGCUCCGCCGCUCUGGUCCGCCAUUGAUUUAGGUUGGAGCCGUCGAAUCUGGUAGAUUGUUGUUCCUAUUAGGUUAGAUUAAGGACGGCUUCUAAUUUCUGAGUCGAAGUUGAGUAGCGCAUCCCCCAUUCCCCCACCCAUCCACCCGCCCCAUUCUGUAUUUCCUGUUGCUCCGCCUCCAUGCUUCGCCGUUAAUUUUUGGUGCUCGGACUCUUUGAUUCUGGCGGUCGUUGUUGCUAUUAGGCUAGGUUAUGUCGCCUUCUAAGUUCAGUUUGAAUAUGGUUCGGACAUCUGGUUUAAUUUUGUGGUAAUCGUGGGCGUGGAUAGGUCUUAGUGGUGGUAAGUGUGGUUGGUUCUAAUAGGGAUUUUGUUAUGGUGUUACUGUUGUGGAUGUGGUUGUUUAGUACAUCCAAUAAUGUUUGGUGUUUAUGAAUUUCAAGUUGUGCAUCAGUGGAUGAGGAUUUAAAAAGCAACCAUAAGUUUUUUCACAUAAUGUUGUUUUAUGUUGGUUUUGUUAGAUGCGGUUUGUCCAUUGAUUAGGCUUUUGUGCUGCUCCAAUUAGCUUGUUUACAUUGCUUGAUUUGCUUGUUAUGUUUUGUUCCGUUCAAUUAUCAUGAUGUCUAUAUUGAACUUACCAACUAUAUUGCACUCAAAUUAUCAGAUGCUUUAAACUCAGUUAUUUAUCAUUGUUGUCUUGUUAUGGUUGAAUUAUCAUGGUGAUGGUUUUACACUUACCUCUGUCAUCUUACCGUAGUUUCCAUAAGUUUUUGCUAGACUAACUAUAUGUAGCACAACCCUUAUUUCUCAAUCAUUUUGUUUUGGUUGGGUUAUUAAUGAGCAUGUGUGAAUGCUAUUUCUUAUCAUUGGUAAUUUGGUUGUAACUUACCAAUUGCAUUGUGCCUCAAUUAUCAGUCUCACAUGCUUUUUAUAUACCUGUGCUAUCUGUUUUACUUUUUUUUAGCAUGUGCGACCAAUUUGCGGUUUGCUUGUUUCCUUUUAUCAGCUGUAUUAUUGCUUUGUCAAACACUGGUUUUAUAAACAAUGUAUUCAUUUUUUUCUUACGUGUCAGGGAGACAAUGCCGAGGAAGCGUAAAGGAGAUGGUGAUGGAAUCGAUGAGGUUCCUUCGAAAAAGGCGAAACGCCCUCCUCCGCGGAAUAGAGCCUCACCCGGUUCGCUUCUUCUAGCGUGCAAGGACAUGAAUGAUGACAGGAAGGGUGCCAUUGAUGAUAUGGAUUUAACUAGCCUUCGAAAUAUCCAAUGUGACCAUCUAUUCAACAAUCUCAGUGUGUGGCUUGCUGAUCUCUACGACCCCAAUUCGCGUGAGGUGGUCGUACCAGGCCGAGGCAGGCUUCCGGUCAAUGAAGAAUACGUGCAUCGUGUUAUGGGUGUGCCGUGUGCAGGGAAUGAUGUCCCUUACAACCUCCCAUCUGAAACUGAUAUUGAGUUAGGGCUUGAGUUGUUUGGCGAGCUCGGAUAUGCCCCUAAAAUGACUGAUCUUGUUGAUCUCAUAAAGGGUUCUGAAAAUUCUGAUGACACUUUCAAGCGUAUGUGGUUUCUUCUUGCGGGGAAUACAGUCAUUGCCCCGACCACCUCCAACAAAGUUAGCCCCCAUUGGUAUGUUGUGCUGGUAAGUUUUUUUGUGAAUAUGUCAUUUUCUUUCUUGUGUGCCUCAUAACUUUUAUAUAUGUCAGUGUGAUAACUUUCGUUUUUUUUGUGGUGCAUUCGGUGAACUUCAGUGCUGUUUUUUAUAUUGCAGCGUGACAUCAAUGGUGUUAAGAAUCUUAAUUGGUCCAAAUUUAUUGCUGAUGAACUGCACAAGGCGAUGUUGAAACGCAAGCCUACCAGGGGUUGCCUUCUUUUCUACAAUGUAAGUGACGAUGCUUUCCUCUUACCUUCUCUUUUGUCAUUUAUCAUUUUCCUUGUCAUUUUGUGGCUGGUUUUUGUAAGUGUUUACCAUGGCGCUUCUGUUUUUCUUAUCAGCUGUUGUACAUUCAUGCGAUUGAUCUUUCUGGACUUGGCAUCGAACUGCCUGAAAGUCCUUUUCCCAUCAAUGUAUGGACAAAGAAGCUGAUAACUCUUGUCCUCAACAAGGAUGUUCAGACUGACAAAGUUUCUUUCGGGAAACUACCGGUAUUAUAUAUCUAUGUUUUUCAGUUCACAGUCUGCUUUUCAACUGCAUUUUAUUUUCAUUGUUUGUUUGUUGUUACUUAUCUGUGAUGGCUACAUUUUUUUCCAGUUGAAGCCUGAGUUUGGCAUGAAUUUCUGUCUCUUUGGUGGUGUGGAAGGUCUUGACAAGUUUAUGCGUGUUCAUACUGCCCCAAGCUGCAGUGAAGAGGUGAGCAUGUAACCUAGUUUCUUGAUCUUUUUUUUGCUAUUUUAUGUUCUUUCAUUUGCUGAUAAAUUAUUUUUUGCACCCAUUUGUGGUUACCCUGAUUUGUUGCCAACUUGUCACUCUUUUAGUAAUCUGGAUGAUUUCCAUUGUGGCAUAUCCUCUAUAUAAAAUAUAAUUAUGAUGCAACCAUGUGAUAAUUAUUAGUGCAAUGCCUUGAUAACUUUGCAGCAUUUCUGUGAUAACUUGAUAUCAUGAUAACUUUUGGUUGCAUUUAUUAUGAUGAUUGUGGCAUUCCCGUGAUAACUUGAUAUUCAUGAUAACUUUUGUUGCAUUUUUGUGAUAACUUACUAGUUAUUUCCAUUCUUUUUUCAUUUUUUUAUGUUGAACAGAAAUUUGCCAAAUCAACUGAGAUAGUUGCUCGAUUCACGUCCGCCAUGGCUGGCAUCCUAGGCAAUCUUGUGGAAUCAUUCACCGCUUUAGAUGAUGAGGGCCAUUCACAUGCAUCUCGUCAGCUAGACGCUGGAUUGAACGUUAUCUCCUCUGCCGCCCGUACGAUGUCAAGGACUACGCGGUCAUCGCAAGGCAGGCGGACAGAAAGUGCUGGAAAGAAUGUGGCUGAAGAUUCUGACAGCGAUGACGAUUAUCACGGAGGUGAUGAUUCUGAUUCUGACGCUGACUCCGAUGAUGAUGAUGAUGACUAUCGAGUUGUUCCUCGUCGCCCUAAAGAUCCUUUUGUUGCUUCAGGCAGUGGUACCGUGGAUGUAGACAUGGGCAGCGGUCCAGCUGAUGAUGAGACCACACAUCUUGAUGGUGCAACUGUCAAAGCCCAUGAUGGCACAGGACCAAAUGUUGAAGACACCCCUGUCCGCUCUGUCGGCAAUAACCUCGUUGAUUCAUAGAUCUUACUCACUGGAACAUCUCAUGCAGCAUCCGUCGAAUCAGGUGAUCGAGGGAUUAGCCAGCAAGGUCUGACAGACACGCAAGCUGAGGCGGCCACUGACUCUUCUGUCAAGCGGUGCGGUGCUGAGCUUUUGAAAAUUUUGGCUUACCAGAGGCGCAAGAAGCUGAGGCUACCAUCACCCNNNNNNNNNNNNNNNNNNNNNNNNNNNNNNNNNNNNNNNNNNNNNNNNNNNNNNNNNNNNNNNNNNNNNNNNNNNNNNNNNNNNNNNNNNNNNNNNNNNNNNNNNNNNNNNNNNNNNNNNNNNNNNNNNNNNNNNNNNNNNNNNNNNNNNNNNNNNNNNNNNNNNNNNNNNNNNNNNNNNNNNNNNNNNNCCGUCUUCACCAAUUGCACUGUCAGCAUCUGAGAUUCAUGUAGCUGUGAAGAAAGUUGUGGUCCAGGAGCUUGGUAUACGCGUGGCUGAAAAGGGAACCGGUGCCUUCGUCCCACUGUCCACUUUGCGGAAGGAGGCCCCACGCAGGUGAAUUAUUACUUUCCAAUGUCCUUCUUAUCAAUUGUGUGCCUGAAACAACAUGGUAAAUACAGUCAUUUGUUUAAGGUAGUUUGGGUAAUUUCAUGCCGGUGAUCAACUUGCUUAUUUUUCAUCUGCAGGGCCCCCGGCAAACAAUCUGUUGCUGCUAAGGAUUCAGGGAUUGCACCAGUGAAAAGGUAUUCAAAUUGUUACUUUCGUUUAUGAUCAGCAGUUAUUUUGUUCUUGUUGUCUGAUAACUCAUUUUGAUGAACAUUGGUAACUCAACUUUGCCCCCCUGGUAAUUUAGAGUUACCAAUCUUGAUAGUUGUAUGUGCUUGUAACAUUUGGUUAUUUUUUCAUUCAGUGCACCUAUGAAACAAGUUGCUGCUGCUAAGGGUUCUCCAAGUGAACCAGGAAAAAGGUGUUCACAUACCUAUCUAGUUUGCAGUUAUUCAAAAAUAAUUGUUGGUUUUUUUGUUCAUAUGAUUUGAUAACUUUAUAUUUAUAGUCCUUGAGUACUUUGUAAUUUUUUCCCUGGAUGCUACUUAUACCUGAAGUAUGUGACAUCCUUUUUUGAUUGAAGCAUGUGGUAACUCAGGUUUAACAACAUGUGUAAUCUCACUACUACCCUUGUGUAUCAAUUUUUUCAGUCGUUCAAAAGAUAAAAGUGCAGUGAAAAAGGUGAAAUUCUCCAAGACCAGAUCCUCUCCACGAUUAAGGGCAACAUUGUCGUAGACAACGUCAUCGGAGACAACAGAAGUUAUCCAUCUUGAUGAAUCUCCCACGGCGACAUCUCCGUCUGAAAAAGCAGCAGCAUCUAGCGAGGGUGCAUCUGAUGCUGUUGCGGCGACAUCGGCUGGUGUUUCUGAUGAUGCUGUUUUUCAGCUAGCUGCAGCAGCAACUGUUACUGCUGCUGUUGAAGAUAUCGCCAGUGUGGCUGUAGCUAUUGAAUGCGAAAAUGAAGUCGUCCCUAAUAUAGCGCAUGAUGGAAGUGAAGGUAGUUCUGUUCGCCAUCACAUUUGUUUUUUGUUUCUUGUGUUUUUAUGAUGUUUUUUGUUGACGAUGUGUUUAAUCUUUUUCCGCUGUAGCUGAGAAAGUUGUGGGAAAUACCAGAGAUAAUAUGCCUACUGAUACGGCUACAGCUGGAGGUGAAAAGAAUGAUGCCGAUAAUCCUGUUGUCACAGGUUGGUAACUUAAUUUUCUUAUGUUGAUAACUUGUCUGUCUAAUACAUGAUAAUUCAAGAUAUUGUUUCUGCCACUAACAAAUACAAUGUCAUCUACAUGUUUUCCUGAUGCCUUUUUUCCUUAUUUGUGUGUUACUUGUCAUGUUUUGAAGCAGUAGCUCACCAUGCAUUGGAGUUGAGCACCACUGGAGCUGGAAACUACGAUGGUAAUUUUACGCCACCCAGCUGCUCUCUUGGGCUGGAUGACAUCUUUGGUGCGAGUCCUCAAGUGCCACCAUCUGCUGAAGCAACUGCAACAGCUCAAGCUGCACCAACGUUGGCUCAAGUACCACCUGCAGCACCAGAAGCACCUGCGGCGGCGCCAUAUGCUCAAGUACCACCUGCAGCACCAGAAGCACCUGUGGCGGUGCCAUCUGCUCAAGUACCACCUGUAGAACCAGCUACUGGCCCUGACGCCGUUCUAGGGCUCGCAGCUCCUGUUGAUGCCGACUCGAAGGGCAAGGCAUUGAUGAAAGUUACCAAGGCUCAACCGGUUGCUUGGGCUCCGCCACCCAACAACUCUAGUAAGUGAAGACCUUGUGUCUUUGCUUUUAUGCCGCGAGAGUGAUGGAUUGAGAUAUGUCAGUGUUCAUCGUAUUGUUUUGUUCCUUGGUGUGCUCUUUUUAUUUAUGUGUUUGGAACUUUCUAUCAUUCCGUGUGUAUGGAUGAAUGUAAUACUACUUGUAUGCUUUGUGUGAUGUAAAUGAACAUAUGUGCUUUCAGUACCCGUAAUAUAUAUUUCUGUUGUGUCCGCUACAAUAUUUUGUACGAUGCUAGCAUAGACGAUAAGUCCAUCCUCCUCCCCCCGGUAACUUUGUCAGUUUUGAAAGCCGAUGUUAUCUGUUACUGGCUUUUAGUAAGCGCGUGAUACAUACAUCUCCUAUCAUUGCCUAUUUAUUUUCCUUAAUUCAUUGUCAUGCUUACAAAACAGUACUAUACUCGUAGUUAUUCAUCUGACCUUUUUCAUUACUCCUUCAAUUUUUUCCAAUCACCCUGAUAACUCCAUAUGACAUAUCUUGGUAACUCAAAUGUUCAAAUCCUGUCAAUUUAUGAUCCAUUGACACAAUAACUCCAGCCAUAUGCAUUCUUUGCCAAUUUUCUGGGCUAUACAAUUCUUUUUGGUCUUCUUUUUAACAUGUUAUGAUGAUUAGUUUAUAUCACAGCUGUUGCUCGUUAUGCACCAGUGUUAUCUAAUUUGUUCCUUAAAAGGCCCAUACAUGUGUGCUGGUAAUCCACAUUCACAUUGCCUGGUAUAUUUUAUAUUGUGUUCCUGAUAACUUCUUGUAUCUUGUCUCAAUUUUUAAUACCUGAUUUUUUUGCAACAAUUUAUGUUGUUUAUCACUACUGUUCAUGUCCUCAUCGCUGUUUUUUUAUUUAAGUAACACCGGAAGCUGGUCGUGUGCAAGUGUAUGAUGUUGAGAUUGACGAUGAUGAGGUUCUCAUGUGGUGGGAAGAAUUUGAACAUGGCAAUCCAGCAUUAAAAGGGAAAUCUAAUGUUCAAAUAGGUGAUUUUUUUCUGCUCCAUGAACAUUGCGACCCUUGCACAAACCACUUUCUUUGUUUUUUCAAUUAUGGACCACCACUUGAUAAUCAAAACAUGUGGCAGUUGAUAUGUUUUGACCCAUCACUUGAUAAUUCUUUCUCCCAUCUGAUGAUAAUUCAUGGUUUUCCAUUUUUUCUAUUUCUACCAGACAACCCCCAAAGUCCAACAUUUGUUACACCAGAGUUACCACCUCGCACAGAGCAUUUAGUACGCAGUUCAACACCUAAAUCCUUUAUUCGGAAAGUUAGGGUCACCCACCCGUCCAAAUACCUGCUCCCACCUUUUGCCUCCCUCACACCGAGCGAGGAGGCAGAGUACAUUUACAAUGAAGUUAUCAAGCAUACUACUGAUUCUAACUCUAAGAUUAAAGAGUAUGUUUCCAUCCUUUUUCUCAUCUUUCUUAACACAAAUCAUUAUUUUGUACGCCUUUUUUUAAAUGUAUUUUUUAAAUCUUUUUUUUGUUUUUUUGUUUUUUGUAGUCUUAGGGUCAUCAACAUUGAUGGUAGGUGGGUUACCCUUGGUGAGCUUGCCAAUUGUGUGAAGGGAGUUGGGCAACUAUCAACCAGCAUUGCCGAUCGAGUUACAUGUUCGCGUUCUCCAGUAUAAGGAAACGCCAAACAGGCUCAUCUUUCCUUGGGUGCUCUCUGUGUAUCUGUUGUGAGGAGACUUCAAAUCCAAGUGUUUACUGAAGUAUUUUUGACAGGACAAGUUUUACAUUCUUAGUCACCAGGAUCAGGUAUGUUAUGUUUGAUGGAUCUGGUAACUGUACAGUUAGUGUCUUGGUAACUUCCUGAUAAUAUCAUGUAACUUCCUGUUAUUUGCGGAUAUUGUUUGUUCUUCAUGUCAUGAUAACCUGUUUCAUGCACACUGAUAACUUUUGACCUUUCUGCCCUGAUAACUUCCUUUUCUAGUUGCCUCCCGUUGUGAAUUUCAUCACCAUUUGUUAUCUUGGUAAUUUUGUUUCUUUUCCAACUACUUUUAUGCUUACUGCCUAUUAAAUUUUUUCAGCUGCUAUUCCCUGCUUUGCAAAAGUUGGCCCGCGGUCUAGAUGACGGGCAUUGGUAUGUGUUGUCACUAAAUCUUAGGGCGAAGCGGUUUGAAGUUCUAGAUUCAUUGCGUGACCAAGAUAGUCCUUCUCUUCUCGAGCAUGUGACAAGAUACAUGAACGCAAUAAAGAAGGCCUGGUUGAUAAAUUACAAGGACUUGCAUAAGCAGAUUGAGGACUAUGAACUUGUGUACAUUGAUGUGUUGAAACACGAAAAUGGGUUAGUUGUGGAUUACUCACUCUCUUUUUAACAUCCCAACUAUAUGUUUGUCAUCCUUGUUUAUUUUGACCCGGUCUGAAACUCCAAUUAAACUGAUUUUGUGUUGUUUUUUUCAUCACAAAUGUUUCAGCAUUGAUUGUGGAUUUUUCGCCAGUGGCGCUAUCAUCUGUUUGGCAGCGGGUGAUGAGGUGAUAUUUUUUACUACAUCGUGAUAAGUUCUACCAAACUGUGAUGACAACUUUUUUAUUUGAAUCUGUCAUGACAAUGCCAUGGAGCAAAGUGUUGACAUGUUGUUUUACUAUAGUAUACACAGUCCAAAAUCACUGACUAUAUGAUAUAAUUCACUACUAUGAUUAUAAUUUGUUCAUAAGCAAUUUUUAGAAGUGCAAGGAGGACUAAUUUUUUGUCCAUAAGUAAUACAAUGCAGUGCUGGUAGCCUUCAAAAAAUGUAGAUAUAAAAACAUUGGCUUUUACAAAUCCAUGUCAAUUCCAUCAUACAUUGCUGGUAAAUGGCAUAAUAAUGUACUGAUAGCUUGGUUAAGAAAUAAAAAUUUUGGAUUUACAAAUCCAUGUCAAUCCCAUCAAACAUUUGCUGGUAACUGGCAUAACAGGGUACUGAUAGCUUGCUUAAAUUAUAGAGAUACACUUUGUUUUUGCAUUACAAAGCCAUGAUAAAAUCUAUGAUACAAUGUUGAUAACUGGAAUGUUAUGGGGCUCGUAGCUUGCACAUUAUGGUCCAUGAAAAAAAAUGCAGCCACCAUCUUCCAUUUUAAUAGCACCUUCUUCAUUUAUCUUGCUAGGGGAGAUUUGCAUGUGCGUUUGUCAUGUUCCAGACUCCUGCACACACCACAUUUCCUUUUUGUCUUUGGUUUUGCAAUCUCAAAACCUGAUUGCUUUCUUUUUAACUUUGGCCGCCCUUUCAUUACAGUCUUGGGAGGGUCUAGUAUCAACUUUGCGUUUGAGGAUGGAGCUGCAUCAGGAUGUGGGGGUUGGAUGACAAAAGCGUGAUUGUUUUUGCUAGCAUGUAUCAUCACCCGCACACUUUCUUGCUGUGUGGCAGGGUUACCCUGUCGCUGCACAUUAGUAGCACUUUCUUGUUGUGUGGCGGUGUUCUCCUGUUCAUUCACAUUGGUGGCACUUGUUUGCUGUGUGGCUGGGUUCUCCGGAUGUCUUGCAUCGGGGGUGUUUUGGUGAUAUGUGACAGGGUUGUCUUCAUUCAUCCGCCCCACAUGUAUCGAGCAGGGAUCCGGCUGUCCUUGAAACAAUCCUUUUGCUUCUUCCUUUUCCUUUCUUGCUUUUUUAAGUUGAUUGUUCUUCAGGAUUUCAAGCUCCUCCUUGAAAUUAUACAGGUGCUUUCUUGCCAAUCUGGUCUCGUCAUCUGUUAGGCAAGCAUCUUUGGCCGAUGCCUUAAAUUCUUUAAGAAUUGACGUGUAUCGCAUGACGCUUUUCCCCUCCUCUGGCAUCGACUUCUUAACUGUUGGCUGUUCGAAAUCAGGUUGAAUAAGAUCCUCCUCUGGAUCCCAGGUCCACCUCUUUAGGAUAUACUUUUCAGGUAUCUCGUAUACCCCAAUUUGGUCCAUAACUCGUAGUACGUGCGCGCACAGUAGCCCGUCACGAUCAAACUUGCAGCAACUACACGAGUAUGUCUCUUCAACCAUGUUUGCUUGCACAUGGUAGUCCCUGUCUUCAUAUUUCAGUAUUAUCCCGCGCACUGAGCUGACCUUGAAAGUACCAUCAUCCAAUGCGUCGCAUCUGUAUGCUGAUUUCACCUUCAUCUCCACCUGGAACUUGCAAAACAAGUUAUGUGUGUAUAGCCCCCGCACCUGCAUCUCCAGCGAGUUCAUCGAGUACAUUUCGGUUUCUUUGUACACUAUUUCCAACUGCUCUCUUGACACGCUAGCCAUCACCUUAUCCUGUAUCGCAGUGUACUGUUAUGCGAAUUCGACCAAUGAGUUGUUUGGGUUGACAUACUUCUUGAGCACAGUGUUAAAUCCCUCGCUUCUUGCCGUGGUCUGCAAGAACGGGAAAAAGUCGUGCAUAUAGUAUACCGGGACCCAACACUUCCUGUUCUCCCACAGCCAAUGGAAAUGCUCGUUGUCAGUCUGGCCAUACGCUUCGAUCAUCACCCACCACUUGUGCUCAAACUCAUCAACUGCAUUCAUAAUAUAAACAUGGUAACAUCAAUUAUUGGAGGAUGGUAACAUCUGUUCAAACAUAGCUGGUAACUAGGAACACCAAUGCUGUUGAUAAUUAUGUCACACACACAUGGUUACUUUAGUUGAAGGAUCAAGGUAAGUACUUUGCAGACAGGAUAAGAUUUUAUUUUUCCAAAGCGAAUACCACUCUCUGUGUGUAGUACAAGCAACAUUUUUAACUAGCAACAAAAAGAUACUCAUAUUAAUCAGACUAGCUGGUGAUUGAAAAGUUUUGUUGUAACUAGUGGGAUGAACAACUGAAAUGUGUACAUCAAACACGGACAUUAUAGGGGUAGUACAGAAAGCAACUAAUGUAGGUAAUUUUGUUAUAAUCCUCUGGUAACUUGUCACUUUGUUAGAUGGUAACUGUUGUUAUCAUGCAUCUAAACCCAUUUUCUAUGUGCCCAUUUUUUAUGUGUUUUAAGCUAGUGAGGGGUGGGAAGUAAAAUACCAGUCAGGCUGUUGUCAACACAAUCCUUGAAUGCAUUGUUUAGUGGGUCAUUGUUAGCCAUCAGCUUCCCAAGCUUCUCUUGUGCUUUUUUCAUUAUAUGCUAGCGGCAAUUCCUGUGUACUAUCCCGAUGAAGACCUCAUCAAUAGCACUCCUCAUUGCAAAAUCUUGAUCUGUUAUUAUGUUCUUUGGCGCAAUUCCACCCAUUGCAUGCAAGAAUGCAUUAAACAGCCACACAAAGUUACCAGAUAGUUCGUUUCGAACAAACCCACAACCAAAUUGGAUCGACUGCCCAUGGUUAUUAAUGCCAAUGAAGGAUGCACAGGGCAUUUUGUACAUGUUUGUCAUGUAUGUUGUGUCAAAUGAGAUGACAUCAUUGUAUCUAGCAUAUGCCCUGCGCGACGCACCAUCUAUCCAGAAUAAAUUCUCCACUCUGUCCUCAUCAUCAAGAUUUAUUCUCCAAUAGAAAUCUGGAUCUUGUGCCUUCAUAUCUUGGAAGUACGAGAUUGUGCUCCCCACAUCAGCAUGGCGGUACUCCAUUCGGAAUUUAGCUUGCUGGUUUGCGAUGUCCUUUGUUGUGUAUGGUACAUCUUUAGGAUUUCCGUAGAACCAUUCCAUUAGUUGCAUCUGUCUAGCUGUCUCUAUGUUCCAUCCGUGCAAUAUCUUCAAGAAGUCCUGCUCAUCUUUUGGAAUGUUCCUAUGUGAUGAUAGGAACUUUGUCAAGGACGGCUUUCUUAUUAGAGGGUGGUUGUGGUCGUCGUUGAAGCAUUUGACUCUCCACCACGCAUCCGUGUGGGUGAUGUAAAGGUGGGUCGGACAUCCCGACCUCACAACCUUCCCUCGUUUCGUCUUCUUCACGAUGCCUUUUGGGUCAUGCACAUCCUCUAUCUCUUCCUUGUUUGUUUUUGGCUUGCCGUAUUUCCCACAAACCAGGAGGACUCUGCUUACAGUAUUAUCUUUGAUUGUUUUUCUAUUCCAGUCUCAUUCCAAACCCAUGUCUCUAUGCAUAUUGCCUGUAGUGUUCAUAAGCUUCCUCAAAAGUAUCAAACUUCAUCGUUUCAUCAGGAGGUUUCGGUGUGGAGUAUGCCUCAGUAUUUUUGUCUCCCUGUUCAGCAUUCUCUCCCCCUGUUUCUGGACUCGCUGGCUCACUGACUGAAUGAUCAAAGAAGCUUUCUCUCCCCCCUAUGCUGCUAGUAGUCGGUUCUUUGCUUGUUUCUCGAACCAUCGGGUUGCUUCUAGAAGUAGCACCUGUAAUGUUUUUGAAAGUUGUUAUUUUGUGUUAUAUUUUUCUGCAUCCCAAAACUAGUGGUAACUUGUACUCCAGUUGCUUGGUAAAGUUUGCAUGCCAAAACAGAUGUUUUUUUUCUGUGGCUGUAAAGUGAAAGCAUGAAAUUCCAAUUGCAAUACAUAUUGCAUGAUAAUUCGUAUGCAGCAAGUGAGGUAACUAUGCCUAAAUUCAUGGUAACCAGCGAAAGCAUGUAAUACCAAUUUCAAUACAAAUUGGAUGAUAAUUUGUAUGCAGUAAGUGUGGUAAUUGUACCUAAAUUCAUGGUAACCUGUGUUCAUCAAGCUACGUCAUUUGUCAACUGUUUCAUGGUGAAUGUGAUAGUUGUAAAUAACCUAAGGUGGUAGUUGCAAUUCAAGUAUGAUGGUAACAAAUUUGUGUACAAAAUUGUGGUAGCAUGGUAAAUGUUUUACCUUCAUCUGUUUUGGCAGAACCAAAGCUUGCCGUGUGUGCAUAUUCACACUGUUGGUUUGUCCCCACACCACUCAUCAUGACAUCCACAUUACCCCCGUUGUCAUGCGCCAUUUUCUUGUGUCGUAGCACCUGCUAGUACAUAUGAUUGCACCAAUUAAUUUUCCACAAUUACUAGCAAUCUUGAUUAUUUUUUCACAACAACUAUAUUUUUUCCUUUUAAUGCCAUGAUAACUUCUGUUUUAUAACAGGUAUCGUUUUGGCAGUAACCAGCAUAUGGGAGUAUGACUGCGACAGUUUCUAUGAACCUCAUUUCAUGAACAUCAUUUUUAUCAAAAAAGAAUGGUGGCAACAAUGUAAAUCAACACAUGGUAUUCUUGUAGUGUUUUUAGCACCUUUGGUUCUGAGUUUUUCCUGGUAAUUUGUAAUGAAUUAGCACGAUAACUUGUUCUGACAUGGGUGUGUUCGAUAUAUAAAGGAUGGGUGUGUUCAAUAUAUAAAGGAAGAAAGGGAUCUUUUUUUGUGUUGAAUAAGUCUUACAGGAUGCUGAUUACUCAAUGCACAUACUCUGGUAAUCUAUUUUCAAUCGAGAUGGUAUGUCAGUUUUAAUGAGAAAAUUCAUACAUGUAUUUUCUAACUUGACUGUAAAAGAUGAAAUUUAGUCAAUCUUUUUGUUGGUAACCUGAUUGAAUUUGAGUGGUAACUCAAUUUCAACAUGGGAAUUACACACAUGUAGUAAAAAUACUACCUUUUCUUGCAUGCUUUAGUUCUUGUUGUUUUUUCCCCAUGUUUUCCCCGCUUGAUUUUAUUGGUAUGAAAUGCAAAUGCAGCAUGGGUAUAGAGGUAGCAUGGGUAUAGAGGUUGAAUCAGUUACCUCCUUUCUUUUUUGACUGAUUAUGACGAAAUAUGGACGAAUUGAUGAUAACCCCUGUGAUGUUCUUGUGGUAAACCGGGGCCCUCCCUCAAAUCCUUGUGUUUUGGUGUUGUUUUUUCAUGGUUUCCCUUUUUUUUGGUGGAUCUGAUCCGGCGUCGAUGUUGCCGGCGAUGGUGGCGCGUCGGGGAGAGAGGAGAGAACUGAUCGGGGCAGGUGGCUGUUUCUUGCGAUGGAGGUAAGAAAGUAGGGUUUGGGUGGUAAGUCACGUGCAGGAGGGGGGAGGUGGGCCAAAUUGGGCUUCGAUCCGUUGCACGGGGAAGGACGCAGUAGGGGGGAGGUGGGCCUAGUGAGAGAAGUCUGGGUCGUGGGUGGAGCUACCGAAUUGGAUCACGCGCGGGAGGGACUCAGGUUCCCGAUCGUGCGGAUCUGUCGCUAAACCACCAGUAGGCUGGUGGUUAGUCGCGUCCUAUACUAUAAUAUAUAAAAUUAAUUUAAUAAUAGGAUGUGGAUACGGCUCGGUCGAUUAAGACUUAGAAAGAAGUCUCAGUCAGCUGGCAUCAUGACGGGAUGCAGUAGUAGCCCCAGGUGACACUUUCGGAUGCAGGUCUAGUGGCAUGCAUGCAAUUGUCUAUCUUCCGACAAAAACACGAGGAGUUGCAGUCGUGGGCGACACCUGCAGUUGCAUGCCAAGUGUCGGACAUGCAACUUCCCCCUCCCAGACAAAAUACCACAGAGAUGCAGUCUGGUUUAAGACAUGCAGUUACAGUCUGGGGCAACACUUGCAGUUGCAUGCGUAGUGUCGGGCAUGCAACUAGCCCCUCCUCUCCCCGUUGCUCUUCGACAAAAAUACAAAGGACAUUUGUAGUUGGGAGGGAUGCGUGCAAUGGCAGUCGAGGGCAGCACGUGGAUUUGCAAGCCUAGUGUCGGCCACAGAACUGCCCCCUCUCACGCUACCCACCGACCAAACAAAAGGUUGGGUGCGGUUGGGUGUGUUGACAUGCAGUUGUAGUCGAAGGCGACACUUGAGUUACAAGCCUAGUGUUUGGCAUGCAACUGCCCCUCUCUCCCCCCGCCCUCAUACAAAAACACAUGGCCAAUUGCAAUUAGGGCGGAGGCGUGCAACUGCAUUCGAGGGUGGCACUUGUACUUGCAGCCAUUUUGGGAGACAUGAAGUUGAAGCCAUGGUGACACUUGCAGUUGUAUGCCUAGUGUUGGACAUGCAAUUUCCCACCUCUCUCGCCGCUUACUUGAAAAAAGGUCAGUUGUAGUCAAGUGUGUAGGCAUGCAAUUGCAGUCAAGGGCGACACUUGCAGUUGCAAGCCUAGUGUCGGAUAUCUAACUACCACCCCCUCUCUCAUUGUCCACCAUAAAAAAAGGUCUGUUGCGGUCGGAUGUAUGUACAUGCCGUUGCACUCGAGGGCGACACUUGCAGUUGCAAGCCUAUUGUCAGACAUGCAACUUCCCCCUUCUCCCACUGCCCUCCGACAAAAACAUAAGGCUAGUUGCUGUCGAGAGGGAGACAUUCAGUCGGGAGUGACACUUCUAGUUGUAUUGCUAGUAUUGGACAUGCACCCCCCUCUCCAAUAGCCCACUUACAAAACAAAGGUCAAUUGCAUUUGGGGUGUGUGGGCAUGCAGUUUCAAUCGAGGGCAACACUUGCAGCUGCAUGCCUAGUGUUACCCCGCCUCUCCCCACCGCCCACUAACACUUGCAGUUGCAAGCCUAGUGUCGGAGCUGCACCUGCCCCCUUCUCCCGAUAAAAAAAAGGAGGAAAUAUACGCAAAAGCCAGUCCUUCAUCAAUUGCAUGAGGAGUAAGACGUGUGUAGUUAUGCAUGGAUAAGCGAACUUGCUACAUACACUCAAUAUUUCUUUUGAGGCUAAAAAGUAAAGAAUAAAUAACAACAUAGUUACAUGCCGAUACGAUGUGUGCGGUCACAUGUGGAUGGAUGUACAUGUAGCUGAUAGUAUGAUUUGAGAAAUGACAAAAACAAAUGUGAACAAUUAAGAAUUAAUAAAAUAUAAAAUAAAAAUGAAAAAGCACACAAACAUACUUCAAAGAAAGAAUUAUGAGAGAAAAGAGAACAAGAAAAGAAUGAGAAGAAUGAAAUAUGUAAUAAUUUCAAAAGAAGCAACAAAAAAAUUUAGAAAGGAAAACUAUCCUUGAAAUCCAAAAUGAAUUGGCUCAAGCCAUUUUGAAAAAUAUUAUAAACAAUGUUGCGAUCGGAAAAAGGAAAUGCAACACAAAUUUGCACCAAUCUUGGCGCAUAAAGAUUGAACGGUUUUUCGUAUAACCAAAUCGUAUAUGAGCAAACCUUGACAUACAACAUGGUGGAAAAUAAAAAAACGUGGAGCAAAAUUAAGAGUGUGCAUUGAUCAUGACAUGCUAAAAGAUAUAGGGGAAGACACUGAGCGUGGAGGACACACAUGCUGGUCUAGUAGAGAAAAUGAGUAAAAACAAGACAACACACAACACCGCUCCCGCAUCCGUCCAUGGACAGGGGGACCAGUCCACGGACACGAAUGCGGGAGGCGGCCAUCCAACACUGCCAGUAUACAUUUCAACAACUUUUUAAAUCAGUCGAACGAAAUUUUUGCAAACAUGAUGUAUUUCAUUCAAGUUCGGUUAUAAUUUACAUGAAAAGAUCAAUAUUUCAAUUGUUUAACAAAACAACUAGGAAAAAACCCUAAACCCUAUACCGAACAACCACCAUGUAUGUGUGGCCGCCCUGCACUGCCGCACCGCCGUCGCUGUCCGUGCCACCGAUGUCAUUGUCGUUGUCGUCCCUCUAGCGGCGAAGCAGCGCAGGACGACCGUGACAGUCUUGUCCAACGGUUGCCUGCCGCUCGCGGAGGAGCCGCUCCGCCUCUUGUUGCGCGGUGCAGAGAGCCGCCGUGGACACUGUCUUGAUCGGCGUUGGCAGAGUAGUGGCUAAGAUACCACUCCUCACUGUCAAGGCGGCGGCGGCGCCUGGCGACCGUCUCUAUGGUGGUGAUGGAGCUGUCGUGCGUCCAUGCGGCAGAAAGGUCAGGGUCAUUGCCGGAACAUUCUGGCGCCACGUCCGACUUGGCGAACGCGGAGCGGUGACCGACAUUGCACAGGUCGUAUCUCGCGCCCUGCCUCGCUGCGAGCUCCGCCUCGGAAAUAGUUGGUUCGUCGGUCGUUUUGCCCCGUUUUACAAAUUCACUAACUUUUUUUGAUAUUUUGUAAACAAUUGUAUUGAGCCAGCAAACAUCUUUCGAAAUUUGGGAACAAUAUUUGAAAUUUAGGUACAUUUUUUUGUUUCUGACGAAUAUUUUUUUGAGUUCAUGAAUACUUUUUAAAUCAGCAAACAUUUCUAAAUCUUUUGCACAUUAUUUGAAACUCGGGAAUAAUUAUCAAAAUUCCUUCAUUUUUUUAAUAUUGUGAUAUUUUUCUAAAUUUCUAAAAAACUCAAAGAUUCAUGAACAGUUUAUGAAAUCAUGAAUUUUUUUUGAAAUAUUAAAAAUUUAAUAAAUUCACUACCAUUUUUUACCAAUUCGUGAACAUUUAUUUCAAAUGCGUUGUUUUUUUUGAAAAUUUGAACACUUCCAAAAAAUCCUCAACUUUUUAAGAAAAUUCAUGAACAUUUUUUUAAUACACGAACAUGUUUUGGAAAUCACAAACCUUUUCUGAAUCUGUGAGCAUCUCUCAUUUCCUGAACAUUUUUUUAAUCAUGAAUUUCUUUGAAUUUACAAACAAUUUUUACAGUAUGUAACUUUUUGGAAAUCGGGAAUUAGUUUUUGAAUGGAAAAUACUGAUAACAGAAAGAAGAACAAACAAAGGGACAACCCACCGCCACAUGGGUCGGCCGAUGAGGGUUUGUUGUGGAGACGGGUGGGGUAUAAGCGCGGGCGUGGGGAGCUCCAAUUGCGUGCAUCAAAAAAAAGGAAAAGAAAGGUAAAAGAAAGAAAAAGUGGAAAGUUACCAGAUCAUGCUGGUGGCGGGUUGGUUACGCUACGGUACAUGAUUAAGGUGGUUGCUCAACAUGGCAAUGAGUACCCGCGAACCCGACGGGUAAAAACUCUAUUGGGUAAGGGUUUGAGAAAGUUAAAUACCCAUGGGUUUUUAAAUGUGAUAAAAAUUUAACCUUCGGGUAAGCCGGGUAUGGGAACAGGGAGGCAAUACCCAUACCCGUGUACCCGCCUACCCAUCGCAUAUUAGUACAUCUUAUAGGUAGGUCCCCUAUGUCAUUCACUAAGAAAAGGAAAACCCUAGCCUAACCCAGCCGCAGCUUGCACACAAAAUGCCCUCCCCUCACCCACCCAUCGCUUCCUCACACUCAUAGAAUGCAAACACCGUAUCUCCAUCUCACCUCGGCUGAAAUGCUAAAUAAACAUGCUGAAAUGUUGUGUUUCAUCUACUGAAAUGCUGAAAUUAUACAUUGUACAAUUUGAAUUGAAAGGUGACCGAGAUGGGUAUUACCCGCACCCGGUCGAGAUUGGCAAUUUGAAUUGAAAGGUGACCUAGAUGGUUGUGAAAAAAGUUGAUCAUGUAUUUAAAAUAUGUUAAAGAACUAUUUGAAAAAUGUUAAUCAAGCUUUAGAAAAAUGUUGAAUGUGUAUAGGGAUAAUGUUGACCAUCUAUUAAACAAAUGAAAAAAUAUUUUAAUCAUGUGUAUGAAAAUAUGAAUCAAGCAUUUAAAAAAAUGUUGAACAAGUAUUUCAAAAAUGUUAAUCAAGCCUUCGGAAAAUGUUAAAUGUGUAGAAAAAAUGUUUACCAUGCAUUCAAAUAAAUGCUAAUCUUGCAUUUGGAAAAUGUUGGUAAAGCAUUUGAAAAAUGUUAAUUAUUCAUUCAAAAAUAUUUGACCAUGUAUAAGAAAAAUGUUGACCAUGUAUUAGGAAAAUAAUAACCAUGUAUUUGAAAAAAAUGUUAAUCAAUCAUUUGAAAAAAAUUAAAGUGUGUAUAGGAAGAAAUGUUGAUCAUGGACACCAAAAAUGUUAAUCUUAUAUUUAACAUAUGUUAACCAAGCGUGGUGGUGAUGGUGGUGCUGGAGUCGGAAUACAGGCAGGGCUGCGCUAAGCGAAAAAACCAUGGACGAGAACUAUGCCGGGAGGGAGAGACGGGGCAGCAGCUAAGGCCAAUGUAUUGGGUACCUUUGCUGCGCCCCCUCCCCCAUAUUUAUAUGCAUGUGGGGGGAGGCUUGGAGUCCAGCCCUACUCCUAAUAGGAGUUGGGGCCAAAGGGGUAGAGGACUUGGACUCCAAGUCCAAUUCUAUUCCUACUAGUAGUCCCCCUUUUCCCUUCCCUAGCCAUAUGGGCUUUUGAGAACUUGGUGCGCCUAGCCCAAUAAAGCCAGGGCUCCUCCCCUUAGCCCAUGCCAGCCCUUGGGACUUGGUGAACCCACUUGUGGACUUCCGGACCCCUCCGGAACCUUCUGCAAGCUUCCCGAUACAAUACUGAAAAAACUGCAUCAUUUUUCUAGAACCCAAAAAUAUGAAUUCUCAUAUAUAAAUCUUUACCCCUCAACCAUUUCUGGGACUCCUCGUGACGUCUGAGAUCUCAUCCGGGACUCUGAACAACAUUUGGUUACCAACAUACAUAUCCCAAUAUUACUCUAGCGUCACUAAACGUUAAGCGUGCGGACCCUACGGGUUCGAGAAUGAUGUAGACAUAACCGAGACACUUCUCCAGUCAAUAACUAAUAGCGGAACCUGGAUGCCCAUAUUGGUUCCUACAUAUUCUAUGAUGAUCUAUAUCACCUUUAUGACAAUGAUACGUCUCCAACGUAUCUAUACUUUUUAUUGUUCCAUGCUAUUAUAUUAUUUGUUUUGCAUGUUUUAUAUGCAUUAAUAUGCUAUUUUCUAUUAUUUUUGGGACUAACCUAUUAACCUAGAGCCCAGUACCAGUUUCUGUUUUCCUUGUUUUUGAGCCUCGAAGAAAAGGAAUACCAAACUGAGUCCAAACGAAAUAAAACCUUCUCAAUGAUAUUUCUUGUACCAGAAGACACCUGUUGGAUCUGGACUCCUAGUCAGAAGACCUUGGCGUAGACGACAAGCCAUUGGGGCGCGCCCUACGGCGGUGGGCGCGCCCCUACCUUAUGGCCUACUCCAACACCCCCUGACCUAAUUCUUCGUCCUAUAUAUUCACAAAUAUUCCCAAGCCACUAGAGACAUCAACAAAACACAUUUCCACUACCGCAACCUUCUGUUCCCAUAAGAUCUCAUCUAGGGGCCUUUUCCGGCAUCCUGCCGGAGGGGGAUUGGAUCACGCAGGGCUUCUACAUCAACUCUAUUGCCCUUCCGAUGAAGCGUGGGUAGUUUACCACAGACCUAUGGGUCCAUCGCUAGUAGCUAGAUGGCUUCUUCUCACUCUCUUUGAUUCUCAAUACCAUGUUCUCCUUGAUGUUCUUGGAGAUCUAUACGAUGUAAUCUUCUUUUGCGGUAUGUUUGUCGAGAUCCGAUGAAUUGUGGAUUUAUGAUCAGCUUAUCUACAAAUAUUAUUUGAAUCUUCUUUGAAUUCUUAUAUGCAUGAUUUGAUAUCUUUAUAAUUUUCUUCAAACUAUUGGUUUAGUUUGGCCAACUAGAUUGGGUUUCUUGCAAUGGGAGAAGUGCUUAGCUUUGGGUUCAAUCUUGAGGUGUCCUUUGCCAGUGACAGUAGGCGCAUCAAGGCACAUAUUGUAUUGUUGCCAUCGAGGAUAAAAAUAUGGGGUUUACAUCAUAUUGCUUGAGUUUAUUCCUCUACACCAUUUCAUCUUACUUAAUGUGUUACUUUGUUCUUUAUGAACUUAAUACUCUAGAUGCAGGCAGGAGUCAGUCGAUGUGUGGGGUAAUAUGUAGUAGAUGCAGGCAGGAGUCGGUCUACUUGGCACGGACAUGAUGCCUAUAUUUCACAAUCAUUGCCCUGGAUAUCGUCAUAACUUUGCGCUUUUCUAUCAAUUGCUCGACAGUAAUUUGUUCACCCACCGUAUUAUUUGCCUUCAUGAGAGAAGCCUAUAGUGAAACAUAUGGCCCCUGGGUCAAAUUUCCAUCAUAUUAGUUUCUGAUCUACUAUUUUGCAAUCUUUUACUUUUGCAACCAAAAAACCCAAAAAUAUUUUAUCUGUUGUUUAUCUAUCUCUAUCAGAUAUCACUUUUGCAAGUGACCGUGAAGGGAUUGACAACCCCUUUAUCGUGUUGGGUGCAAGUUGUUUGAUUGUUUGUGCAGGUAUUGGUGGCUUGUGCGUUGUCUCCUACUAGAUUGAUACAUUGGUUCUAUAAUUGAGGGAAAUACUUAUGUCUACAUCGCUGCAUCACCCUUUCCUCUUAAGGGGAAAAACCAAUGCAAGCUCAAGAAGUAGCAGGAAGAAUUUCUGGCGCCGUUGCCGGGGAGAUCUAUGCCAAGUCAAGACAUACCAAGUACCCAUCAUAAAACUCUCAUCUCUUGCAUUACAUUAUUCGCCAUUUGCCUCUCGUUUUCCUCUCCCCCACUUCUAAAACAAAUUUCGAAAAGAUUUGCCUUUUUAUUCGCCUUCUUUCCGUAUGACUUUUUGCUCGUUUGCUAUCUUUGCUUGUGUUCCCGUGUGCCUUCUAUUUGAUUGAAUCUUUGCUUGCUAAAAAUCUUUCGAUAUGGAACAACUUAAAGUUUUCUACUUGGAUCAUCUUCGAUCCAUAUGUGCUCGUGCUCAAACCCCAACUAGUUUAGUUGAGGGAAAAUCUUUAGAUGAGCAUGCGCAUUUUGUGCGUCAGCGUAUGUCAGAAAAGGGAGACUCUUAUGGAAUCAAAUAAAUUAUUUGCUAUGUUAUGCUUCGAAUCUUUGUGAACUUUGUGAUUUUACUUGUUGCUCUAAGAACCCUAAAAACACCUUCCGUACCUAUCUGAGUUUAAUGAUAAUGAAAUCUUAUCUUCUUAUGAAAAGGGUGUUUACAGUUAUUAUGAUAUCGAACAAAUUAAAGAAUUUGUUGCUUUUAAGGGUGCUUAUGAAGUUGCUUCUUUCUUUGAAAAGUAUGAUAUUACUCUCUACAAAUCUGAAAAUUUUGACAUACUUCAAUAUUGCUAUCAGUACUAUGCUCAUAAUGUCUAUGUUAAGGAAUUUACUGAGAGAAUGACUGUUUCUUUCGAAGAAAAUAAUGAUAUGCAUGAAUCUAUUGAUCAUUAUAAUUCCGAUGAUUUGAUUGAAAUAUCCUUUGAUGAACAUGAUGCUUGCUAUUCUUAUGGACAAGAUGAAAAUAUUAAUUAUUCUUAUGGACAUGAACUUGUUGUAGUUCCUUAUGUUAAACAUGAAAUUAUUUUUAUUGCAACCACACUUGAUAGUUCCUUCGAUGAGAAGCAUGAUUGUAAUGAUGUUAUCCCAAAUUCUAUUAAGGUCAAUUGUGUUAAUGAUAUGCAAAACCCCAAGCUUGGAGAUGCUAGUUUUGUUAUGUCCACUACUUGUUGCAAUGAUCAUGAUUGGGGUGAUUCUUCUUAUGAUCUUGAAAAUUUAUUUAAACCUCAUGAUGAAUAUGUUUGCUAUACUAUUGAAAGUAGGUUUGGAAGAGUGUCAACUUUAGAUCCCACAUAUUUGGGUAAUUUUCAAUCUUAUGAAGUUUUUGAUAAAAGUGGGUUUGGAGAGGUCAUGACUUUAGUUAAUGUUAAUCCCACUAUUUUGGAAAAGUGUCAACUUCACAUGCAUGCGGAUCUUGUUGAGAAUAUGUUAUAUGAUAGCUAUAUUGUUGAAUUUGAAUAUGAUCCCACAUGCAAUUAUUAUGAAAGAGGACAAUAUGGUUGUAGAAAUUUUCAUGUUACUAAAUCACCUCUCUUCAUGUUGAGAUUGUCUAUGUUUUAUUUUUCUUCCUUGCAUAUGCUAGUUUUUGCUUUCCUUGAUAAUUUGUUUGCUUAUAAAAUGCCUAUGCAUAGGAAAUAUAUUAGACUUAGAUGUGUUUGGCAUGUGUUCUAUGAUGCUCUCUUUGCGCAUCAAUUCUUCUCUUUUAUGUGAGCAUCAUUGAAAUUAUCAAUGCGUAGCUAAAGGCUUUAAAGAAAAGCGCUUGUUGGGAGACAACCCAAUAUUUUUCCUUCCUGUUUUUCAAUAAAUAAUUCAUCUAGCCUCUGGUUAGAUGUGUUUUUGUGUUUUAGUUAGUGUUUGUGCCAAGUAAGACCUUUGGGAUGGCUUACGGUGAUAAUUGAAUUGAUCUUGCUAAAACCAAGAAACUUUUGUGCCCAGGAAAAUAAUUUUCAUUUUUACAGAAGAGUGCUUUUGAUCUCAUUAUUUUUGCACAAGAUUGGUACACAAAUUUCCCAGUGUGUCCUAAUAUUUCAGAAUUUUUGGAGUUACAGAAGUAUUCGAAGUUUCCAGAUUGCCACAGAUUGUUCUGUUUUUGACAGAUUCUGUUUUCUAUGUGUUGUUUGCUUAUUUUGAUGAAUCUAUGGGUAGUAUCGGGGGGUAUGAACCAUGGAAAAGUUGGAAUACAGUAGAUAUUACACAAAUAUAAAUAAAGAAUGAGUUCACAACAGUACCAAAAGUGGUGAUUUAUUUUCUUAUACUAACGGAUCUUAUAUGAUUUUUUGUUGAGUUUUGUGUUUUGAAGUCUUCAAGUUUUGGGUAAGGAUUUGAUGGACUAUGGAAUAAGGAGUGGCAAGAGCCUAAGCUUGGGGAUUCCCAAGGCACCCCAAGGUAAUAUUCAAGGAAAACCAAGAGCCUAAGCUUCUGGAUGCCCCCGAAGGCAUCCCCUCUUUCGUCUUCGUCUAUCGGUAACUUUACUUGAAGCUAUAUUUUUAUUCACCACAUGAUAUGUGUUUUGCUUGGAGCGUCUUGUAUAAUAUGAGUCUUUACUUUUUAGUUUUCCAUAAUCAUCCUUUCUGUACACACCUUUUGAGAGGGACUCGCAUGAAUCAUAAUUUAUUAGAAUACUCUAUGUGGUUCACUUAUAUCUUUUGAGCUAGGAAAUUUUGCUCUAGUUCUUCACUUAUAUCUUUUUAGAGCACGGCGGUGGCCUUAUUUUGUAGAAAAUGUUGAACUCUCAUGCUUCACUUAUACUAUUUUGAGAGUUUCUCUAAGCAGCAUGGUAAUUUGAUUUGGUUAUAAAUUUAGUCCUACUAGUGGAGUAUUAUGAGAAGUUUGAUACUAUGAGAAGUUUGAUUCCUUAUGAUUGUUUAUGAUUGUUUUGAGAUAUGAGGAUGAUGAUAAAGUGCAUUGAAUACUAUGAGAAGUUUGAUUCCUUAUGAUUGUUUUGAGAUAUGAGGAUGAUGAUAUUAGAGUCAUGCUAGUGGAGUAAUUGUGUGUUGUAGAAAUACUUGUGUUGAGGUUUGUGAUUCCUGUAGCAUGCACGUAUGGUGAACCCUUAUGUAACGAAGUUGGAGCAUGAUUUAUUUAUUUAUUGUCUUCCUUAUGCGUGGUGGUCGAGGACAAGCGAUGGUAUUUUCCUACCAAUCUAUCCCUCUAGGAGCAUGUGCUUAGUACUUUUUUCGAUGACUAAUAGAUUUUUGCAAUAAGUAUGUGAGUUCUUUAUGACUUGUGACACCCACGAUUCAAUCGUAGACUAAUCAUACAUGCAAAUGUGUACAAUGAACAUCAGGGACUCACGGGAAGAUAUCACAACACAACUCUAGGCACAAAUAAAAAUUAAUACAAGCUUCAUAUUACAAGCCAGGGGCCUCGAGGGCUCGAAUACAAGCUCGAUACACAAGAGUCAACGGAAGCAACAAUAUCUGAGUACAGACAUAAGUUAAACAAGGAUGCCUUAAGAAGGAUAGCACAAAAGAAAUAUGAUCGAAGAGGCAAGGCCUCCUGCCUGGGACCUCCUAACUACUCCUAGUCGUCGUCGGUCUCAACGUAGUAGUAUCCGUCGACGGUGGCAUCUGGCUCCCAGGAUCCACUAUCUGGUUGCAACAACCGGAAAGGAGAAAUAAGGUGGGAAAGGGGUAGCAAAGCAAUUGUGAGUACUCAUCCAAAGUACUCGCAAGCAUCAGAUCUGUACUAAGUAUGCAUUGGUAUCAAAUGGAAGGUUGUAUAUGUCGACUGGACUACAACAUGCCAGAAUAGAGGGGGAAGGCCUAGCCUAUCAAAGACUAGCAUCUUCAAGCAGCUCCAAGCAACUUGCAGCAUGUAGAAGAGUAAAGAAUAGCAUUUUAAUAUUAAACAAACAUGUUGUAGAACCAACACCCAGAUAUCCUUCCUCGACUCCAUGCGAGGAAGCAAUCCCGGAGCCACAUAUCCAUCACAUAUCUCAAGUGUCCAUAUAUAGUUAUAUAAGAUCAGGAUACAAGUUUGAACGUCCAUUACCACGGACACGGUAUUCGAAUAUAUAUCUUCCCUGCAGGGGUGCACCACGUUACCCAACACGCUGGAUAACUCUGGCCGGACACACUUUACUGGUUUAAUGCCCGGCCUCGGAAGAUCAACACGUCGCAGCCCUACCUAGGCUUAGCAGAGAGGUCCCCGUCGGUCUACAUCCUAAGCACUCCGGGGUCUUGGGCCCAUCGCCUGCAGCACUCUGGGUCGUUUUGUGCAGGGUGGAUACCAGCACCUCCUCGGAUGGCCAACACGAUUCGACCAUGCCACAAUGUUGAACUGGACGUCUAACAAAGCUUCGGCUGGUACUGUGACGUCGUGGCCCAUAACUAUACUCGCAUGGUGGUUAGUGCGUAAAUGCCAGAGGCCAACACAGAACAAAUCCCCGAACCUGUUAGUGUAUUGGGGGCUCGCGAGGACGAGCACAGACUUACAUUAAGGUGACCCCGUCGCCCCGUCUCGUGGACUUACGGCAAGGGCCCAGACUGCCUGGUUGUGCCACGUGGAAAACUCGCGGGUGUGCUCUCUGGGCCCACCCGACAUUCACAUCAACUCGCGGGUACCCCUUAGGGCCGACCCGACUUCAACAAAGGUCUCAAGUAUAGUCAAGGUAACUGUGUGUCCAUAACAUCAAGGAGGAAAACCCGAGGAAUCACCCCCCGUGGAUUCCACUCGAUGUAACCAUCAAGGUGAACGUAAGAGGAAACACCCUCGAGGUUCACACUUGAGGGUUGCUCGACGGAGUAUUAUCGGGAGUGGUCUAGCACUACAAGAAAUAUGUCAACUUGUGACCACCACUAUUGGUCACUGAAAGGUCAUGGUUUGUCAUUUACGACCUUUUUGUGACCAAAAACAGAAGGUCAAAAGCUGGCGGUCGUAAACUAACUAUAGCGACCUUUCUUCUGGAAUGGUCGAAGACGUUUAUGACCAAAAUAUGUCCACUGUGGCGUUUUGGUCACUAGCAACCUCCCUAGGCCACUUAGGCAUCCAGCGUGGCAAGCUGAUGUGGCACAAGAUUCAGCCCGGUCCAAUUUGGUUUUCUACAUGGGCCUAGCCCACCAAUUCGGCCUUUCUAUAUUUUUUUCCUGUGCUUUUAUUAGCUACAUGGGCCUGGCCCAAGAAUUCAGCCUUUUUAUUUUCUAGGCCAUGGCCUUUUUUAUUUUAUUUUUUUCCAAAAUAUGAGCCCACUAGUGAGGUGGGACCCAGUUGUCAGGUUCUAACAAGUGGGUCCCAGGUGUCGCUGUUAUAUUAUUCAAAUCUCAAUUUUCCAGUAGAUAAAUAACAAUAUUUAAAUCCGAACAGAGAGAAAACAAAAUGCUUCAAACAGAGCACGACUAAUCAGGAAAAAUAUGGUACACAUCACGAAUACAAUCAGAAAGAGCCAAACUUGGCACAUUAUUACAAUCAAACUUGUUCAUCCUGGUAACACAGCAAGGAUGGUUCAUCCUAGUAACACAUUAUUACAGCAAAAUAUGGUUCACAUCAAGUUUACAAUAAACAAAAAUGUUCACAACAGGUAACACAAGUAUCACAGUAUAACUUGCUCCAAUGCUUCUCCCAACUUGUUCAUCCUGGACCUCACAACAAAACAUGAAUGAAGGCCAGCAUCUGCAAGUUAUCAAGAAAAAUGCUUAGAACAAGCAAAAUGCGACAUUUUUACCAUUUAAGCAUAGAAGAACAGGGUCAACAACAUUUCGAUCUUUGAAAAUGAACCAAGAUUUCAAUCUUUGAACAGCAAAAAAUUGAUACAGUAGAUCAUCUGCGGUUCAAAACAACCCCUAAGAAGAGACAUGUUGACACAUUCAUUUGGCAACAUCUGUAGAAAUUGAACCUCGUAAACAUGCAAUGUGAAAUUUGUAUCUCAAAGAAGUAUACAUACUUAUCAGAUUUUGAUGACAUUAACAUGCAGUACAAGCAAAGAUGGCAUGAUUGAACCUUGCAUAGUAAAAACUUGCAAGUAAAUAAGAACAACAAUGCUAAGAAGAUAAAACAUGCACAUUUCAGCCUGCAAUUGUGAAAAGGUCGAAUGGAUCCAAAUUAACAUACAAUUCAGAAAACAAUCAAUCUAUCUAUUAUAUACUUAAAACAAUAGAAAAGUAACGGUGGAGAUUAAGCAGUCUAAAGUUAUGGUAUUUGAAUGGCUGGGAUUAAAAGUUCCAAAAGUUUUUUAUAGGUAAAAGUUCUAAAAGUUACUUAGAACAUUAUCCUGUACAGUUCUUAGAAUCCGACACGUAACUGUCACAAAAAAACAGAAGACCGUGUACUUUAAUUAGGUGAAAAAAUAACAUGUACGUACGUCCUAUCAACAGCCAAUCGAAAUAAGUAAAAAAAAACCCUGCAAAUAUCAACAUGUGUCGUUAACACGUACUACUACAAGUUGAGUCCAACACGGAUAAGUAAGGAUUAGAUCACAUAAAGCCAAGUCCAACACGGACCAAAUAGGAACCAGAUCACGUACGUGUUAAAAAGAAACAUGCAUGUGGUGACCGUACCAAUUAGAUAAGAGUUGGAUUAGCAUUGGAUGCAACGACCUCAGGAUGAUGUCAUCGGGUAAAUAACAUGUACUGCUAAUUUGCUUCUAUUCCGAUUCACGUGGCCGGACGUCUGAUGGUGGUUGUACAUUGAGAUUAAUUCACUUCGGCAUAAAUAACUUAAUUAUUAGCAAAUUUACGUAAAAGUAUUUAAAUAAAGUUUUAGAUAAAUUAAUACAGGUAUACUUCACAACGAACACUGACAAUAAUUAGUAAAUAUAUUUAUAUUUCGUAGUACAUGAAACUCAGUGUAAAAUUAUGUGAAAUAAAAAAUUAGAAAGUUGAAUUGAUUGGAAGAAAAAAUAAUUUUGCAUUAAUAAUAGUAAAGUAAAAAAAGGUUUCAUAGGAAUAAAAUUCCACAAAUAGCUUAAUUUAUUACAAUGUUUUAAAUCAAAUAAAGAGUUAAUAUUGCAUAAAAAACUAAUCAUGUUUUAGAUUAUAUAUUAUCACAUAAAAAACUAAUAGUUUAUUAAAACAAGACACAAAAAUCCAUCAUGUUAAUUCAUAUACGCUUAAAAAUACAUGUUCUGUUGAUCCAUAUAACAAAGACUGAGAUUAAAAGAUUUGAAGACUUUAAUACAAGUCCUGUUAGAGAUUAAAAAAAAACUACAUACCGAUGUAUAUAGACAUAUUUUAGAAUAUAGAUUCAUUCGUUUUGCUCCAUAUGUUGUCCAUUAUUGGAAUCUCUAAAAAGACUAAUAAUUAGGAACAGAGUGAGUACAAUGAUAUUGAAGUGUAUACACGUGUUUCAUUGGAAACGUACAACACAUGUAUACAUUUUUUUUUCUAAACACAGUAGCAUACACAGGUUUAUUGGAACGGAUUUGCUAAUAGAAAAGUAAAAACCAUUAUGCUACUCGGAAGGGAGAUACCAUGUCUACGUAUGUGGAUUGAAAUUGGUGUCCGGCAAUAAUUUAGAACUAAUACAUCGUCCAGAAAAAGAAUUACAACUAAUACGGUCACAGACAAGAAUUACAGCUAACUAAUAUAGUUGCAUGAACCUACCAAGAAGUAUAUGCAUGCUCAACUUGACAUGACCUUAACUGAUUCAAAUAAUAUUUUUUAACAUUGUAACAUUACGCAACAAAAACAAACGUCUCAUAGUCGCUAGAGACAAUUUGGAAAGAAAAUAUUGGAAACUGACAUUAGCGUGUAAAAGAAGGGCAAAUUAAAAAAACACUAAUACCUCAAGACGUCCAAACAACGCUAUGGAAUCACAUGAAGCGAUGUGGGGUGGAAAUCACGUUGCGUAAACCUCCGGGCAAGGGAAAUUUCACGGAAUACAAUACAAUUCCAAAAAAACAGACAAGGAAACGAACACACAUGAUGAAGACAUGGAGUGAUUUGGGGCCGAAAUCACGUCGCGCAAAUGUGGUGCCAAGGGAAUGUUGAAUACAAUUUCGGAAAAGAUACAAAGGAAUCAGGACAUCGACACACAUAAAAAUGGAUAAGGACAAAAAUAUUCACUUUCUACAUUACGGAUUUGUAACAUGUACAUUAACCAAGUACCAGGAAGCAAUGCAAUUUUGUAGUAAGCAUCGGGAAAUAAUGUUAUGGCAACAAUGAAUAGUGUUAUGCAUGCAAAAGACCUACAACCGUGGACACAUUUUUAAGUCGAUGCGAAAUAACCUGAGUGCGACAAGGAUUAGCUAUAGAGAGACCGAGUGAGUAAGUGAGAGGUGAUGUUUUACGUAUAUUCAUAUUAAUGGAAACCGGUAUCUAUAUUCACUACUAGAAAAAGGGUCAAAUGUGAGACACAUUAGUCCCGGUUUGUAAUAGAACCGGCACUAAUGUGUCCAUUAGUGCUGGUUCCAACGGCUAGGUGGGAGGAGCUCUUUAGUACCGGUUCGUGGCGAACCUUUAGCACCGGUUCGUGCCACGAACCGGUACUAAAGAAAGUGGUGGCAGGAUGUUGUCAGAGUGGGGCCCUUCCAGCACCUUUAGUACCGGUUCGUGGUACGAACCGGUACUAAGGUCGUCCUAUAUAAACCCUUCGUCCACCCGCACUCUGUUCUUCCCCCUUUCCCCUCUCCCUCUCCUCUGUUCUUCCCUUCUUCCUCUCGAGUUCAUCACAAAAUUUGCCCCAAAUUUGUCAAGAUUUGCAGGCCCUCAUCCAUUCAAAUGAUCACCAAGGUUAGCAACUUUGUCCUUUCAUCUCUCAUUGCUAGAUUAGCUCUUGCAUUGGUUUAUAUAGUGAUUAAUUGUGGGUUUUAGUAAUUUGGGAGGAAUUAUAUGUGGUAGUAUUUGAUUUAUAUGCAAUUUGAGGUCAAAAUAACACUUAGGUUGCAUAUGUAGGUGUGGUUUACUUAGUGCCUUCUAAAUCUCCGUCGUAACCACCGUCGAUCGCCCGCACCGUCCCGUCGCCGGCACCACCUUGUGGUGAGCCUCUUGUUCAUGAAAUUUUAUAUAAAAAAUUGAUGUUUGUGUGAUUUGGAUAUAUAGUUACUCGUAUAAUAAUUAUCUUACCCGUACGUUGUUUGUUAUACAUACUGCCAUGGUUUUGAUAUCCGUCCCCGUUGGCCCUCGUCCUUGUUAUGAUUCGGAUGUGGUAUAUUCUCUUUUAAAACUAUUUGUUGCAUUUCGUGUUUAUGACAAAUUAUGCCCAUCAAGUUGACAUAGAUAUUUUUAUCUAGGAGGUAUGUGAACCGGAAAUUCCAACCGACCAUAUUGUCGAGAGGUUAAAUUUAGUUGAAAGAGAAAAUGAGUACUUGAAAGAAAAAUUGAAAAGAAUUGAGGGGGAGAGGAUGGAAUUGGAGUUGCAUGUUGCCGAUGUCGUCGAUGAUCACAAGAUCAAGAUGGAGAAAAUGCUCUUGAAGAUUAGAAAGAUUAGAAAAUAUGCCAUCGAUAGUGAGGCUUGGUAUCAUUAUGCUGUUGGAUCAAUUGUUACCUUAGUUGCGAUCUUGAUCGCAUUUGUUGUUGCAUUUAAAUGCUUUACCUAGAGAGUUAUUUGUUUGUUGCAUUUAAGUGUUGUAUGAACUUUAUGUAUGAACUUGUAUUAAUUUGGUCUAUUCGGUGUUGUGUAAUGAAGAUGAGCCGGCAAUGGAUGUACGAUGACCGAUGCUCUCCCCAGUUCGUUGAGGGCGUGCAUACUUUUCUGCUUGCGGCUGAGGCAAACAAGCGGGCGGAUGGUUUUAUGCCUUGUCCAUGUGGUGGCUGUAAGAAUGGUCGCAAUUACUCUACGUCAAGAACCAUUCACGUCCACCUGUUUAAGUCCGGUUUCAUGCCCCACUAUAAUGUUUGGACCAAGCACGGAGAAAGAGGGGUUAUGAUGGAAGACAAUGAAGAAGAAGAGGACGACAACAGCUAUCCUGGCCAUGGGUUCCCUGAAUACGAUGAUACAACAAUGGGGGAAGAAGCUGAGCCGAUAAUGCGGAAAGAAGCUGAGCCGGCAAUGCGGGAAGAAGCUGAAGAAGAGGCAUCAGAUGAGCCCGUUGAUGAUCUAGGUCGGGCCAUUGCCGAUGCAAAGAGAAGUUGCGCAAGUGAUUUGGAGAAGAAGAAGUUGCAGCACAUGUUAGAGGAUCACAAAAAAUUGUUGUACCCGAAUUGCGUAGGUGACAAGAAAAAGCUGGGCACCACACUGGAAUUGCUGCAAUGGAAGGCAGAGAAUGGUGUAUCUGACAAGGGUUUUGGAAAGUUGCUGGUAAUGAUAAAGGAUAUGCUUCGAAAGGACAACAAAUUGCUCGAGAGUACGUACGAAGCAAAGAAGGCUGUCUGCCCUCUAGGGUUAGAGGUGCAGAAGAUACAUGCAUGCCCUAAUGAUUGCAUCCUCUACCACGGUGAGUACGAGGAUUUGAACGCUUGCCCCGUAUGUGGUGCAUUGCGCUAUAAGAUCAGCCGCGAUGAGCAUGGUGAUGUCGAGGGCGAGCGCCCCAGGAAGAAGAUUCCUGCCAAGGUGAUGUGGUAUUCUCCUAUAAUACCACGGUUGAAACGUUUGUUCCAAAAAAAAGAGCAUGCCAACGCGAUGCGAUGGCACAGAGAAGACCGUAAGAAAGACGGAAAGUUGAGAGUACCCGCUGACGGGUCGCAGUGGAGAAAACUCGAAAGAAAGUACGGGAAGGAGUUUGCAGAUGACGCAAGGAGCGUAUGGUUUAGUCUAAGCGCAGAUGGCAUUAAUCCUUUUGGGGAGCAGAGCAGCAACCAUAGCACCUGGCCUGUGACUCUAUAUUUGUAUAACCUUCGUCCUUGGUUGUGCAUGAAGCGGAAGUUCAUUAUGAUGCUAGUGCUCAUCCAAGGCCCUAAGCAACCCGGCAACGACAUUGAUGUGUACCUAAGGCCAUUAGUUGAAGAACUCUUACAACUGUGAAAUGAAACAGGUGUACGUGCGUGGGAUGAGCACAUGGGGGAAUAAUUUGACCUAAAGGCGUUGUUGUUCAUGACCAUCAAUGAUUGGCCUGCUCUCAGUAACCUUUCAGGACAGACAAACAAGGGAUACCGCGGAUGCACGCACUGUUUGGAUGAUACCGACAGUAUAUAUUUGAAUAGUUGUAAGAGGAAUGUGUACCUGGGACAUCGUCGAUUUCUUCCGAGCAGGCAUCCCGUAAGAAAGAAAGGCAAGCAUUUCAAAGGUGAGGCAGAUCACCGGACGAAGCCUCACCACCAUACUGGUGCUGAUGUACAUGAUAUGGUCAAGGAUUUGAAGGUGAUAUUUGGAAAGGGUCCUGGCGGACAACCUGUUCCGAAGGACGCUGACGGACGCGCACCCAUGUGGAAGAAGAAAUCUAUAUUUUGGGACCUGCCAUAUUGGAAAGACCUAGAGGUCCGCUCCGCAAUCGACAUGAUGCACGUGACGAAGAAUCUUUGCGUGACCCUGCUUGGCUUCUUGGGCGUGUAUGGGAAGACAAAAGAUACACCUGAGGCACGGGAGGACCAGCAACAUAUGCACGGAGAAGACGACAUACAUCAGGGUCAUGGAAGCUACGCUCUUACCAAAGAAGAGAAGGAAAUCUUCUUUGAAUGCCUGCUCAGUAUUAAGGUACCGUCUGGCUUCUCAUCGAAUAUAAAGGGAAUAAUAAACAUGGCAGAGAAAAAGUUCCAGAACCUAUAGUCUCAUGACUGCCACGUGAUUAUGAUGCAACUGCUUCCGGUUGCAUUGAGGGGGCUUCUACCGGAAAACGUUCGAUUAGCCAUUGUGAAGCUAUGUGCAUUUCUCAAUGCAAUCUCUCAGAAGGUAAUCGAUCCAGAAAUCAUACCAAGGUUACAGAAUGAUUUGGUGCAAUGUCUUGUCAGUUUUGAGUUGGUGUUCCCACCAUCCUUCUUCAACAUCAUGACGCACGUCCUAGUUCACCUAUGCGAACAGAUUAACGUUUUGGGUCCUGUAUUUCUACACAAUAUGUUCCCCUUUGAGAGGUUCAUGGGAGUCUUAAGGAAAUAUGUUCAUAACCAUGCUAGGCCAGAAGGAAGCUUCUCCAAGGGCCAACAAAAUGAGGAGGUCAUUGAGUUUUGUAUUGACUUUAUUCCUGACCUUAAGCCGAUUUGUGUUCCUGAAUCGCGACAUAAGGGCAGACUGGAUGGAAAAGGAACUCUAGGAGGGGAAUAAAUAAUAUGUAUGGACAGACAUUCUCUCACUGAAGCACACUACACAGUUCUACAGAAUUCCGCCUUGGUGGCUCCAUAUAUGGAUGAACACAAGAAUUUGCUAAGCUCCAAACACCCGGAGCGAUCUGAUGACUAGAUUACACGUGAACAAACCAGGAGUUUCGCCAGCUGGUUGCAGACACGUACCAUGCAUGACACCUCUAUUGAAGAUGACCUAUACUUGCUGUCCCAGUUACCAUCUUCGAAUAUAAUGACUUUCAAAGGGUACGAGAUAAAUGGUAAUACAUUUUACACGAUCGCCCAAGAUAAGAAGAGCACCAACCAAAACAGUGGUGUCCUCUUUGAUGCAGAAACCAAGACGGGAAAGGAAACAUAUUAUGGUUAUAUACAGGACAUAUGGGAACUUGACUAUCGACGUGGUUUAAAGGUCCCUUUGUUUCGGUGCAAAUGGGUCAAUAUGACACGAGGCGGGGUAACGGAAGAUCCGCAGUACGGAAUGACAACAGUGGAUCUCAACAAUCUUGCGUAUGCAGACGAACCAUUCGUCCUAGCCAAUGAUGUGGCACAGGUUUUCUAUGUGAAGGACAUGUCUACCAAGCCAAGAAAAAGAAAAGAUAAGGAAGCGAAUGCAUCGUACGAUGAGCCAAAGCGGCACAUAGUUCUUUCUGGGAAGAGAAACAUCGUGGGACUGGAUGACAAGACAGACAAGUCAGAAGAUUAUGAAAAGUUUGAUGAAAUUGCUCCAUUCACAGUGAAUAUUGACCUGAGCAUCCCGUUAAAUGAUGAAGAUUUUCCAUGAUUACGGCGCAAAGGGACACACGCGAAGAAAAAGUUUCACACCCAAAGUUCUGGGAUGUGAUCGGCUUCACUAUCAUCACUUUCUUCUGUGUUUCACACCCAGAGGGGAAUCGCUGUAAUAGUUAGGGUAGUUAUGUGUUUUGGCAUUUGAAACGCGAAGAAAUUUUAUGUGCAAAUAAAUUCUUUCAUGCCUUUACUGAUUUUUAAAGUUAAGUUAUUCACAAACUAGUGAUUCACACUAAUUUCAAAUAAUUCAAAAUUUAAACUAUUCAAAUUUGAAAAGUACGGGCACUAACAGAAAGUUUGUAAUUUUUUGUACCUAAAGCAAAAAUAUUCACAAAGAAACUCUAAAUACACAAAAAAAAAACAACACAAAAAUAAAUAAAGCAAAAAAAAUUAAAAAAAAGCCUGCCUACUAGGCCAGAGCGGCCUACAUACGACUGGAACCCCAACCUGUUGUUGGGCCAGGAUGCAGGCCCGCAAAGGCCAAGUGGGCCCACAUGGCAGCAAAGAACACGUAGGCCCAGUAGGCCUGCUUUGGAGAGGAGCUCGAGAGAGCGACCGCAAGGGGGUUUAUAAACCAGUGCGGUCGCCCCUCGGCUAGCGAGGUGGGACUAAACUUGCCGCACCGCACCUGCGCCAGCGCACCCCCUUCAGUACCGGGUCAUGGCGAAGGGUCAAAUGUGAAGCACAAUAGUGCCGGUUGGAAUUUCAGCCGGCAGUAAUGUGUACACUAGUGCCGGUUCGUGGCGGCGAUGAAUAGCAACGCUUCGUGGCGAACCUUUAGUACCAGUUCAUGCCACGAACCGGUACUAAAGAGGCUGUGUCAGCCUCCGGUCAGGCUAUGGCCCCACCAUCACCAUUUAGUGUCGGUUCGUACCACAAACCAGUAGUAAUGAGGUUGUGUCAGGUAAGGCUGGGGCCCCACGAGCACCUUUAGUACCGGUUCAUGGAUGAACCAGACAUAAGCUGUUUUUUAGUCCCACCUCGCGAAGUGAGAGGGACUAGGAGCGGUUUAUAAGCCCUGAGUGCAGAGACGAUGAAGAAGAGGCUCAAUGCUCACGUUGCUUAGCUUCAAGCCUUCAGGAAUACGGUAGACUACACGGAGCUAUGCGCAGUGCAGUUUACACUAUUCCGAAAGGCUUGAAGCAAAUUAACGAGCAUUGCACCUCUUUUUUAUUUUAAUAACUUAUUACAACUCCGGACUUCUUCUGUUAUGGCAAAAACUAAUUGCACGUCGACAUUUCUUUUUUUAAGUUAUAACUCCAGACUUUGACCAUCAAGUUUUGCAGAAAAGGAAAAAUAGCAGAAAAGAAGAAAAACUAUAGCUGAAAAGAAAAAACUAUAUAAAAAAACUACUCAAAAAUAAAUAGAAGAAAAUAAAUAUAGCAGAAAAGAAAAAACUACUCAGAAAUAAAAAGAAGAAAAAAUAAAGCAGAAAAGAAAAAAAAUUAUAUUUGCUAUUUUUCAAUCAUUUACAAAAUGACCGUGAAAUUGAAAAUCACUACAAAAUGAACUCUGAAAUUGUUGAAUUUUGGCAAACUAGAUGAAAAACUACUCACAAAUAAAUAGAAGAAAAUAAAUAUAACAGAAAAGAAAAAACUAUACAAAAAACUACACAAAAAUAAAUAGAAGAAAAUAAAGCAGAAAAGAAAAAAACUAUAAAAAAAAUUGGGGCGCUGCCCUGUGGGCCUGAUAGGCCACAGGUGUGUAAUUACAGGCCUUAAAGGCCGAGCAGACUCACAGGGCAACGCGCAGAGUUUAGGCCCACAAGCCUGCUAUAUAGAGGAGUUCGAAGUGGUAGGCGCGGCUGGGUUUAUAAACCAGUGUGGCUGCCCUUCGCCCGGCGAGGUGGAACUAAACUUUGGGGUGGCAGCGCGAGGCCUUUAGUACCGGUUGGUGGCUCCAACCGGUACUAAAGACCACCCUUUAGUACCGGUUGGUGGCUCCAACCGGUACUAAAGGCCUCGUCUUCCCGCCUCUUCGCCUGGCCAAAGUUGGCCUUUAGUACAGGUUGGUGGCUCCAACCGGUACUAAAGGCCUCUCCUAUAUAUACAACACUUGCGAAAAUUUCAUUCUCCCUCUGUUUCUUCCUCUGUUUCCCCAUUGAAGCACCGCCCGCGCGCCCCGAUCGAUCGACGCCGUCGCCGUCGCCGCCCCCGUCCCCGUCGUUGCCCCCGUCCCCGUCGCCGCCCCCNNNNNNNNNNNNNNNNNNNNNNNNNNNNNNNNNNNNNNNNNNNNNNNNNNNNNNNNNNNNNNNNNNNNNNNNNNNNNNNNNNNNNNNNNNNNNNNNNNNNNNNNNNNNNNNNNNNNNNNNNNNNNNNNNNNNNNNNNNNNNNNNNNNNNNNNNNNNNNNNNNNNNNNNNNNNNNNNNNNNNNNNNNNNNNNNNNNNNNNNNNNNNNNNNNNNNNNNNNNNNNNNNNNNNNNNNNNNNNNNNNNNNNNNNNNNNNNNNNNNNNNNNNNNNNNNNNNNNNNNNNNNNNNNNNNNNNNNNNNNNNNNNNNNNNNNNNNNNNNNNNNNNNNNNNNNNNNNNNNNNNNNNNNNNNNNNNNNNNNNNNNNNNNNNNNNNNNNNNNNNNNNNNNNNNNNNNNNNNNNNNNNNNNNNNNNNNNNNNNNNNNNNNNNNNNNNNNNNNNNNNNNNNNNNNNNNNNNNNNNNNNNNNNNNNNNNNNNNNNNNNNNNNNNNNNNNNNNNNNNNNNNNNNNNNNNNNNNNNNNNNNNNNNNNNNNNNNNNNNNNNNNNNNNNNNNNNNNNNNNNNNNNNNNNNNNNNNNNNNNNNNNNNNNNNNNNNNNNNNNNNNNNNNNNNNNNNNNNNNNNNNNNNNNNNNNNNNNNNNNNNNNNNNNNNNAUUAGUUUAGAUUAUUUAGAUUAUUAUUUUUUCACUAUUAUAUAUGUAUGAAUGCAUGUUAGAUGGAUAUAAUUAGUGUUUAAUUAGUAUGGAAUUUUUUUAUAUAAUGUUGUUUUUCAGUUUUUUAAUGGAUGUAUAGAAGUUGUGUUUUCUAUUUUUAGUGUUAGAUGCUUAAUUAGUAUGAAAUAGUAUAUAGAUUUUUGACAUAUGCAAUGAUAGCAUAAUUAGUGUUAUAUAGAAAUGUUAGAAAUUUUAGUUAUCAAAAUCCAAUCAUUAAAAAAAUGUUACUUUUUGCGGGCAUAUAGCUAGUAUUUGUUCUCAACGAUGCCCGGCCCGCAUCCUCGCCGUCGACCCGUCCGCGACGACGUCCGGCUGACCCAUGUCUGGGACUGGGCUCCGCCGGGCUGGCACUGGGAGGUGCUGCCUGGAGGGGCGCGCCGCUUGAUGAGGAACCCGGCCCCGGGUCCCGUCGUCGACCCUGAUCUCGUUUGGUGGCGUUCACGUGGGCCAGAUUCGGUGCGGAGGGCCCCGGCCCCGCCGGAGGUGGUACGUCACCGUGUCAGGGAGGAGGACGAGCACGUCCAUCGCUACAUGGUUGCAUUAGAAGGCGGCAGGUUCUCCAAUACCUGGUAGUUUCUUCAGGGAUCUCACUUUAGCUAUGAUCCUGUGAGGGUUCCUUCUCUUUGGGUGUCCACCGCCCGCGCCGCAGGAACCGCGAGUGUCCUAGAUUCUUCUGUAGUAUUUGAUCUUUAAUUAGCUACCUAGCCAGUGAUGUACUAUUCAAUAUUAUAUAUUAUUCGAGACGAUGUAUUCGAGAUUAUAUCUAUUAUUCUAGACGAUGUAUUCGAGAUUAUAUCUAUUAUUCGAGACGAUGUAAUUUGAAUACUAAAUUGUUUUAUAUUUCUUUUGGAUUAGUUAAAUAAAAGCUAUGGCAGACAAUACCGACAGAGAGGGAGAACAGACCAUGUUCGAUAUGAUACGCGGGCCAGAUGAUGAUCAGAAUGAAGAAGAAGAUUAUGACGGCUCCGAAUCUCUAAACAACACCGAAGAGGGUGAUAUGAUAUUCGAUCGCGAUGACCGAAUUGAUGAAGUCCUGAACUACGAUUAUGACGAUGACAAAGAACAUGUUGAUCCUGAAACAACAAAGACCGGCGAGGUAUAUUUAUAUAAGCAGGCAUCUGGUGAUCAUCACAUGUUUUAAAUGACUUGAAGAUAUAUUAACGAAUUGAUCUUUGUUCUUUCAGCCAUCCGGAUCGAGCAAAUCUUCAGGCAAAAGGACGAAACGAGGCCCGAACAAAAAGUUGAAGGAGGGCAUAAAGUACAAUAUCGAGGUAGCCAGACCUAAUGGCGAACCAUUAGCACCUAAGAAGAUUGCGGACAAGUUCGUUCGUCAGUGCGGAGUUCUUGUGAAGGACAAACUCCCGAUCAAACUUCAAGAAUGGAGAGAGCCAGCAAAGCCACGUCCAAAUGUUACUUUCGUCGAUAAGAAUCAAAAAGAUCUGCUUUGGGAUACUCUCAUGGAACAUUUCACCCUACCAGAUCAUUUCACAAAAGCAGAUGUGCAUAAAGUCAAGGACGCUGCUCUUAGGAAGAUGGCGGUUGCAUUCAAGAACCACAAGAAUCGUGAAUGGGACAAGUACGUCAAGGGAGGAAGGAAGACUCCAGUAUUCGAGGGAACACUAGAGAACCAACGUGCUCAUUGGGACGAUUUCGCGAAAUUCAAGGAUUCGGAAUUAGCUAAGGAACGGUCGAGAAUAAACAAGAAGAAUGCCGAAAAAAAUGAUAAGUUCCAUAAGCUGGGGCCAGGUGGCUAUGCGGUGGCAAUGCCUAAGUGGGAUAAGUCUGAGAAAGAGAUGGAGGAUGCAGGUGUCACUCUGGUUACUAAGAGCUGGCCCCCCAGGUGCAGGACUUGGUUCUAUGCGCAUGGGGGGAGUUGGACCCGAAGACAGGCAAUGUUUCGACGAAGGCAAGUCUGAAGGGAGCCGACGAUGCGAUACUUGUUGCAAUAGAAGAGGCACGAUCGGGGGUGUUCCAGCCCAACAGAGAGAACGACGAGCUUACACGUGCCCUGGGAAAUCCUGAUCACCCGGGAAGAACACGAGUCAAGGGCGCUAUUCCGUGCUAUGAGGGGUUUUCAGACUGGAACACCGACUACAGAACCCGUGCGAGAAAGAAGAUUGCGGAGGAGAAGAAGAGGAAGAUGGAGGAGGAGCAGAGGAAGCGGGACUAUGAACGCCUUCAAGGCCUAGAAGCAAGUCAAGCGGAAUUGGCAGUCAAAUUCCAGCGGCAGCAUGAGCAGAUCGACUCACUUACCCAGCAAAGGGGGUCUCAGCAGCUGCAGCAGCUAGCGGAUGAUCCAACAUUGGAUAGCACCGCCCCAUCCAUGCCGAGAAGCAGCAUGGGUUCCGCCCCGGAUAACGCAAUGCUGGGUAGAUACCCCGUGGAUGACAUCACGGAGAACACUAACUGCGAGCUACACGUCAAAAUAACGAACAUAUCCAUGAAGGUGGCGGACGCCGUUGCUUUUACAAAUCCCCCCGAGGCAACCUUCCAUGGCAACCCGAUUCCAGCGGGCUAUGCUCGUGUCUUGGUUGAUGAGGUGGUGGACCCACCAUAUUCGGAGCUACAGCUUGACAUUCCUGGAGGUGACGACGAGCGCUUUCUCGGAGAGUCCAAACAUCGUAUCAUCCUAUGGAAAAAGGAUUGCAUCAUAUUUCGAAGGCCACCGACACCACGUCAGCCGACUCCUCGUCGAAGUCCGUCACCGAGUCAGCAGACUCCCGCUCCUGCAAGUCCACCAAGUCCGGCAAAGUGUCAGGCCACUCCUCCUCCUCCAAGUCCACCACAGCGUCAGACGUCCACUCCUCCUCCUCCAAGUCCGGCACAACCUCAUGCCACUCCUCCAAGUCCGGCACAGCUUCAGGCCACUCCUCCUCGUCCAACUCAGCACCGUCAGCCGUCUCCGCCGCCUCAGCAAUCGCAAAAGAGACACCCCGCAGCUAUGGUGCGUAGCGGUACGAGUCGAGGUAGUACAGGAAGUACAGGCGGAGGCAAGCGAUAUAAAUAUGGUCCAAGCCUCACGCCUCUUCCGCAGAGGCCUUAUGACAAGUCCGAGGAGGAAAACGCAGUCAUAUCGAAGGCCGAGGUGGAAGCCCAUUUUGCACCGAAACCGCCACCGCCGCCAAGGGAGAAAGUGCCUGAGGAAACGAUUGACCACUUCAUUCGUAUGGCUCAACCACCAGCUCCCAAGCCUGUUGACACAGACUGUGAGCGCCACAUCAGGAAAUUAAAUCGAGCACGUCUACGUAAGGAGGCGAGCUCGGGAUCGAGCAAACAACAAGCAGCUGUCAAAAAAUGCGGGAAAACCAUUCCCCGGCUGGGAGAACAGGCGGCGCAAUCGAUCCCCUCGCUUGUUGUGCCAACAACACGUGACAAUACGCGCGCCCAAUAUUAUUGUGGGCAAACAGUUUACGUUCCCAAGGUGGGCAAUGUGGUAAUAACCAAGGACCAUAUAAUGCAGGCUGAAGUUCUCAACAUCACUGUUGGACAACUCCUCGAGAUCGAGCCCAUGCCUGUGCUUAGAGAGGAUGAAAUAAAACGGAAAUAUGUCCGGGGCCAACCUUUAGUCGAGCCAGACAAGGUCAAGAACCUCCCAACGAGAAUGUAUGAUUUGCAUCAAUGGUACAUGAACAUUACCAAGAUUUCAGAUCGAUUGUCCCUCAUGGUGAAUGUCAAGGAGGAUCAUUACUUCCAUGAGAAAGCUCUGUCCGUUGAGUAUUCUGAACUGUUUCAGUUAUACAAUCAAGACGCACUCGACAAAUCUAUCGUCAGUUGCUAUUGUCUAUAAGUGAUUUCUUUCUGUAAUUUAAGUCUCAAGCUAGCUGCAGUGAUCCUUUUGAUCAAUCAUUACCUGUAAUUAUCGUCACUAUAUUCUUUUCUGUGGUAUUAUGCAGGAUGAAGAUGUAUGAAAUGAGAAAAGGUGGACGCUUUGGCAUUGGGUUCGUUGACCCAAACACUGUUAAUGAAUACACAUGGCGGAUAAAUCCACAUCAUCAAAAGGACGUAGAGGACAACAUGCUAGAGUUCUUGAAGCGCCUCAAAUACAAUGAAGAUAUACUACUUCCUUACAACUUCUAGUGAGUCAAACUGUCUUGUACUACAAAUUCUCUGUUUUUGCCUACUAGCUAGCUACAUGUUUUUGCUUACAUAUGCCCGCUUAAUUAAGACAUGCAAACGUGUGUGCAUGCAGAUUUCACUGGGUCUUGUGUAUCAUUAAAGUUGACGACGGAACAGUUGAAAUACUGGACUCCCUACUCAAAGUGAAAACUGACUAUAACAUCUUGUUUGGGAGAGUCAACAGGUAAUUUCAAUCAUUAUUAACUAUAUAUCUCGGCCUAUUUAGUUCUUCAUUUCAUGAUAUGAACUAUUUAAUAACCCCUUUAUUCAUUUUCUUUGUCGGCGGGCAGGGCUUGGGCAAGGUUCAUCAGCGUCACGGAAGGCGAAUGGAAAAAAAGUUUCAAUAGUUUCGACCCAAGGUAAGUAAUUAAGUAGUACUAGCUAGCUAGCUAGCUGCCAUCUCUUUAAUUAUCAUGCUUGAUUAAUUAUUAUCUGAUCAAAUUCCAUUCUCGUAAAGGCCCUGAAGCAGGCGCAGGGGACUGAUCUGUGUGCAUUCUGAAUUUGCGACAACAUUCGCAUGAUGGCGUCCGAAAGGAGCAGAUCUCAAAGACAAGAAUGGGUACGCUUGUCAGAACAGUAUUCACAAUUUUUACACCAUUAUUGAUAUCUAGUCACACAAGUAAUACACAUGCAUAUGGAUCUCCUUCUUAACAGUUCAGAGAGGUGCGGGAGAAGCUCCUAGAAACGGAGCGCGUAGAAGCACUUCAAGAGGAAAUAGUGGGAUUUUUGCUCGACUAGGUCAUAAAUCCGAAGGGAGAAUACUAUUACCCGCUACCGCCCCCAUGAAAACCACUUCCAAUUGUCAUCGUGCUCCGAAGGCACCAAUUAGGCUAAUGCCACUGGCUCCGAAGGCAACAUGCAUAUGUAGGAGAAAUUGUAUAUAGCUAUACAUGUGUGUAUGUGUGAAUUAAUUAAUAUGAUGGUUUGUGAGACAUUGAUGAUAUAUAUAUGCAUNNNNNNNNNNNNNNNNNNNNNNNNNNNNNNNNNNNNNNNNNNNNNNNNNNNNNNNNNNNNNNNNNNNNNNNNNNNNNNNNNNNNNNNNNNNNNNNNNNNNNNNNNNNNNNNNNNNNNNNNNNNNNNNNNNNNNNNNNNNNNNNNNNNNNNNNNNNNNNNNNNNNNNNNNNNNNNNNNNNNNNNNNNNNNNNNNNNNNNNNNNNNNNNNNNNNNNNNNNNNNNNNNNNNNNNNNNNNNNNNNNNNNNNNNNNNNNNNNNNNNNNNNNNNNNNNNNNNNNNNNNNNUACCAGCAAACGAAAAAGAAUUAAAAUAGAAACACAAAAUUAAAUGAAAAAGAAAUCAUAAAACUAAAAAAACCCCAAAGCUUAUAGUACCGGUUGGUCUUACCAACCGGUACUAAAGGGCUCCAGGCCCCCGGAGCUGGCUCGUGCCACGUGAUUGCCCUUUAGCACCGGUUCGUGCUGAACCGGUACUAAAGGAGGGGGGGGCUUUAGUGCCCACACUUUAGUGCCGGUUACGGAAUCGGCACUAAAGGGCCUUACGAACCGGUGCUAUUGCCCGGUUCUGCAUUAGUGAUUGUCUUAGAUGGGCGAGGGAGAUAGUGUAAGAUUAUCAUGUUUUCAAGCUUCAAUAUGAGAGAUGACGAGUCAAGUGGAGAAAGAGAAAGCAAGUAUACGAACUAUAAGAGUAUAUAUUUAAUAUUAUUAAGUAAUCCGUAUUAAAUUAUAGACGGUCUCCACGAUAAUUGAUGCAAAGUUUAUAUUUAAGAACCGAUGUACAUUUAAUUAUUUGAACGACAUGGAUCAUUAGUCAUACAGAAAAAGAGGCUUAUAUUUUCUGUAGGCAAUAACCAUUGAGCGGUUACAAUUUUAAAAUUUUAACAUUUUAAAAUAUAUUUAUGAAUGAAUCUAAAUUCCAUGACACAUGCUAAAAGAUGCUUUAAACUAUUUAUUUCCAACAAAAUAAAAUUUCACAUUUAAAUACCAAAUAAAAUAAUAAUACAAUCUAGCCGUGCAAAUGCGCAGGUGACCCUGCUAGUUUAGAUUUGAUUUUCAAAAAUUGAUCGUGAUUGAUUCUUUCACAUAAAGAUAUUACUAACUUGGGCCAACAUGGAAAGUUCUUCCGCUCUCUUUUGUUGUGUGAGAGGCUCACACGAAACUAAACCGGUGGGGUGAGGGAGGGGCAAAAAAACUAGCAAAAUAAAAUGGUUGAAAAUGGUGGGACGAAAAUAAAUCGUGGAUACUAUUCUACCAACUCGGACAUUAGAAAUAGAGAUAUUGAUGUCACUGGCAUGUUGUCAGUCAAGCUAGCGUAUCACAUUACAUCACCAAACGUACAUGCCUUGAUUGUACGUAAUAUAUUGUUGUCUGAUCCACGCUAAGAGCAUCUCUAGCAGACCCCAUAUAUCGCCGACCCACAAAACUCAUUUAAAGUUUGCUGAAAAACAGUUUCGCGGGCCGGCGCGGGUCGCGGUCGAGCAGACCCCGCAUAGCGGAACUGUAAAACGGGAUAUUCACGAAUAUUCCGUCUUACAGUUCCGCUAUGCGGGGUUUGCUCGGCGCAGCCCGCGCUAACCCGCAAAUCACAUGUGUUUUUAUCCGAAUUUGACACAGAUGCCACAUAUUCAGAAUUAUUAAUUCAAUAUAAGAUAAAAUUUCAAUAUUACCAUACAACAAUCAUCCAAAUUACAAUAAUUAUUGAAAUCACCUAAGCAAACUAAAUAAUUCAAUAGAAAACUUGCCUCGAAUACAAAUCAGACAUGAAUUAAAUGAAAUGAAUGCAAAAAUGGAAUGUCUUACCGCCAUCCCUUUGUCAAUCACUAGUAGAAAAACACCUAAUAGUCCCGGUUCGUAAGGGUCUUUAGUCCCGGUUCAUGAACCGGGACUAAUGGGUCGUUACUAAUACCUCCACCCAUUAGUCCCGGUUCAAACACGAACCGGGACCAAUGUGCCUCCACGUGGCCCUGUGCGCCGAGCCCAGUCAGGGGGCCUUUGGUCCCGGUUGGUUGUACCAACCGGGACCAAAAUGCAUCCACGCGUCAGCAUUCCAGUGGCUGGGGUUUUUGUUUUUUUUAAAGGAGGGGGGUUGGGGAUUUUGGGGGGUUAAUUUAGGUGUUUCAUAUAUGGUGUUAGCUAGCUAAUUAAUAGAGAGAAGUGUCCUCUCUUACGUCCGUGCUUGAUCGACGCUACGUACUAUAUAUACAUAAGUGAUGAGAGAACCAUUGAGUACAGAAGUUUGUCAUGCAUACCGAGAGAAGUGAUUGAUCGACCUCUCCUUCUCCGAGAGAUUGGUCGAACAACAAGUUUUCGUAUCAUGUAUCCAACGCUACUGGCUACAUACAUGUACAAUAUGUAUAAGAUCUCUUAAUUACAAUCCCCUAGCAAUUGAAUUCAAUUUCCACAUGGUAUUCUCCGACUUUAUUGAUGACGUGGUCAAGAAAGAAUCCCGCCAAUUCCUCUUGAAUUGCUUUCAUGCGAUCUGGUUCUAGGAGUUCAUUCUGCAUCUGCCACAUCUAAUUUGAAGAAGGGGGUUAAUUAAUACAUAUAUAUGAAUGAAACUCAACAGAAAUGAUGGUGUAAUAAAAUGAAAUUGUGAAUAUUAUUGCUUACGCACUUCAUAUUGUCUUUUAGAGUAGCCCCGCUUGUUUUUCAAAGUCGCGUUGUGGAUGAACUCGCACACGUAGUAUCCACAUAAAUCAUUCCCUUCUUCCUGCCACAAGCACUUUACGAGAAAUAGAGGUCAAUCAAACUGAUAAUGAAGCAUUAUAAAUGGCAUUGAUGAAAGUAUAGCUAUAGAAUCAACGGGAGAUGCGUGCAACUAGCUAGCCAGUAGUACUUACUUUCGGGUAUGUAUAUCGCAGCUCCUUCGGCAGUCCCGGAGCUUCUGCGGUGAACUGUUUCCAAACCCUGCAAGACAAAGCAAAUAAUUAUUAUUACUUGAUAUAUCAGGAAAUGAACAAAAAGUUGCCGAUAUGGUGCGAUAACGAUCGAUUGAACUUACUUGUUGAGAAAUUCAGUCAUGUCCGCAUAGGUUUUGGGAUCUUUCCGUCUCGAGUCUAAGACGGUUACUAGUCCCCGCUCAAUAUUAAUCUCCAGAAGAACAUAGUGGUACCUGCGCACGCAUGCAUUACUCAUCAAUUACAUUACUAUAACCACGCUGAAGUAAUAAGGGAAACCGAAUAUGCACACGACAGUAACACUCACUUGCCGUUGUAAGGAAAGAGUAUGGUAUCUUUGUUUUGUUUUUUGAUCAACGAUCGUAGCAAGUUUUCCUCAGCCUCUUUGACGUCCUUUUUAACCAGAAAUUCAUCUAUGAUAUUUGUGUUAAUGAACCCAAUAUCAUAAAUUUCUUGUUUUUUGCACUCGACGAUCUUCAAUCUGCAUAAUAUAUUGAGGAUAAUUAAUUAUAAAUACAUGAAAUGAAAGAGCCGAGCUAUAUAUAGAGACUUAAUGACAGAAAUAGUACUUACAGACAGUAGCAAAAGACCAUUAGUUUAUCGAGGGCCUUUUGAUUGAAGAACGCGAAGAACUCAUCAAAUGGAACAGUCAACAGAUCAGUUGCAACGAGGUCUUGCUCCUCUUUAAUAUUCAGAUACAAAGCAUUCGUACCCCAGACUCUCUGCAGGUUUCCAUGUUCCAAUUAUGGAAUCUUCGCAUCGUUGUUGUCAGAGAUUUUUCAUCUUUGACGAGAGGCUUCCCGUACUCGUAUCUGUGUUCGUCCACCUCCAAGAAAUCAGGAAGUUGAUCGUCAGGAAGGUAAUCUGCAAGAUUGCCAUAACCGGCCACCGUCCCCGGAGCAUUAGACACAUUGAGCGGGGGGCACGAUUGCUGUGCUUGUUCACCGAGCUGGGCAAUUUUUUCCCCUUUGCUCGUUUUUUUAUCCUUUUAGCACUGACAGUAGUUCCCGACCGCUAGGCUUGGAGAUAUGUCUGUUCAGUAAUGCGCUCAUAGUUGGUUCUCGACGGAGACUUUGGUGGUUUCCUCAGGGCAUCGAUAGUGCGCUUUGCUUUCACCGGAUCUACCUUCUCCUCCGGAGGUGGAUGUCUCUUUGCUUUCACCCCUUCAAAGAACUCCUUCACGUGAGUCCGCACAAUCGUAUCGUUUUUCUCCUCGGUCCUCUCGUACGGUAACUUCUCUAGAGGCUUGAGAGGUGGACCGUAUAUGUAUUGCCUCCCUCCUCUGGUUGUGCUGCCAGACGCCGGAGCAGACGGAGCGGCUGCGGCGUCUGUCUUCUUUCGUGCUUGCUUACGAGGCGGAGGAGAAGGAGUACGACGCGCCGGAGCAGCCGGGGCGGCGGUGGGUCUCUUCCGCCCUUGCUGGCGAGGCGGAGAAGAAGGAGGCUGCUAGCUGCUCCGGAGCGCCGGCGUAGGCGGAGAAGGAGGCAGAGUGCCGCCACGCGCCGGAGAAGGAGGCGGAGUGCCGCCACGCGUGCCCUGAUCGUCACUCGCCGGAGGAGGAGGCGGUGGAGGAGGCGAAGUGCCCUGACUCGCCGGAGGAGGAGGAGGAGGUGGAGGCGUCCAGUUCGGAAGGUUGAUGAGCUCCUUCCGCCAUAGGCAUGGAGUCUUCAGAGCAGAACCCAGCCUAGUCUCCCCUUCACCGGUAGGGUGGUCAAGCAGGAGGUCCUCAAAUCCCUCCAUUAUUUCACCCACCAUCACCUUAGCAUAUCCUUCUGGAAUCGGCCGGCAGUGAUAAGUUGCUCCGGAUCCAGUAGGAUAAACAGAGCCAACAGCCUCCUUGACCUUCAAAUUCAUCCAUCACGCCAUAAUGUGGCAAUGUUGAGACUUCGUGAUAGCAUCCACGGGAUAGCUGGCAGGAGCCGUCAAGACAUGCUCCGGCUGAAGCAGCUUGGUGGAAGCCACGCCGCUUCUCCGCUGAGAUGGCGGGGUAGCUUCGGGGGAAGCUUUGGCAGGUCGUUUGCUGCGAUCUGCUGCUUCUCGUUCCUCUUCUCGUUCCUCUAGCCCCAUUACCCUUUCGUGCAGCGCCUGCAGUUGGCCCUGCUCCAGUUUCUUCCUCCUCUCGUGGGUUUUGUAACCCCCUGCGUCCGGAAAACCAACCUUCCACGGAAUGGAGCCUGGCGUGCCUCGUGUCCGUCCAGGGUGCUAAGGAUUCCCGAGGGCCAUUGUGAGCUCGUCCAUCUCCCUGUCUGGUACGAACGUCCCUUUCUGCGCUGCAUUGAUAUAGUGUCGAAGGUUCUUGACUGGUAUUUCCAGUUGCUCGUCCGUCCAACGGCACAUCCCUGAUACGGGGUCCAAGGUUCCGCCAGCCCCGAAGAACCAAGUCUGGCCAUCUCAUUGUCUCUGGUUCGAUCCCUUUUUCAAGCAGAUCAUUCUCCUCCUUGGACCACUUAGGCCGGGCUUUGAGGUAGCCACCUGACCCCGUGCGAUGGUGAAGCUUCUUCUUCGCAGCAUUUUGCUUGUUCGUCGCCGACAUCUUCUUACUCUUUUCCGAUGUCUUGUGGGCCACAAAUGCGGGCCAGUGAUCUUUGAUCUUCUCAUAUUUGCCGAUGAAUUCUGGUGUCUUUUUUUUCGACAAAAAUGUUUCAACUCUUUCCUCCACCUUCUUAAGAGCACGAGACUUGAUUAAUUGCUCUUUAACUGGCUUCUCCGGAUCCUCCUCUGGCGGUAGGGUGAAAUUUGCCUUCAGCUGAGUCCAAAGAUCUUCUUUCUGCAUAUCAUUGACAUAAGACACCUCAGGGUCGUCCUUAGGAUUAUACCAUUGUUGGAUGCUGAUCGGGAUCUUGUCCCCAACAAGAACCCCGCACUGAGCAGAAAAUGCGUUCUUUUUCCGGAUGGGUUCAAUCGGUUCGCCGUCGGGUGCGAUUUCUAUGAUCUCAAACCUUUCAUCCGAGCUCAACUUUUUCUUCGGGCUUGGUCUCCUUACCGAAGUUGUGCUCGAUCCGGAGGGCUAGAAAUGAAAAGGAAGAAAGACGAGAAUAAUUAAUAUGUGUACAUAUACCAAAACAAUGAAUGCAUCAAUUAACUAGUCAGCACGGGCUUAACUUAUAUAUAUAUACCUGGCCGGACUCGGUUCGGUCACCGGAGCAGUCAGCACGGUCUCCUUCUUGUACCUACAUUGGGUCAUCAUCGGAGCCAUCACGAACAUAGCACUCUUCUUGUACCGGCAUUAAUGGGCCGGAUCCAUCAUGAACAUAGCCCUCUUCUUCACCCAGUCCUUCCUGACCAACGACGUCGUUGAAAAAUGACGCAAUGACAUCAGUUCCUUCUGCAAUCAUCUCCCCCAACAUUGCUUCUGUUGCUUCGUCUUGGUAGUGCUCCAUAGUUUCUGCAAAUAUUUACAACAUGUCAAUUAUUAUUCAAACAUGGUACAGAUGGAUACAUAUUAGUGGCAAACAUAGAACUAGCUAGCUAAUCACAAUAAGGAAUCAUGUUAGUGGCCUCGACGCUGCUUCUCUAGGGUUUGGGAUCGCCUUGACACAACGCUUCAAGGGUUUGGGGUGGCCUCGACGACAACGCUCUUUUAACUUGGUAAAUUUGGGUGGCCUCGAGAGUUUUGGUCGAGCGAGAGGGCCGAGGGGGGUGCUGCCGUUGUAUAGGUUAUCACGGUCGAGAGGGGGUAUAUAUAUCGACCGCCCCUCAUGUCGAAGUUAUCUCGAGGGAGCGGCGAGGGCGAAGGCGAGCAGCUUGACGGUGAUAGACCCGAUAAAACAUAAGAAAACGAAGAAGAAAUAAAAAGAGGAGAAGAAGAAAGGAAUAGAGGAGAAGAUCGAAGAAAAAAAAAGAAGAAAAAAAAAGAGGAGAAGAAGAAAGGAAUAGAGGAGAAGAAGAAAGGAAUAGAGGAGAACAAGAAAGAAUAGAAAAAUUCUAUUUUUUCUUCUUCUCCUCUAUUCCUUUCUUCUUCUCCUCUUCCUUUUCUUCUUUUUUGUUCUUCUUAUUUAUUUCUCCUCUAUUCCUUUCUUUCUGCUUCUCCUCUUGCUUCUUUUUCUUCUUCUCCCUCGAGAAAGGAAAACAAUUAAGGAAAAGGAAGAAAAGAGGAAGAAGGAAGAAGGAAGAAGAAGAAGAAAGGAAUAGAGGACAAGAAGAAAAAAUAGAUUUUUUUUCUAUUUUUUCUUCUUCUCCUCUAUUCCUUUCUUCUUCUCCUCUUCUUUUUCUUCUUUUUUCUUCUUCUUAUUUAUUUCUCCUCUUCUUUUCCUCUCCUCUUCUUCCCCUUUCUUCUCUUCUUAUUUUCCUUUUUCCUCUCAUUCUUUUUCUUCUUCUUCUUCCUUCUUCCUUCUUCCUCUUUUCUUCCUUUUCCUUAUUUUACUUUUUCCUCUACACUAACCUAAUUAAAAUGCACUAACCUAAAAUCGAUAUCUACUAACAACCUAAAUAAAAAAUUAAUACAUAUAUGAAAAAACNNNNNNNNNNNNNNNNNNNNNNNNNNNNNNNNNNNNNNNNNNNNNNNNNNNNNNNNNNNNNNNNNNNNNNNNNNNNNNNNNNNNNNNNNNNNNNNNNNNNNNNNNNNNNNNNNNNNNNNNNNNNNNNNNNNNNNNNNNNNNNNNNNNNNNNNNNNNNNNNNNNNNNNNNNNNNNNNNNNNNNNNNNNNNNNNNNNNNNNNNNNNNNNNNNNNNNNNNNNNNNNNNNNNNNNNNNNNNNNNNNNNNNNNNNNNNNNNNNNNNNNNNNNNNNNNNNNNNNNNNNNNNNNNNNNNNNNNNNNNNNNNNNNNNNNNNNNNNNNNNNNNNNNNNNNNNNNNNNNNNNNNNNNNNNNNNNNNNNNNNNNNNNNNNNNNNNNNNNNNNNNNNNNNNNNNNNNNNNNNNNNNNNNNNNNNNNNNNCAGGGGCAACGACGGGGGCGUGCGGACGGCGUCGGGGCGGCGCGUGGACGGUGCUGGGGCGGCGGGCGGCGUCGGGGCAGCGGACGACGUCGAUCUGGGCAGCCUGGCGGCGUCGAUGAGCUCGGCGUCGUCGGGCGGGCCGGGGGAAACUGGCGAUGUGUUCGUCAAAUUUUCCUAAGUGUUGUAUAUAUAGCAAGAGCAUUGGUUCCGGUUCGUGAGACCAAUCGGGACUAAUGCCCCCUUUAGUCCCAGUUGGUACCACCAACCGGGACCAAAGGCCUCAUUUCAGCAGCCCAAAGGGCGGGAAGAGGUGACCUUUGGUCCCGGUUGGUGGCACCAACCCGGACUAAAGGGUGGGCAUUGGUAUCGGUUGGUGCCACGAACCGGUACCAAAGGACCCUGUGCUGCCAGCGUCGGGGCCAAAAUUUAGUCCCACCUCGCUAGUUGAGAGGGGCGCACAAUGGUUUAUAAGCCCCACUGCCGCACCCCUCUCGAGCUCCUCUCCACCGUAGGCUUGCGGGCCUAUUUCCUACUGCUUUGCCUGAUGGGCCUUCUGGGCCUACUGCGGGCUUGAAUCCUGGCCCAUGGUAGGGUUUCUAGUCGUAUUCAGGCCGUGGGGGCCCAGUAGGAGGCAUUUUUUUGUUUUCUUUCUUUCUUUAUUUAUUUAUUUUGUUUCUACUUACAACAAAAUACUUAUUGUUGAUAUUUUAAUUAUUUUCCAGUUUUUUUGUUUUAUUUUCUACAUUAUUUAUUUUCUUUUGUUUUUUGCUUUAUUUUUUAAUUCUUUUUGAUUUUAGUUUUAGAAAAAUUAUAAACUUUCUGUUAGUGCCAUUAGUUUUCAAAUUUGAAAACACUUUUUUUGUUUUUUGUUUUUUUGUUUUCUUUCUUGCUUUAUUUAUUUUAUUUUGUUUCCACUUACAACAAAAUACUUAUUGUUGCUAUUUUUACUUAUUACGAGGGCCGAACCAUAAGACAUUAAAGCAUUUCAAAUGAACUAUGAAAAAGUUGAAAGUUGGCAUGGUAUCAUAAAUUCACCCACAUAGCAUGUGCAUGUACAAAAUGGACAAUGGUAUCAUAUUCGUGUGUUACAAAGUUGGCAUGGUAUCAUCAUAAUAGUUGCGGGAGAAAGUCUUCACUUUUUCUUCGCUUGUGUCAUUUCUUAUUGCGCCGUAACCAUGGAUAAUCUUCACCGCUUAUCAGGAUGCUGGGGUCAGCCUUGACUUUGAAGGGAGGAGUUUCAUGAAACUUUUCAUAAUCUUCAGAUAUGUCUGUCUUGCCUUCCACUCCCACGAUGUCCCUUUUUCCUGAAAGAACUGUGUGGCGCUUUGGCUCAUCGUAUGAUGUAUUCGCUUCCUUAUCUUUUCUUUUUCUCGGUCUGGUAGACAUGUCCUUCACAUAGAUAACCUGUGCCACAUCAUUGGCUAGGACGAACAGUUCAUUAGUGUACCCAAGAUUUUUCAGAUCCACUGUUGUCAUUCCGUACUGUGGGUCUACCUGUACCCCGCCUCGUGACAGAUUGACCCAUUUGCACUUAAACAAAGGGACCUUAAAAUCAUGUUCGUAGUCAAGUUCCCAUAUGUCCACUAUGUAACCAUAAUAUGUGUCCUUUCCCCUCUCGGUUGUUGCAUCAAAGCGGACACCGCUGUUUUGGUUGGUGCUCUUUUGAUCAUGGUCAAUCGUGUAAAAUGUAUUCCCAUUUAUCUCGUAUCCUUUCCAAAUCGUAACAGUCGAAGAUGGUCCCUUGGACAACAAGUACAACUCAUCACAAACAGUGUUGUCACCUCUGAGACGUGCUUCCAACCAACUGCUGAAAGUCCUGAUGUGUUCACAUGUAAUCCAGUCGUCACACUACUCCGGGUGUUUGGAGCGCAGACUGUUCUUGUGUUCAUCGACAUACGGGGUCACCAAGGUAGAGUUCUGUAGAACUAUGUAGCGUGCUUGAGACCAAGAAUAUCCGUCCCUGCAUAUUAUUGAGUCCCUUCCAAGUGUGCCUUUUCAGUCAGUCUCCCCUCAUACUGCGAUUGAGGGAGACCUAUCUUCUUAAGGCCAGGAAUGAAGUCAACACAAAACCCAAUGACAUCCUCUGUUUGAUGGCCCAUGGAGAUGCUUCCUUCUGGCCUAGCGCGGUUACGGACAUAUUUCUUUAGAACUCCCCUGAACCUCUCAAAGGGGUACAUAUUGUGUAGAAAUAAGGGGCCCAGAAUGACAAUCUCGUCAACUAGAUGAACUAGGACGUGCGUCAUGAUAUUGAAGAAGGAUGGUGGGAACACCAGCUCGAAACUGACAAGACAUUGCACCACAUCACUCCUUAGCCUUGGUAUGAUUUCUGGAUCGAUCACCUUUUGAGAGAUUGCAUUGAGGAAUGCACAUAGCUUCACAAUGGCUAAUCAGACGUUUUCCGAUAGAAGCCCCCUCAAUGCAACCGGAAGCAGUUGCGUCAUAAUCAUGUGGCAGUCAUGAGACUUUAGGUUCUUAAACUUUUUCUCUGACAUAUUUAUUAUUCCUUUUAUAUUCGACGAGAAGCUAGUCGGGACCUUCAUACUAAGCAGGCAUUCAAAUAAGAUUUCCUUCUCUUCUUUGGUAAGAGCAUAGCUGGCAGGACCUUCAUACUGCUUUGGAGGCAUGCCGUCUUUUUCGUGCAAACGUUGCAGGUCCUCCCGUGCCUCAGCUGUAUCUUUUGUCUUCCCAUACAUGCCCAAGAAGCCUAGCAGGUUCAUGCAAAGGUUCUUCGUCACGUGCAUCACGUCGAUCAAAGAGCGGACCUCUGGGUAUUUCCAGUAGGGUAGGUCCCAAAAUAUAGAUUUCUUCUUCCACAUGGGUGCGUGUCCCCCAGUGUCACUCGGAACAGCUAGUCCGCUGGGACCCUUUCCAAAGAUUACGUGUAAAUCAUUGACCAUAGCAAGUACCUGAUCACCGGUAUGCAUGGCGGGCUUCCUCCGGUGAUCUGCCUCGCCUUUGAAAUGCUUGCCUUUCUUUCGACAUUGAUGGUUGGUCGGAAGAAAUGGAUGAUGGCCCAGGUAAACAUUCUUCCUGCAGCUUCCCAGGUAUAUACUAUCGGUGUCAAGUAAAUAGUGCGUGCAUGCGUGGUAUCCCUUGUUUGUCUGUCCUGAAAGGUUACUGAGAGCGGGCCAAUCGUUGACGGUCACGAACAGGAACACCUUUAGGUGAAAUUCCUCCUGUUUGUGCUCAUUCCACGUACGUACACUGUUUCCAUUCCACAGCUGUAAAAGUUCUUCAACUAAUGGCCUUAGGUACACAUCAAUGUUGUUGCCGGUUUGCUUAGGGCCUUGGAUGAGAACUGGCAUCAUAAUGAACUUCCGCUUCAUGCACAUCCUUGGAGGAAGGUUAUACAUACAUAGAGUCACGGGUGAGGUGCUGUGAUUGCUGCUCUGCUCCCCGAAAGGAUCAAUGCCAUCCGCACUUAAAGCAAACCAUACGUUCCUUGGGUCACCUGCAAACUCAUCCUAGUACUUUCUCUUCAUUUUUCUCCACUGCGACCUGUUAGCGGGUGAUCUCGACUUCCCGUCUUUCUUACGGUCCUCACCGUGCCAUCGCAUCAACUUGGCAUGCUCUCCGUUUCUGAACAGACGUUUCAACCAUGGUAUUAUAGGAGCAUACCACAUCACCUUCGCAGGAACCCUCUUCCUGGGGGGCUCGCCGUCAACAUCACCAGGGUCAUCUCAUCUGAUCUUAUACCGUAAUGCACCGCAUACCGGGCAUGCAUUCAGAUCCUUGUACGCACCGCGGUAGAGGAUGCAGUCAUUAGGGCAUGCAUGUAUCUUCUGCACCUCCAAUCCUAGAGGGCAUACGACCUUCUUUGCUGUGUAUGUACUGUCGGGCAAUUCGUUAUCCUUUGGAAGCUUCUUCUUCAAUAUUUUCAGUAGCUUCUCAAAUCCUUUGUCAGCCACAGCAUUCUCUGCCUUCCACUGCAGCAAUUCCAGUACGGUACCGAGCUUUGUGUUGCCAUCUUCGCAAUUGGGGUACAACCCUUUUUUGUGGUCCUCUAACAUGCGAUCGAACUUCAGCUUCUCCUUUUGACUUUCGCAUUGCGUCCUAGCAUCGACAAUGACCCGGCGGAGAUCAUCAUCAUCGGGCACAUCGUCUGGUUCCUCUUGAUCUUCAGCAGCUUCGCCUGUUGCAGCAUCAUCGUGCACAUCGUCUGGUUCCUCUUGAUCUUCGGUAGCAUCACCGUAUUCAGGGGGCACAUAGUUGUCAUCGUACUUUUCUUCUUCGCCGUCUUCCAUCAUAACCCCUAUUUCUCCGUGCCUCGUCCAAACAUUAUAGUGUGGCAUGAAACCCUUGUAAAGCAGGUGGGUGCAAAGGAUUUUCCAGUCAGAGUAAGACUUUGUAUUCCCACAUAUAGGGCAUGGACAACACAUAAAACCAUUCUGCUUGUUUGCCUCAGACACUUCGAGAAAUUCAUGCACGCCCUUAAUGUACUCGGAGGUGUGUCUUGAACCGUACAUCCAUUGCUGGUUCAUCUGCGUGCAUUAUAUAUAAUUAAGUGUGUCAAAAAUCAUUACAAAACAUCAUGAAUAGAUAAUUAAGUGACCAAAUUAAUAGAAGUUCAUCAUCACAUUAAAACCAAAGUACAUACAUAGUUCUCAUCUAACAACAUAAAGCUCUACAGAGCAUCUAAAUUAAUUAAACCAUACAUUGAAACUAUGUAAAACAUUUCAAUGCAAAAACAAAUGCGAUCAUAAUCGCAACCAAUGUAACAACUGAUCCAACGGCAUAAUGAUACCAAGCCUCGGUAUGAAUGACAUAUUUUCUAAUCUUUCUAAUCUUCAAGCGCAUUGCAUCCAUCUUGAUCUUGUGAUCAUCCACGACAUCUGCAACAUGCAACUCCAAUAUCAUCUUCUCCUCCUCAAUUUUUCUAAUUUUUUCCUUCAAGAAAUUGUUUUCUUGUUCAACUAAAUUUAACCUCUCGACAAUAGGGUCGGAUGGAAUUUCCGGUUCAACAACCUCCUAGAUAAAUAAAAUCUAUGUCACGUUGGUCGGCAUAAUUGUCAUAAACAAUAGAUGAACCUAUAGUUAUGAAAAUAUAAUAUAUACCUCAUCCGAAGCAUAGACAGGACGAGGGCCGACGGGGGCGGAUACCAAAACCAUCGCACUAUAUAAGAUGCAAUAAUAAAAGUAAGAAAAUUAUACAAGUAUCUAUAUAAACAUACAAGUAAGAAUUUUUUUCCCUUUUAGAAAUAAGAUAAGAACAAGAGCCUCACCACGGAGGUGUCGGCUACGAGAUCGGCGCGGGCGAUCGACGACGGUGAAGACGGGGACGGGACGUGACGGACCGCUAAACCUAGACAAAUAUUGAGGAAAAUGGAGCUUGGAGGUUGAGCUUGGAGAGGAGAAAGCUUAAGUAGUGUGGCUCGGGCAUUCCAUUGAACACCUCUUGUGCAUAGGAGGUGAGCUAGAGCACCACAAAGCUCUCUCCUCGCCGGCCAUGAAAAACAGAGCAGUGAGAGUGCUCUGCUCGAGGGCGAGGGGUAUAUAUAGGCAAUUAAUUGGUCCCUUUUCAUUGCUUGAACCGGGACUAAAGGGAAGCCUUUGGUCCCGGUUCAGGCCACCAACCGGGACCAAUGGUGGUGGGCCAGGACCAAGGCACAUUGGUCCCGGUUCGUCCCACCAACCGGGACCAAAAGGUCCAGAGGAACCGGGACCAAUGGCCCAUGUGGCCCGACCGGACCCUGGGGCUCACGAACCAGGUCCAAUGUCCCCAUUGGUCCCGGUUCUGGAUUGAACCGAGACUAAUGGGCUGACCCGGCCAGGACCAUUGCCCCCUUUUCUACUAGUGAAUGGUGCUCAAUGAGAUCCUCUUGAAGCUGAAAGUGGGUGUUUGCAUCUUCAAUCUUCCGGUAGGUUUGAAGAAAUUCUCUAAUGCGGUUAGAGUCUCUAGCUAGCUUCACACGGCUACCCACAUUGUCGUAGAAGAACUCCAAAUUCAUGCCUCUCUCAUCUUCGAGAAUCAUAUUGUGAAGAAUCACACAUCAUGUCAUGAUGUUUUUGAGGGAUCACUUGUCCCAAAAACGAACAGGACCAUGAACAAUGGCAAACCUAGAUUCCAAAACCCCGAAUGCUCUUUCAAUAUCUUCUCGGGCUGCCUCUUGUACCCUUGCAAAUUCACAAUGUUUCUUAGUUUUGGGCUUUUUGAUGCUCUUGACAAAUGUGCACCAAGAAGGGUAGAUACCAUCUGCAAGAUAGUACCCCAUUGAUAGUGUACUUGCAAGCAGGAGCAUCACCAGUAGCAAGCCUAGCAAACAAAUGAGAUCGUUGCAACAUAUUGACAUCAUUGAGAGUACCCGACAUACCAAAAAAGCAACGCUAAAUCCGUAAAUCAUCAUAUGGUACGGCCUCUAGCGCAAUUGUUGCAUCACGAGACUUGCCACAAUACAUUCCCUGCCAUGCCCUCGGGCAGCUUUUCCAAGUCCAAUGCAUACAAUGAAUGCUUCCUAGCAUGCCAGGCCAACCUCUACUCAUACUUGAUGCCAUCAACUUUUUUGUGUCCUCCUCGUUGGGUGACCGAAGAUAUUCAAGAGUAAAGACAUGGAUGAUUACUUUGACAAACAUAGUCACUGACUUAAUUGUAGUAUCUUCAACAAUGCGAAGGUACUCAUCGGCAUAGUCAGCCGGAAUGCUGUAUGCAAUUACCGGCAUAGUUGCCGAGAUUUUUUGAUAUGCACUAAAUACCUUCAAGCCCACGACAUUUCUUUUUUGAGUAAAAUAGCGACAAUUAGCCUCGCAAACUUGCACUAUUUUUACAAAGAGGGAUCGACGCAUUUGAUACCUUCUCUGGAAGAGGUGCGGCGGAUAUGUUGGAUUGUCUGCGAAGUAAUCGUCCAUCAACAUCUCGUUCCCGAGAUAGCGAUUGCGAGGAAUGCAAAGACGGCUGAUGGCCAAUCCUCGUCAUCUCUUUCAGUUCUCAUCAUUGUGCUCCUUCACGGUAAGGGCCAUCGCCAAGAUCUUCUGCUGAUGGUUCUCAAGAAGCAUCUCAACAUUCGAGUCGUCCAAAUCGGACGAAUCCUCGAGAAAAACCUCUUGCAAGGGCUCAGUUCCAUCUAGAAACAAAAAUAUGAACACCGCAUGAACCAAUUAUGCACAUCGCAUCCGAAAGCACAAGAACAUGUACUCAUCGACGGCUCGAGGCGGUGGCUCUGCGAUGGUCGAUCCCAGGGCGGUGAUGGCGACUCGGGGCGGCUCGGCUCACCGGAUCCGGGGAGCCGGUGAAGCGGCUAGGUGGAACCGGGUGAGGGGCGGCCAGGCGGCGUGAUUCCGUCCGUAGAUAAGGCCGGAAUCACUGGCGGUGUACAGGCAGAACCGAUGGCGGGCGACUGUGGAAGGGGGUGGGGAACGCGCACGGGCUAAAAUGUCCCUCUCGCCAACCGCUUUUCUAAGAUACAGGGCACCGUCGGGUCGAGGGGAAAACCUGUAUUUUUGCGGGUUGGAGGUUGGAUUUUAGCGCCCCCUAAAAUUUUUUCACGGGUCCGACGCGUUUACAGUGUCGGAUCGAGCGGCUUUUUUCACGUGGACCCAUAUUUUAGCGGUUAUUUUGCUAGUCGGGGCAUUAUACGGGGCUGCUAGAGAUGCUCUAGCCAUAGUGGUGGUAUAUAGCCGGUAUCAUGCACUCACAAGGAAAUACACUGAUGUGGCAGAUAAUUAAAUAAGAGAGGGUUAGGCUACUCAUAGUGGGGAAUAUCAUAUACUAGUAUCAUGCACAUGAUAUUAGUGUAUGAUACUAUCUUCAUAGUGCAUAGUAUCAUAGAGUAGUAUCAUAUUUAUUGCCAUGCAUGACUUAAAGUAUCAUAGCAUUUAACAUGAUAUGGUAUCUACCUAUGUUAGGCUGGCCAUAGUUUGUGGUAUCUUAGCGAGUAUCAUGCACUUGGGAAUAGCAAAUAUGCUAAUGUGGCAGAGAGUUAAAGAAGAGAGAGAGGGUUAGAGUAACAUAACUAGAUAUUGUAUCGUAUUAAAUGCUGUGCUACUUUGUGUCAUGCAUGACAAUAAAUAAGAUAAAUAAAUGAUAUGAUACUAUAAACUAUGAAAAUAGUACUUCCUCCAUCUAGGUGAAUAAGUCUUCUUAGGUUGUGCACCGUGACCAAGGUGGAGAGGAAAAUGAGAGAACUUAAUGCUUAUUUGCUAAUUAACACCAUUGCAUGCAACGAAAUGACCACUGCAAGUCAUGUCUGGUAGUCUCAAGUCAUUGAAAGUAUACACGCCCCACGUCUGUUAUUGGUUGAUUCCUUUAUUUAUGUCAAAAAACAAGAAACAAUGUGUCAAUUAAUGCACCAAGCCUAUGUGUUUUGGACUAUUUCGUUUUCGUAAAAUGACUUACUCACCUAGACGGAAGAUCCUUUAUAUUUCCCAUGCAGAUCCAGAUCAUCCCAACUACCCAAUCCACAGACACUGUUGAUCACCAAAUUCUCACCGCAUUAUGUAAAUAUCGCAGGAGCUCCACUGCACCCAUCAACCCUAGAACCUCGAUAAAUGAGGUUUUUCCCUUUCGAAUAGAUGAUGCAAUUAUUUUUUGGGGUUUAGAAAGAGGGUGUGAUUAUUGCACUUGAAAGUUUAAAACCCAGCAUCUCACGGGGGGUACAAAAGGCCAGAAGGCUAAAACAGCCAAAAGGAAAUAAGAUUUUUCUUUUGAGGGAAAAAAGAAAUAAGAUUUUAUGAUGUCGACUGGCACACAGUGCUAUGCAUUAAUUGUGGCCACUGAUGCAGACCUGCUAGUGUGUGGAUCAUGCAGCAGUAUUUCACCAUCAGCCAAGCUUACGUCCAUGACCAAAGUUUUCAAUUAGUAUUGUCUCCAAGGCGGACAUUCAAACGCCUGUUGCAUGUUCGGACCACUUUUACCAUUUAACGGGGAAUUGUCCGCUUAGCAGUCCGGACAUACGGAUUCUGGUAUCUUAGAGACCAACAUGAUAGGCUUUGCCGAAGUCCGGACAUGCACUUGACAAUUCACAUGGAUGCCCCCCCCCUCUUCUCUCCUUCUCCCAACCACAUAUGCAUUGCCCCCUCUCCUCUCUCCUUUCAACCAGACACCAAACCAUUAAUAUCUUAGCACAUGCAUGAUCUCAUCUACUUUCUCCCCUUCCAAUUAAAUUACUUUAUGAUUAGCAUUAGAUGACUCCUUCCGACAUCAUUUCCGCGUGAUGGUGUCCUGGACUAUGGGUACUGACCAUGUCGUCUCCUGACCAGUGGGUCAAGCUGAGGACCCCCAUGGCGGUCCAUUAAUGGGCCAGUUCAGAUAGCCGAUAACAUAUAUGAGGAAGAUUCCACAAGACUUGGUGAUCAAUACAAGGACUCCUAUCCACCGACUUAUUCGACUAGGACUCUUGUUAUCCUAGGCCUCUGGUAUAUUAUAUAAGCCGAGGCUAGGCUAGUCGAUAGAUCAUUAUGAAAUUACUCAACACGCCCCUAGGGUUUAGAACACAACAUAUUAUCUCGAGGUAGAUCAUCUCUGUAAUCAUACACAUCGAAUAUAAUUGAGCAGGAGUAGGGUUUUACCUCUUAGAGAGGGUCCGAACCUGGGUAAACACCGUGUCUCUCGUCUCCUCUUAUCCAUCGAUCCUAGGACACACAGCUUGGGACCCCUACCCAAGAUCUGUCAGUUUUGACACCGACAUUGGUGCUUUCAUUGAGAGUUCCGCUGUGUGAUCGGCAAAGGAUCAAUGGCUUGCCUGCAGAUCAACUGCAAGGUCGGUAUCUUCGUCUCCGGCUCAACUGUUUACCUUGGCUCGACCGAGGACUGUCCUCUGCCACCGAUCGUCAUGUUCGGAUGAGGGCCUUCAACAACAUCAACUCCGAUCUCUAUCAAGAUCGUGGAGGAAUCAUCCAUGCAGCUCGGGGCUCAACUUUGACAUUUCCCUCGAGCAAUCGUGCUGUUUUUUUGGAAAGCGAACUCAUAUCCGCUGGCACCGCCUCCUCGAGCAUCGCUUUGACAAUUACUUUUGUGGAACUGUGUGGAAUUGAGUCUAAUAACCCUGCAAAAUUUCGCCGCGUGCCGAUGAAGCAAUCUUCGUUGAUCUCUGAUAUACCGGAGCCCCGACGAAUCUGGACGAGAAACCAGACCAGUUUGGAGCGUGGUGUCCAGCAUCUAGCUCGGACGUCCUUUGGAAGAUCCAACCGUUUAUCGGCUGCGGAAUUCCGAUAUGUACCGCCCCUCAAAAUUUCAGCUCGAUCUGACCGUUCAAACUCCGAGGAACCUCCGAUGAGCGCACCAAUUUUCAGAUAUGUUUACUGCGCGAAAAUGAAUCCAACCCAAGUUCAUCUUUCUUCAUGAACAGGAUAUUGGACAACCUUUUUUGAGGAAUCUCUUUCUAGGGUAUUGUGUUUUGUUUCUGAUAACAUGCUCAUAAUUUUUUCUCCUUUUCGGAGGUAACAUUCACCGUUGCGCCGGUGUCAAACCAGCCCGACAACGUUGCUGGCCGGCUGCCGACCUACGCUAGAGGGGUCGUCGCUUCAUCAACUGGACUUAACCUCUUCGGAUCAUUAUCUCGGCAAGACGAACAAGAGUUCGGCAUUGUGAAGGGUAAAUCAUCACCAAAUUAUGCGGAGCGGGCACACUGGCAUCAUUGCAUGGCCACUUCAUCAAGUGGGCAUCGACCGCGUCGCAAGAUAUGGUCCGCGUCGGCAUCGUUGCACUAUUGCUUCUUCAAGCCUGGAUGGACCUCUACGUCCGAAGAUCGGGAGUCACUUCCGGCCGGACUCGCCUCUCUUAUCCCGUAUCCAGCUUCAAUCCUGGACGAGACUUCGGUGUCCGAACACCAGGAGUCAACCCUGGCCGGACUCGCCCCUUGCACCAUAGUACAUGAGGACGAUUCCGAAGAAAUCCCGAAUACUAAUCCGGCUGACCAAGCCGAUGUCCACCAUGCCGACUUGCUUCGACACCUUGGCCGGCAUGGGGUUGCAAACAUCAUAAUACCGACCUGCCCCGUCACCUCGGCUAGAUCGGGGCUUCGCCAUCUCUUCAUCAACUUACUCCGGUGACUUCCGCGUCACCAGCCGACCAGCUUCGUCACGUUAGCUGGACCAGGGGAUUCGCCUCGCCACAUCGACCGUGUGGCAUCACCACCUCAUCAAGUCGAACUCCUCGCUCGGUUACCUCGGGCUUGGGGGCUGGGACCUUGGCUAGGCUGCGGACUACGUCUUCGUCCCGCCAUGAUCUUGGACCUCGUCAACAAUACCGAGCAUAUUAACCAGCUAAGUCGCCUCCAUGCUCUGGUUUUUUCUUUAAUUUUUUUAUUUCUUGUUCGGUUCAACCAAACAUUAUAUUUGUGUUAAAAAAAGUUGUUCAUUCAAACAUUGAUUGUUAAACACUUCUUUUUUCCGCCAAGCUCUUCAUCACCUCUAUCAUGAGGGUUUUUGUCACCUCGGCUGGACCAGGGGCUUCGGCUCGCCACGCUGAUCUUGCGCCAUCGCCACUUCAUCGAGUCGAGCUCUUCGCUCGGGCACCUCGGGACCGGCUUGGGGGCUAGGACCUCGACCCGCCGCAAGCUCGGCCCACAUCAUCAACACCGAACCCAUUAACCAGCUAAGUCGCUUUCAUGCUCAAAGCUUUUUCAUUUUCAAUUUGUGUUCAGUUCGACCAUGCUCACAUUCGUUGUUUGUUAAGACACUUCCUGUCAUAGGUUAACUGGGGGCUCUUAAAUUUAUACGAGCCAUUUUAUAAUGAAUGUUUUUCUUCUCAGUCGUUGCAAAGUCUUUUUCUACCACUCCUUUCUCGGCUCGAGUGUGUGGUCAAAUGCCGGAUAGCCUGGUUUCUCCAUAAAGCCGCUCGAUUUUAGUUUUCUAAAGUGGCCUAACGAGAAGUACUCCGCCUUCGGGAUAGGAGGUUGAAGCUGUAGGCUGACCCACUUGAAGUCUUGAGAUCGGAUGUGUCAUGUUACAACACGACAGAAGCACAAACUAAUUUAAGACCAAUCUUCGGAUUGGCACCAAAAAACCUGAUUUAGUUCGGCGUCAAGUUUUUGCAUAAGUUUUUUGGCUUUUCGAGCUUAUGGCACUUUUUAGCUAUUUGUAUAUUUUUCUUUCAGGAAGCAGGAUAUCCUCAUGAUCGAGGUUCCCUGCACAAUAAUUCUGCUCGGGAGAUCUUUUCUGACCCAUAGCUCGACAUCUUUCGCACCAAACUAUACCUCGGGCGCCACAUCAGGACUACUUCCUGAGUAGUGCAAUGGUAGACGCCUUUAAAACAUUGGCAAUAUUAACGGGGGGGCUGCAACUGAAGCUGAACCCACCAAAAGCCAAGGUGCUCCAUGGACUCCUCGGCAAAAUGUUCUCGGGUAUUACUUUGUAUGCAUCGGUUUCGAAUUGUGUCUUUGGUCAAUAUUUGGAUUGUCUGACUCCUGUUCUUGCCUUCUACGUUUCGCUUUGUUCCGCUAGGUGUGCAAAGGAGAACCACUGUGAUUGUGCUUCCAUCUGCAUGGUUAAAGUGCCUCAUUGGAGAAAGCCGAAAACUGUCUGUCACAAUAAGCACAAACUGGUCAGCGAUCCGAUGACAGUGUUAAACUAUAAGAUCGAUAGGGGUCACUCCGUGUUAAAUGAUGGGCAGAUCAUAGCAUUGGCCGAAGUGUUUACAACUUGACUUCGGUUGUCUCCGAACACUAACCGGGGCUAGUAACUGGCCUCCCAACUUUACGCUCCUAUGACUAAGUGAAAGUUAUAAAGCCCGCAUAUAUGAUUGCCUCGUUUCCGCUAACACAACCGCCUUCGGGCACCGAGACGUCGGCUAAGGGUUCUUUUUUUUAUUGUGUAUACACCCUACAUAGCAUCUACAAAGGGGUAGAAGCCGACGAUGGUCCACUUUCAACUGAUAAGCUGUCACAACGGAGUCAAAAUAAGCAUAUCAUCAACAUUUGCUUUCAGUAUGGAAGCGUUGCCUUCCGUAAUUAUCGUUAUAAAGCCAUAAAUAUGCAUCAAUUUGACUUAAGAUUUUGGACAAGCUGGGUUGCCUGGCUGCUGUGCUUACCCCUACAUUCCCGAUUGUUCGGCUAGGCGGUAAAGGGAGCUCCUCUAUGAUUGUUACUAUCGGGUCAUUCGAGUUAGUACCUCAGACUAGGUGAAGCCAAAAGCUAGCCAUCUUAAAGGAUAUAAUUGGUCGACAACGGCGGAAGUGAAAAUCUCGGUUCAUUAGACCAUAGAGUUUGGGAACUUUCCCCAAACUAAAUCCUCAAUAUUUUUCUCACACAUUGAUCGGAGGUGAGGUUUCAUUAUCAUGGUCAGCAUGACAAGCCAAAGAAAGGAACCGAUAGUGGGACUAUUUUCUUUGGAAGAUGUUUCUUACGUUAGUAGUAAUAUAACAUAUCUCUCCAUGUACCUUUGUUUAUAAAACCAUAUCGCCGGAUUGCCUUGUUUGCUGUAAAUCUUUGCCCUUAUAAAGGCUUUGUAAAGUAGGACAAACACUCCUCGGCUACUGACCCAGGAGGUUGAUUCCAAUGGUCGGUCAACAAAGUUUUGUAUUGUGCGGAUCCGAGCAUUAAUGAUGUAGAGUACUUGGAUACAUAGAAUCAUUGAACAUAAUUUGUGAUUUUACUCCGGAUAUCAAUCCUUCAUUCGGCCACCCAUGCCCACAUUAAGGCUCGGGGGCUAUUGGGCUUCGCACUUAUCAUUUAAAAGUAGUAAAUGGACUAGUGUUUGGGGGCUACUGCAUUGCCUAUUCAAUGGAGAAAAUUCAAAGUGUCUGUUGUUCGGCUUGACUGAACUAUGGGCAAACGUGUCUUCGAACAACAAUAGAUACCAUCUGGACCUAUCCGGCAUGAAGCUAAUAUAUUACGGAACUUCUCAAGACCCUCUCUCAAAGGCCCGUUCGCUGAUCGCUAUUUCCUCUAAUAUAUUGCAUCGCAUUUCUAUUGCUAAGUAUGUUGUCGAGAUGGGAAUUGGUCCUCGGGCCGAUUUCAUGAAUGACUCAGUGCUAUUGGGGUCUGCAGUUUGAUUUUAUCCUUCAGGUGCAUCCCAGAUAUUAGGCCAACACGCACCUUGAGGGCUACUGGCUAUACAUCUCGGCAGAAAAUACAUUGCACAAAUUGGAAUUAAAUUCAUAAAAAUCAGCCCAAACCCGAGAUGGUGCAUCACCUCGGAAGCAGUCCGGCAUAAAGCUUGGUUGCAAGUGGCUGGCCACAUAGAGGGCAUCUCGAGCAUUAAGCUCGUUUGAACCCUUUUAACUCUUUCAAGAUCGAGGUAAUCUAUGACACCUUGGAUACAGUCGGGCAUUGGAGCUCGGAUACAUUCCGACAUUGGAGCUCGGAAGCGGUCUGGCGGUUGUACUUGGCUCCAAAAAGAUACCUCAAAUGCAGCCCGACGUUGGAGCUCGGAUGCAAGAGGACACUGCCGCACGAGAAACACUUCGAACCCAAGGUGUGGCCUAAAAAAUAAUAAAGACAUUGAUAAAGGCCGAUAACUUAAAGGGGCUCCUCGGAUACCUGGCGUGUAAGCUCUUCGGAUUCACUUCUGCGAUCCUCAAGAUCGAAGAUGAGAAGAUUUGUUGAACCAGUUUUCAAGACCGACGGCCGAAGAUGAAGAAUAGUUCGGAAGAAUCGAGGAGCGUCCCCAACUUGAAGACCGGUUCAGGGGGGCUACUAAUAGUGUCCUAGACUAUGGGGUACUCACCAUGUCGUCUCCUGACCAAUGGGUCAGGCCGGGGACCCCCAUGGUGGUUCAUUAAUGGGCCAGUUCGGGCACCCGAUGACAUAUACGAGGAAGAUUCCACAAGACUUGGUGAUCAAUACAAGGACUCCUUUCCACCGACGUAUUCGACUAGGACUCUUGUUAUCCUAGGCCUCUGGUAUAUUAUAUAAGCCGAGGCUAGGCUAGUCGAUAGAUCAUUAUGACAUUACUCAACACACUCCUAGGGUUUAGACCACAACAUAUGGACUCGAGGUAGAUCAACUCUGUAAUCAUACACAUCGAAUAUAAUCGAGCAGGAGUGUGGUUUUACCUCCUAUAGAGGGCCCGAACCUGGGUAAACACCGUGUAUCUUGUCCCGUGUUACCCAUCAAUCCUAGGACACACAGCUUGGGUGCCCCUACCCGAGAUCUACCAGUUUUGACACCGACACCGCGGACCACGCCUAGACAUAAAAACUAACAUAUACCGAAGACAUUUGCGUGUCAGCUUUGGAGAUGCCCUUGUGAUCAAAAUUAGACUUGAAAUAUGAGAGGCACAAUAAACCAAGGAGGAAGUAUGUGUCAGUGUGGAUCACAUAAUAAGGUAUUAGGCCAACUCUAAUGAACGACCCCAGACGGACGCCCGUUUUGUCCGGAUUCUGUCCAUUUAGUUUGGCUAGAGGCGCAUUGUCCGGCCGCGCCUGACCAAACCUGGUCAGUGCGACCAACCGUCCGACGUAUUUCGUCGGGCGCCAGAAUUAUUUGCAAUAAAAUAAAAUCUGAAAUUAGGGCUCGCGACCAUAGUCAUGCCAAGAGCCGUCAUUCAUGCUAGCCUACAACAAGAUCACCCCUAGCUCGCGUCGAAACACUUGCCAGCAACCGCACACUUACCAUCGCACAUAAAAUGACCAUAGUUUUUGCAUUGCGGCCCUAGUUCAUGACGGCCAUACAAAAUGAUGUCGCUCUCGGCCAUAGCUCAAUCAUCUAGCUCAAGCAUUUCCUUCUGCUUCUUCUAAAACCAAACUCUUCUCCUGAGGGACACCUUUCUCAAGUCCCCUCCACCUCCUUCGCCAAAAAAGCGAGUGCCAGCUCUUUUACUUUGGUCUUCGCAUUGGUUGACUCAAUCACAAGCUUCUUGGUUUGGACGUUCUCCUCCAUCUUGAGUUUCUUCUUUUGUAUCUCUAUGUAGGCCUUCAUUUGCUCCUAUUUCUCUUGGCGCUUCCUCUCCUACCUUGCUUCCUUUUGGGUCAUCAUGCCUUGCAAUGUUUCUUGGAAGGCGAAUAUCUCCACAUCACCCUUCUCAUCCACCUUGGACUUGGUCUUGCCCCUCGUUCGCUUCUCCCCUUCUUCAUUCUCAAUGAUGGUCGUUAGCCUUCCAUUCUUCUUUUGGGUGACAUAUUGCUCCUUGAACUAGGGGCAAUUGCAAAUGAUCGUCCAACAGUGGGUGAUGUUGAAUGGCUUGUUCCCAUGUUGGGAUUUGAAGGCUUCUAAAGUUUGGAAUGCCUACAAAUAAAAGGGAAGGCCACAAUGUAAUAGUGAAGGGCACAAUGCAACAAACAUGAAUAGGCAUAUGAACAAAGAGAAGAAAUUGUAUACCAUAUGGCUCAUGCCUAGGCCACUCAUGGGACAGCCUUGGAUGCUCUCAAGGGCGACACAAAACUUGUUGCAUUCUUAUUGGAUGAAACCCCCACCACUUUUGAAUUGAACCAAACUUGGUCAGUAUCUUUCAUACUAGAUAGGUUAUUCUCACAAUGAGUGUUUAUUCACUUGUCAUUGCACGAGAAAGUGGUAGGUAAUAGGGAUUUUCCAGUCUCAUAAUCAAUCAAAAAAUAUAAAAAAUAAAUACCCCCCCAUUGAAAGUUUGGAAGGCACCUGUGGAUACGGCUAGCCAUGAAUUAUGGAAGAAUGGUGGAGGGGGAGUAAAACUUUAUUUUCUGUUUGAGAACUGCAUAUAAUGUGUCUAGCCUGGGAGAUAUUGGAAACUUUUGGUCAUGACAUUGACAGGAAAAGCAUGCCUCUCAAAAUAAUUCCUCUCUGAUAUAGGGUGUGAGCUCUAGCACCUCUAUAAAUCGAUGCUUCCCUCUGCGUAGGACCCAUCUCACUAUUGCAGGAAUGCCUAGCAGUGGCGGGUGGGAAAACCCCAGUAGUGGCGGGCAAGGCUCUGAGGGCUGCCCGUCACUCCUAGAAUGCCAUCAGUGGCGGUCGCCCACCCGCCAUUGUUAGGCCAUGAUCAAUGGUGGGCUCUAGGUCGUGCCCUCCACAACACUCCGUGUUGCCCGCGAAAUGAUUUUCAUGCUGUCAUGGUGGUCCUUUUCUACCGCUUGCCACUGCAAUUGUUGCAUGUCGACAUGAUUCAAUUACAACAUAUUGCAGCUGGAUCAUAUCAUCAGGUUACAUUUGGUACAUAAAUUCUGGUUUGAACCUUCAUCCACAUAUAUGCACCACAUUACAAUGAUUUCAGUUUAAUGAAAUGUAGUAGUCAUAAAAUAUAACAAGUGCAUUAUAGUAAUUAAUAAGCAUAUAUAUUUCGCGAUCAUCACAUAAUGAAUGGUUUGAUGAGUUUUUUUGGAGUGAAGUGAGUGUUGGCCAAUGUUCGUCAUGUAGACUGUUAGUAUAAGCCGCACAUACUACAUGAAUUAGUACUUGAUGGAAUGAACGGGGACCAAUGGGCCGCCGGCUCUAGAAUUGGAAUUUUUUCUUCUCGAAGAGGCCAUUGCACAACCUCGGCGGGCGUGGGUACAGUGGUUGGACUCAUACCCAGCCAGAUCCUCAGUAUCUCAUCCAGGGUCGCCUCCACAAGGAUGCACACUAGGAGGUCAGUGGGCCGCCUCUCUACAAUCUUGUCAAUCGCUGGGAGAGAACAAUGGGCCAUUGGAACACUUUUGACCCAAGCUAACAUCACCUCCUUGAGGUGCUCUAUGGGUCCAUAGCUAGUAGCUAGAUGGCUUCUUCUCUCUCUUUGAUUCUCAAUACCAUGUUCUCCGCGAUGUUCUUGGAGAUCUAUCUGAUGAAAUAUUCUUUUGCGGUGUAUUUGUCGAGAUCCGAUGAAUUGUGGAUUUAUGAUCAGCUUAUGUAUGAAUAUUACUUGAAUCUUAUCUGAAUUCUUAUAUCCAUGAUUUUAUAUCUUUGUAAUUCUCUUCAAACUAUCUGUUUAGUUUGGCCAACUAAAUUGUUUUUUCCUGCAAUGGGAGAAGUGCUUAGCUUUGGGUUCAAUCUGGCGGUGUCCUUUCCCAGUGACAGUAGGGGAAGAAAGGCAUGUAUUGCAUUGUUUCCAUCGAGGAUAAAAAUAUGGGGUUUACAUCAUAUUGCUUGAGUUUAUUCCUCUACACCAUGUCAUCUUACUUAAUGUGUUACUCUGUUCUUUAUGAACUUAAUAUUCUAGAUGCAGGCAGGAGUCAGUCGAUGUGUGGAGUAAUAGUAGUAGAUGCAGGCAGGAAUCAGUCUACUUGACACAGACAUGAUGCCUAUAUUUCAUAAUCAUUGCCUUGGAUAUCGUCAUAACUUUGCACUUUCUAUCAAUUGCUCGACAGUAAUUUGUUCACCCAUCGUAUUAUUUGCCUUCAUGAGAGAAGCCUAUAGUGAAACCUAUGGCCCUCGGGUCUAAUUUCCAUCAUAUUAGUUUCUGAUCUACUAUUUUGCAAUCUUUUACUUUCAGAUCUAUCAACCAAAAAGACUCAAAAAUAUUUUAUCUUUUGUUUAUCUAUCUCUAUCAGAUCUCACUGUUGCAAGUGAUCAUGAAGAGAUUGACAACCCCUUUAUCGCGUUGGGUGCAAGUUGUUUGAUUAUUUGUGCAGGUAUUGGUGGCUUGUGCGUUGUCUCCUACUGGAUUGAUACCUUGCUUCUCUAACUGAGGGAAAUACUUAUCUCUACUUUGCUGCAUCAUCCUUCCUCUUCAAGGGAAAAACCAACGCAAUAUCCAGAAGUAGCAGACAACAUACUUAGUUCCAUUUCUCCGUCGGUGUGUUACUUUAUCUCGGUAUCGGCAAGUCUCUUUCCUCUUUCCAUAAUAGAUUAUCAUGUAACUAACUCCUUAGUCAUUUCAUGAUGUUGUAUUACCAAGAGGGCCCAGAGAUACCUCGUACAGAGUGAAAAAUCCCAGUCUUGACCCAUGCCGACUCAACAAACACCUUCAGAGAUACCUGUAGAGCACCUUUAUGAUCACCCAGUUACAUUGUGAUGUUUGAUAGCACACAAGGAACCUCCGGAGUCCGGAGUUGCAUUAUCUAGUGGUCGAAGAAACAUCUAUUUGAAAUUACGAAAGUAGUAGCAAUAAACUGAAAGAUCAUAUGCUAUGCUAACGGUUGGGUCUUGUCCAUCACAUCACUCUCCUAAUGAUGUGGUCCUGUUAUCGAAUGACAACUCAUGUCUAUGGUUAGGAAACCUUAACCAUCUUUGAUCAAUGAGAUAGUCUAGUAGAGGCUCACUAGGGACAUGGUAUCUGUUUAUGUAUCCGCACAUGUAUUUAAGUUUCGGGUCAAUACAAUUCUAGCAUGAAUAAUAAACCUUUAUCGUGAAUAUGGAAAUAUGAUAAUAACAACUUUAUUAUUGCCUCUAAGGCAUAUUUCCAUCAUUUGAAUUGAUCUAUGAGUGCUAAGUUUGAUCUCCACCAGAAAGAGCCAACCUUAUGAUAUCCUGGGAGUUGUCCAUUACUAUAGUCUCUCUCCCAAAUUAAAUUAACCGAGGGUAUGUCAUGCCUAUUGAAGAACUUAUGAAGGUUUGUUAUGAGCAGAGUCUUGUUUUGUUUGUAGAUAUCCAUAACUCCUAGGCCUCCUUGAUAUUUGGGUCUACAAACAGUGUGCCAUGCAACUAAAGCUGGUCUGUGAUCUUCCAAAUCAGGGCUUCUCCAUAGACAGUGUCUCAAGUACUUAAUGAUCUGUUCCUUGAUGGUAAUAGGUAUGUCCAGGCAACACUUGCAGAAAAUUGGUAAUGAUGCAAGCACUAAUUUUGACUAGGAGCAACCUUCCUACGUGAGUCAUAAAAGUAGAAAUACCUGCUAAUCUCUUAGCAAUUCUGUUGACUAGGGGCAAACAUUGUUCCACAGUUGGUUUAUAGAUUCCUAAAGGAAGGCCCAAGUAAGUAAAAGGGAAUUGUCCUCUUACACAUUGCAGUGUGUGAGUGAAAAUAUUUAUUCUGUCUUCUGCAAUGUUUAUGGGCACCAUGAUUGAUUUCCAAUAAUUGACUUUUAGUCCAGCGGCUGAGGCAAAUGUGUUUAACAGGGCUUUGAGACAUAUCAGCUACUUUGCAUUUGCUUGCAUAAGAACCAGGGUAUCAUCUACAUACUGUACUACUCGAGAAUUAGGACAGGAGUAGACUUGCAGUGGUGGAGUAAUUAUACUCAGUAUGCUGGCCUUAUUAAGUAUUGAUUGUAGGAGAUCAGCAGACAACACAGAAAUCAAUGGGGAAAGGGGAUCACCCUGCCUCACUCCUCUUCUAUAGUAGAAUUUUAUUGGCAUGGAAUCCAUUCAACAUCACAGCAUAUGUGGCAGAUGUGAAAACUAAGUGCAUCCAGAAAAUCUACUUGUCUCCAAAUCCCUUUACUCUGAGUAUAUCAACAAUUUCCUGAUGUUCGAUAGUGUCGAAAGCUUUCUCAAAAUCCAUUUUAAUCACCAGCAUCACUUCUUUUGAUUUAUGACAUUGAUGGAUAUAUUCAUAUUGUUGGGGAACGUAGCAUGCAAUUUCAAAAAAAUCCUAUGCUCACGCAAGAUCUAUCUAGGAGAUGCAUAGCAACUAGAGUGGGAGAGUGUGUCCAUGUACCCUCAUAGGACGAAAGCAGAAGCGCUAGCUUAAUGCGGUUGAUAUAGUCGAAAAUCUUCUCGAUUCAACCGAUCAAGCACCGAACGUAUGGUACGUCCGUGUUCUGCACAUGUUCAGCUCGAUGACGUCCCUCGAACUCUUGAUCCAGCAAAGUGUCAAGGGAGAGUUUCGUCAGCAUGAUGGCAUGGUGACUGUGAUGGUGAAGUGAUCCGCGCAGGGCUUCGCGUAAGCACUACGACAAUAUAACCAAAGGAGUAAACGGUGGAAGGGGGCACCGCACACGGCUAAGAACAAUUGAUGUCCGUCGAGGUGCCUCCCCGAACCCAUAUAUAAAGGAGGGAGAGGGGAGGAGGCCGGCCUAGGGCGCGCCAAGUGGAGAGGAAUCCCACUUGGACUCGUAGUCCUGUUCGCCCCCACCCCUCUUUCCUUCUAUCAGAGGGGAAAAGAUGGAAGGAGAGGGAGUAGGAGAAGGAAAGGGCGUGACGCCCCCUUCCCUUGUCCAAUUCGGUCUCCUUUCUUGUGGGGGCACACCAGCCCCUUGUGGGCUGGUUAGCCUCCCUCCUACGGCCCAUAUGGCCCAUAUCUUCCACCGAGGGGUUCCAGUAACCCCUCCGGUACUCCAGUAUGUACCCGAUACACUCCGGAACCCUUUCGGUGUCUGAAUACUACCUUCCAAUAUAUCAAUAUUUAUCUCUCGACCAUUUAGAGACUCCUUGUCAUGUCCGUGAUCUGAUCCGGGACUCCGAACAACCUUCGGUCACCAAAACACAUAACUUAUAUAAUAUAUAUCGUCAUGUCAACAUACGUUAUUCCCUUUGUCAUCGAUAUGUUACUUGCCCGAGAUUCGAUCGUCGCUAUCUUCAUACCUAGUUCAAUCUCGUUACCGGCAAGUCUCUUUACUCGUUCCGUAAUGCAUCAUUACGCAACUAACUCAUUAGUCACAUUGCUUGCAAGGCUUCAUAUGAUGUGCAUUACCGAGGGGCCCUAGAGAUACCUCUCCGAUACUCGGAGUGACAAAUCCUAAUCUCGAUCUAUGCCAACCCAACAAACACCUUUGGAGGUACCUGUGGAGCAUAUUUAUAAUCACCCAGUUACGUUUUGACGUUCGAUAACACACAAGGCAUUCCUCCGGUGUCCGGGAGUUGCAUAAUCUCAUAGUCAGAGGAAUAUGUAUUUGACAUGAAGAAAGCAGUAGCAAUAGAACUGAACAAUCAUUAUGCUAUGAUAACGGAUGGGUCUUGUCCAUCACAUCAUUCUCCUAAUGAUGUGAUCUCGUUCGUCAAAUGAAAACACAUUUCCAUGGCUAGGAAACUUAACCAUCUUUGAUCAACGAGCUAUUCAAGUAGAGGCAGACUAGGGACACUAUGUUUUGUAUGUGUAUUCACACAUGUAUCAAGUUUCUGGUUAAUACAAUUCUAGCAUGAAAAAUAAACAUUUAUCAUGAAUAAGGAAAUAUAAAAUAACAACUUUAUUAUUGCCUCUAGGGCAUAUUUACUUCAGUCUCCCACUUGCACUAGAGUCAACAAUCUAGUUCACAUCGCCAUGUGAUUUAACUCCAAUAGUUCACAUCUUUAUGUGAUUAACACCCAUAGUUACAUCGCCAUGUGACCAACACCCAAAGGGUUUACUAGAGUUAAUAAUCUAGUGUCACACCCUGAUUUUCAUGGCACCACACUUAAGCUAAUAAAUCAUGAUAAAUUGUGGUUUGACUAAAAACUUUUGUGUGUUUUGGUCUUUGUUUGAUUUGAUUCUUUUCUGUUGUUUGCAAGUGCUCUAAAAAUCAAAUACAUCCUCCAACUCUUAUACUCCUUCUCCUUGAUCCAGAAACCUUGCCCAGUGAACAUGCCAUGUGUAUAGGACAUAAAAAUAAUUUCUUAUAAAAAUAAUUUGGCCAAAUAGUAUUUUCAAAAAUUAGUUUUCCAAAAACCCCUGAAUUGAGAUUUGCACUGCAAGUACUUAAUUAAGGGCAGUAAAAAUCUUUACAAAAAUAUAUUUGACUCCUAUGAGGUAUAGGACACCCAUAAACCCCAAAAAUAUAAUUUUAAAACUUAUUUUAUUAUUUUAUUUAAAGGAUUUUUCUUUAGGCCAGAAAUGAUCUUUAAUAGGUUAAAAUUGUUUUAAUGGUUUAAAAAUAUUUGUGAAAAUUUAGGGAAACGAAGUGGACAUAUAUUGUCCAGAUAUAAGAGUUUCAAUAUAGGGUCAUGUUCAAAAUAUUGGUCAAAUCUCUCAAAAACCCUUUCUGGAUAUUUCAAGCUUUUGAAAUAUUUACAAAGGAAAUAUUCUCCAAAAAUUCCAAGAAAAUUCUAUCAUGUCACAUAUGACACGUUGGAUGAUCUUGACAAGUCUCAUGUCAUGCAGAAUAGUAUAACCCCAUGAAACCCUCUCAAAACCAUUUCUGCCCUUUUUCAAGUUUGAACAACUUUGCAUUAGAAAACUUGUCCAAAUACUCUCAAGCUUGGUCCACAUGCUACAAUGGUCCAAUAAAUAAUCUAGACUAAGUAUAAAAAGUUGGAGAACAAGUUAACUUGCUCAAAGUGCCCUAAAACCCUUCCUAUCCAGAACCAAAUUUGAACAACUCAACAUUGGAAACUAUCUCUUUUUGAUCUCAACUUUUGUGGACAUGUUCAGAAUCUCAAAUGAUGACACUACACCAAGUAGUGCACCAAUGAGAAGAGUUUAGCUUAGCUAGAUCUAAGCAAGUCCAUUUUUGUUAAUUUCUAGAGUUUACAAAAGUUGCAUUGGCAACUUUGCCCAAAUGGACUCAACCUUGGUGGAACCUAUUAUUAUAUCAUGCCAUUUGACCCUGUCAAUCCUCAUGACAAGAGGAGUUCAUCUUAUUUCCCAAACCAGCAACAAACACCUUCUCCCAUUUUAUUAAAACCCCUGUUUUGACCAUUUCCACUCUUCUCCUUCCUCUCUCUUCAUCCACUGGCCACCCAAAGCAUCCAAGGAGAAGAUCCCUUCCUUAGCACCCCCAAAGACUACUGGACAUGCAAGGGCGCGCCCACAAGCAUAGAAAAUGGCCUGGACAGCCAUAUGGGCGCUCUGGAGCGCGCUACAGUGCGCCCUUGCACUGUAGCCGCUCUCUGCCCAAGCCACCCGACGACCUCGGGGGCCGGGAGCGUGUCCCUCGAGUCUGUCUCGGCGUGCGUGACACGCCUAGCUGUCGGGCCCGUCGCCCAUCGGCCUCCUUUGCCCCUGUCGAGCUCACCCGAAUGCCGCCCAAGCUCACCGGUCGUUGCACUCGUGCGGGACCUUCUCUGGCGUCGCCCCGCUCCCCCUCUCACCUUACUCGCUCCUGGAUGAACUCCACGAGUGCCACUGACCCAUCCAAGAACCCUCCCUCGACCACCACCAUGAUUUCCGCGAGCACCCGUGAGCUUGGCUCACGGUGCACCAUGGCCUCGCCUUAUAGGGCCUCCCCUGGUCUCUCCCUCGUCUCCAUUCACUCUCCCCCUCCCCUAGUCCUGCUGGACCAACCCUCUCUCUCUCCCGCGUCCCCUAUCCUCCCCCACAGCCAAAGAAUCGCCGCCGGCCGCCGCCAAAAUUCGUGGUAUCCCGAGCUCCUCCGCGGGUGUGAAGCACAUGGACGGGAUCGGCGCAUUGCGCUGAGUCCUCCGGUGUGCUGGGCACCGUCGCAGGUGACCGGAGCCGCUGCAACGGGCACCGGUGCCGCUCGGCCGCGCCUCCCCUGUCGCUCCUCUCCCUCAGGUGCAAGGUAGGGCACGACCACUCCGCCAGCUCGCAGGGGGCCCGCCCGUCAGCGGCAGAGGUGACCGAGCCGGCCCACCAGUCGGGUUAAGUUGAAACGGCUUCGGGCCGACCCGCUUGCCCCGCUGGGUGGCGCCCUCCUGCAGUGCGCCUUCGACGUCACCUCCUCCCUCGCGCAGCUGAGCCACUGGGCCGAGCCCAGUAGGCGCUGUUUAGCUGGGCUUCGCCCAUGCGCUUUAUAAGCUUGACAUCUUUUCUUCCUUUUUCUUUUUUUAAAUAUUGUAAAAUCUCUAGAGAAUUCAAAUGGACUCCAUAUUUGAUGAUUCAAAUUUCUGGUAGCUCAUAAAAUCAUGGUGUAUCUUAUGGUGCAACUUGCACAUUUUUCCAGAAACCUUUUUUUCACAAAUAUUUAUAAUAUCCUAUUUUUCCUAUUUUUGUGAUAAACUUUAGAAAAUCACAGAGAGCUCAAAAUUGAUUCAAAUGCCUUGAUUCGAAUUCCUAGAUGCUUCUAAGUUCAUAACUUAGUUUAUGAACAUUUUUAUUAAUAUUUUCUGUGCCCCACAAAAUAAUGAGCCAUUUCUUCAUAUUAGCCAACUUUGCCAAUUCCUAGGAAAAUCAUUUGAACUCCAAAUCCAGUAAAACCAACUCCGAGAGGCUUCUAAAAUCAUGCUUUGUUAAAUGGGUGCCUUUGCUCAUUUUUCAAUAUAAUGUUUCUAUGCACUUAUUGCAAAUGCAUAAACCCCUUGAUUCCAUCAUAUCGAAAUGUUUCGAAAUAUCCAUUGAUCCACUUCCAAUGAAACCACCUUGGUCAUUCCUCAUAUGACCAGAGGUAUCCUAGAAAAGUCCAACUCACAUUUUUUUAGAGCACUUUUAUUUUGCCUGGUCGUGUUGCUUAUUAUGGUUGUUUUCGGCGAUAUUUGACGAAGUAGAUGAAAUGCUCGGAGUUAGACCAGAGAUAUUUGAAGACCUCGAAGACUUUGUUAAAAUAGGAAAGCAGCCCUUUGACCAUGUCUAUGAUACCCUUUUUAUGCAUGUCAUAUAGCACUUUUAUUGCUUGCAUCAGAGACAUGAUACUGUGGUAACCACAUGGGGUGGUUUGCCACCGUUACUUCCUCGUUGAUACUUGCAUUGUGCAUGACCCUACCUUCUUAUGAGGGUUAUGCCGGUGGGAGUAGAUAGGAUGCUAAAGUAGAUGCUACGCAAAAAGGGACGGGUAUAUGCAUGGUGAAGGAGACAAAGUAUUUUCAAAAGACUUUUCGAAAACCCCGUCGGGUGCCACUUAUGCCCGAGGGAGAUGAUGAGAUGGGUAACCACUUGAUGACAAAGUGGUGUACCGAGGCAAGUGUGUUUUGUUUUCGAAAACGGAUUAGAUUUAAGAUUUGUCGACUGUCCCAACCUUACAUGCGCAACCACUCUACCCUUGUAUGGGAAAGGGCAUUAUUGAUUUCCUAGGCCGAUACUAGCUUGGAGCCCGCAUUACUAGUGACGGCGGAGAGUUGGUGCUCUCCCUCGGGACGGGGUCGUGCCAGGUAGGGCGGCCAUGACUGUUUUCAUAGGGCACCAGAUACACCGUUGUGUCCCCUCUCGGAUGUUACGAUCUCGAGUGACUCUCGUAUGAUGUACAUCGUGAGAAUACGGAACAACGAGUGGACUGCUUGUUAGUGUCGUCUAGGGAAAGAUAGUGAUCGGGUGCUUACUCCGGGUACUUGAGGUAUCGCGGGUCGUGGAUGACACGGAAGUUCCCCGGAUCUUGUGGGUAAAGUGUGCAACCUAAAACUAUUCGAAUAGCCGUGUCCACGGUCAAGGACAGUUGGGCGGUGCUGCUUAAACUACAUCCAGAGCUUCACAAACCAGUGUGUGUGUUCGGAUAAUUGGGGAAAACUACUUGGGUCAAGUCAAGGGACUUGACAUGAUUGAGUUGGGUUGAUGCCCACUCUAUUUAUGUUGAUAUCUGUAACCUGUCCUCAUGGUUACUUGAAUUCUCCUGAUGCAUGUCUUACAAGUUGUUGAACAUGUCAUUGCACUCAAAACUAGCUUUCUGCAAAAUUUACCUAUAUCAUGCAUUGUUACAUCUUGGACCAAAACAUGGGUUGCUUGCGAGUACAUUCAAAGUACUCAUUGGCCUGCCACUAGUUAUUUAAUUGGCCAGGCAUGGAAGAACCAGAGUUUGAAGAAGAGUUCUUUGGAGACGAACAUGCUUUAACUAGGAUGUUUCCCAGUCAGAAUACCUUUAGGGUUAAGGCAGAUGGCAUGGGUUCUACUUAUCGACAAAGAGUUCCGCUGCUUAUAUUUCAUUUGAUGCUCAACCCUUAAGGCUUUAUCAAUGUAAGACUUGACCAUAAUGGUCAUAAUUUGUGUAAGACGGUAUGAAUGGAUGUAAGACUCUUGUUAUUCAGCUUCUGUGUGUUCAGUGAGCAUUGAUCUCUGGGAUCACUGUACACUUGCAUUCGGUGAUCAUGACUUAUGAGUCGGGGUCCCCACUAGUUCACAUCGCUAUGUGAUUAACACCCAAACAGUACUAAGGUGUGAUCAUGUUUUACUUGUGAGAGCAGUUUAGUUAACGGGUCUGCUACAUUCAGAGCCGUAUGUAUUUUGCAAAUUUGAUACGUCUACAUUUCUCUACAUGGAUAUAGUCUAGCUAAUUGCUCCCACUUUCAAUAUGUAUCCAUAUUGAGACUUAGAGUCAUCCGGAUUGGUGUAAAAGCUUGCAUCAACGUAAGUCGUUACGACGACCUCUUUAUCACCUCCAUAACGGAGAAAUAUUUCCUUAGUCCUCUUAGGUAACUAAGGAUAACUUUGACCGCUAUCUAGUGAUCCACACCUGGAUCACUAUCGCACCCCCUUGCCAAACUCAUACCAAGACACACAACUGGUCUGGUACAUAGCUUGGCAUACUUUAUAGAACCUAUGACUGAGGCAUAGGGAAUGACUUUCAUUCUCUUUCUAUCUUCUACCAAGACACACAACUUUACACCUUGUAAUACAGGCAAGAACUCCUUCUUUGACUGGUCCAUUUUGAACUCUUUCAAAAUCUUGUCAAGGUAUGUACUCAUUGAAAGUAUUAUCAAACGUCUUGAUCUAUCUCUAUAUUUUCUUGAUGCCCAAUAUGUAAGCAGCUUUCACCGAGGUCUUUCAUUGAAAAACUUUUAUUCAAGUAUCCUUUUAUGCUAUCAACAAAUUCUACAUCAUUUCCAAUCAACAAUAUGUCAUCCACAUAUAAUAUUAGAAAUUCUAUAGAGCUCCCACUCACUUUCUUGUAAACACAAGCUUCUCCAAAAGUCUGUAUAAAACCAUAUGCUUUGAUCACCUCAUCAAAUCGUAUAUUCCAACUCUGAGAUGCUUGCACCAGUCCAUAGAUGGAUCGCUGGAGCUUGCACACUUUGUUAGCACCUUUAGGAUCGAGGAAACUUUCUGGUUGCAUCAUAUACAACUCUUCUCAGAGAUAUCCAUUCAAGGAUGUAGUUUUUGACAUCCAUUUGCUAGAUUUCAUAAAAUGUGGGAAUUGCUAACAUGAUUCAUGCAGACUUAAGCUUUGAGAUGGGUGAGAAAGUCUCAUCAUAGUCAACUCCUUGAACUUGUCGAAAACCUUUUGCAACAAGUUGAGCUGUGUAGACAGUAACACUAUCAUCAGCGUCAGUCUUCUUCUUGAAGAUCCAUUUAUCCUAUGUGGGUCGCCGAUCAUCGGGUAGAUCAACCAAAGUCCACACUUUGUUCUCAUACAUGGAUCCUAUCUCAGAUUUCAUGGCUCAAGCCAUUUAUCGGAAUUUGGGCUCAUCAUAGCUUCUUCAUAGUUCGUAGGUUCAUCAUGGUCAAGUAAGAUAACCUCCACAACAGGAUUACCAUACCAAUCUGGUGCGGAUCGUGCUCUGUUUGACCUACAAGUUUCUAUAGCAACUUGAUCUCAAGUUUCAGGAUCUGUAUCAUUAUUUUCCUCUGCAUUUGGUGUAGGCAUCACAAGAACUGAUACGUCUCCAACAUAUCUAUAAUUUUUUAUUGUUCCAUGCUAUUAUAUUACCCAUUUUGGAUGUUUAUGGGUUUUACUAUACACUUUUAUAUCUUUUUGGGACUAACCUACUAACCGGAGGCCCAGCCUGAAUUGUUGUUUUUUGCCUAUUUUAGUGUUUCGCGGAAAAGGAAUAUAAAACAUAGUAAAAAUGGAAUGAAACCUUCGGGAGCAAUCUUUUUGGAACAAACGCAAUCCAAGAGACUUGGGGUGGACGUCAAGAAGCAGUCAAGGCGGCCACGAGGGUGUAGGGCGCACACCUAGGGGUGGGAGCCCCCUGCCUCGUGGGCCUCCCGUGCCUCCCCUGACCGACCUCCUUCGCCUAUAUAUAUCUAUGUACCCCGAAAACAUCCAGGGGCACCACGAAAAACUAUUUCCACCGCCGCGACCUUCUAUACCCAUGAGAUCCCAUCUUGGAGCCUUUUCCGGCGCUCCGCCGGAGGGGGAAUCGAUCAUGGAGGGCCUCUACAUCAUCAGCAAGGCCUCUCCGAUGAGUUGUGAGUAGUUUACCACAGACCUUCGGGUCCAUGGUUAUUAGCUAGAUGGCUUAUUCUCUCUCUUUGAAUCUCAAUACAAAGUUCUGCUUGAUCUUCUUGGAGAUCUAUUCGAUGUAACUCUUUUUGCGUUGUGUUUGUCAAGAUCCGAUGAAUUGUGGGUUUAUGAUCGAGUUUAUCUAUGAGAAAUAUUUGAAUCUCCUCUGAAUUCUUUUAUGUAUGUUUGGUUAUCUUUGCAAGUCUCUUCAAAUUAUCAGUUUGGUUUGCCCUACUAGAUUGAUCUUUCUUGCAAUGGGAGAAGUGCUUAGCUUUGGGUUCAAUCUUGUGGUGUCCUUUCCCAGUGACAGUAGGGGAAGCAAGGCAUGUAUUGCAUUGUUGCCAUCGAGGAUAAAAAUAUGGGGUUUACAUAAAAUUGCUUGAGUUUAUUCCUCUACACCAUGUCAUCUUACUUAAUGCGUUACUCUGUUCUUUAUGAACUUAAUACUCUAGAUGUAGGCAGGUGUCGGUGUCAAAACCGGCGGAUCUCGGGUAGGGGGUCCCGAACUGUGCGUCUAGGCGGAUUGUAACAGGAGACAAGGGACACGAUGUUUUUACCCAGGUUCGGGCCCUCUCGAUGGAGGCAAAACCCUACUCCUGCUUCAUUAAUAUUGAUGAUAUGGGUAGUACAAGAGUUGAUCUACCACGAGAUCAGAGAGGCUAAACCCUAGAAGCUAACCUAUGGUAUGAUUGUUGUUCGUCCUACGGACUAAAACUCUCCGGUUUAUAUAGACACCGGAGAGGGCUAGGGUUACAUAGAGUCGGUUACAAUGGGAGGAGAUCUUCAUAUCAUAUCACCAAGCUUGCCUUCCACGCCAAGGAAAGUCCUAUCCGGACACGGGACGAAGUCUUCAAUCUUAUAUCUUCAUAGUCCGAGAGUCCGGCCAAAGGUCAUAGUUGGCCAUCCGGACACCCCCUAAUCCAGGACUCACUCAGUAGCCCCUUAACCUGGCUUCAAUGACGACGAGUCCAACGCGCAAAUUGUCUUCGGCAUUGCAAGGUGGGUUCCUCCUCCGAAUACGUCAUAGAAGAUGUUGAACACAAGGAUAGUGUCCGGCUCUGCAAAAUAAGGUCCACAUACCACCGUAGACAGAAUAAUAUCUGCACAAAUCUAAUCUGUUGACGUAUUCUGCAGCGUGACAUCACGCCACGGCCAGGCCUUUAUUUGAAUCAUUUUACUGUUCCACCUCAGCGCGUUUAGCGAGGCGGUUUCCUAGGCACGUCUUGUCAAAGCAGAGAUCGUGUCCCCUUAUUCCGGGAUUCUCAUCAAUACGAGCGUGGGUAACCCAACCGUGCCUUUGGUAUGACUCCCUAAUUGAAAGUGCGUCCCAAACGGUUACGGGGAGGGCUCUUGGUAUUCAACCCCUAUAUAAAGAGACCAAGGCUCGACUCCUUUCUUUUCAAUUCAAUCGAAUCCGCCCCUCGCCUCGAGUUCCAACACUCAAAGCUCCAGUUUUAGGCGCUUCGGACCUUCGAAGAUGUCCGGCUCCGACCUUCAAGGCCGGUGGAUGCCUUCCUCCGUUACGAAAGAAGACGUGCGAAAGCUGAGAGAUCCCAGGUAUCUAACCGGCGAAAUCUCGCAUAGGCUGCCUGCUCAAGGGCAGGCCAUUCCCACUCCCCAGCCCGGUGAGAGCGUGGUGUUCACAUCUCACUUCCUUCGGGGGCUAGGCUUCCCGAUUGAUUCCUUUGUGAGGGGGCUUAUGUUUUAUUACGGGCUGGAAUUUCACGACUUAGCUCCGGAGUCCAUCCUCCAAAUCUCAUCGUUCAUUGUCGUGUGUGAGGACUUUCUCCAUAUUACUCCUCACUUCGGAUUGUGGCUUAGAACCUUCAAGGUGGAACCGAAGAUGAUCGAGGGGCAGCACGCUGAGUGCGGAGGAGCUAUCAUAAGCAAGAUGGCCGACGCUCCAUGGCCCGAGGGCUCUUUCCAAGAGAGUUCGGCUUAUGGCAACGGGACUAGUUUUACAUCACAGCCCCCAGGGGCACCACAUGGGUGGCGCCACCUGCUUUUCGGUCGGGUCCCCCACCACGGCUAGCGUCAUGGGUCAAUGAAGGGCUUAUCUGGGGGACGUCCCAAGACGUGCCCUUGCUGCAGGACCGCAUUCGAGAUCUCCUAGAAAGAGAUAUCAACUUGACCGUAGUGGCGCAAGUUAUGCUGAUUCACCGCAUGCUUCCCUACAAACGUCGCCCUCUCCGCCUGUGGGAAUUUAAUCCGGAGGGACCGCGAGUCCUUCAACACUUUAUGGGCACGACGCCCAUGGAGAUGUACAAAUUGUUCUUCGGAACAGAAGCAAGGUGUCCGGACUUGUCCGAGGACGCAGGUCUGAGCUGCAAUCGCCCGGAUGCUCAAGUAAGUCGCCCCGUAUUUGGACACGCCAUCCGUAUUUUCAUCAUAGAAUUGCCCUUAACAGAGCUAUCCUUUGAACAGGAGUGGAUAGCGAAGGCAAAGCUUAUCAGGUGUCCAGCCCCCCUGCCUGAGACCGUGCCGGAUCCCGUGUUAACCAGGAUGCUGGAGAUUGUGCUUUCGGCAAAAGGAGAAGAGGGGAACCAAGGAGCUACCGCCUCCAUGAAGGAGGCUGUCAGGAAGGGAGGAAUCGAGAAUUCCCCCAACCCGGGAAAGAAAAGGACUGCCUCUGAAGACCCGGAGGGGAUGGCCUCAAAACGGGGGAAGAAAUCUUUGCCAGAGGAUCCGACGCCGGAGAAUGCCCCGGCUGCAUUGCGCCCUCAAGGGGAUCAGCUCUCCUUCGAGACGUUAGUAAAGAGAGGGGUUCCAAAAUGAGUGGCAUCCCUGUUUUAUUUCUGAGGAAGAUAACUGAAAUAUUACCUUGCAGUUCGGAUCUCAACCCUUCUCAACAGAGGUCAUCUUCAGGGGAUCUUCGUCCAGAGAUGAUGGAGAGCGAAACGUCUCCCCUAGCUGCACCAUCUUACGAGGCAGGCGACCCUGAGGUGUCGUCCCGGGGGGGUUUUCCAAGUCCGGACCCUAAAAAAGGUCGUCAGGCUAGUCCGGCACCCUCUGGUGCGCGGUCGGAGGGGCUGAAGGGUAUGCUCGGGCGAGCGUACAUCUCAGAAGAACACCGUAUGUUGAUGAACAUGGUGAUAGGAAGGAUUUCAUCCGCGGAAAGCGGAUUGUACGAGGCCGCCAGGAGUUUACUGACAGGCUUUGAGGUACGUGGAAAGGUGUACCUUUUGGUGGAGCCGCAUAUAUAAAAUGCGCCCUGUAUAAAUAGUAGCCCCUGAGACUCUGUGUGUCGUCAAAAGUGACGGCGCACAGAGGAUCAUAACCCCAGGUAUAAUAUGUCACCUUUUUAUGAAAGUGGCGAGGCGUUCGGUGGCUAGCCGGACUGAUGAAUCUGUCGAGCUAAAGCGGCAACUUAAUGUGGCAGAUGCCGACAUCGCGCUUGUAAAUAAGUGGCUAGACGAGGCACAAGGUAUGUUCCAAAUACAUCUGAUAAGAGGAGUUCGAUUCUCGUGCCUUAUAGGAUAUGUGCUUAAUGUAGAUGGUGCUGCUGCCGUGGAGAACCUUUGGGCCGAACUUGCCCGAGCCAAGGAGCAAGCCAGGAAAAGUGAUGCGGCUGCCAUUAAGGCGGCUGAAGAGCUAAAAGCCGAACAGGCUGCUCACUGCCAGAGCAAGAAAGUAAUAGCCGAGAUGGCUAUAAAAUUGAAGGAUGCUGCCGAUCGCUGUAAAUUUCUUGAACAAGAAGAUAGGGCGGCUCAGAAGGACCUUGAAAAGAUCACUGCCGAGGCCAAGGAUACUCGGUCUGCAAUAAGAGUUAUGAAGGAGGAGCUACGUCAGGCCGGAGAUAUCAUGGUUGGAAAGCCCUAUAUGCUGCGGAUGAAGUUCGGGGAUCCUAAGUAUGUCCGUUAGACCGGCAGUGGAGUGCGGAAAACACUUAUCUGGAUUUGGCAGCGAGUGCGGCAGACGCAACCGAACACUUCCGAGGUCGAGGUGACCAUGAAUUGGUAGAACUUUUUUGGUCGUAGUUCCACAAUCCAGAACACCCACUUUCGGUAUCCGACCGUUUGGCCGCCUGGGCGGAGCUAAACAGGUUAUCCGGACUCGCCACGAGGUAUGUUGCGAGUCGUUUGUGGCCGGAAGAGCCAGAGCCGAAGAGUUAGUUUAGCUUGGUGCAGCAGUUCCUUGGUUCGGUGCCGCAUGUUGAUGCAAUGAAGAGGUCGGCGUGCAUAGAGGGUGCAUAAAUGGCUCUUGCCCGUGUCAAAACAUACUGGGCGGAUAUGAAGGCCAGUGUUGUUGCAUCCCGGGAUUCGGACGAAAGCCGAGUACCUUCCAAGCACUACUUUGAGGAAGUUCUUCCUGGCGCUCGUUUAAUAGAGGCGCAGUGCUCGAAGGAUGUUGUGUUCGAAUAGCAUGUGCUAUUGUAAAAUGAAUAUUUUGAUAGAAUAUAAAAGCUUUUUAUACUUGUGCUUGCAAGAAUUAUAAUACCUCCUGCGCGGCCGUUAAUGUAUAUGUGUAUAUAACCUGAAAGAUGGCAGUCGUUGGCUUCAGCCCCCACGCAUAUAAUGCAGGGGUGUUUGCAAAAAGGCGUCUUUUCACACAUAAUAGAACGUCUUGGUCCUACAAAGGAGGUGAUAGCGCAGCGAACUAGGCAACCGGACUAUAAUGCUUUAUCACUUUCACUUAGCCAUAGGAGUUGGACAGUGGGGCUACUUAAUAGCCCCUAGGGGCACCGCGCUCGCCCGAAUUCAGGGCGCGUGUGUGCCUGACCGGAAAGCGGCCCUUCGUUAAUGCGGAGGAAUCCUAAAUAUUCCGAGAGUCAUCGAGUGGUUGACCAGUCUCUCGCUAUAUCAUGACAGUCAGUUUUCGGCUUUUCUCUACUGAGGUGCUCGCCUGGCUGAACCGGGGCACAAUCGCAGUAGUUCUCCUGGUGCCGCCUUAGCCAAUAGAGCGCAACGUAAGGUAGCAAAACACAGGAGCCGGGCAAACCCAACAUUUGACCAAAGACAUGUUUCGGAGCUGAUGCAUAUAAGGCCAAACUCGCGACGCCGAACACUCCCUAAGGUAUUCGGUCUUUAUGAAGACGGGCCGAACCAAAGCCCUUGGUAAAAAAGCCCCUGGUGUCCAGGUACGCGCAAAAUUCUGGCAUGGCCACAUGCCAAGACGCCAGCCUCCUCCUCGGUUAUAGUGAAAACCAGGGGAUUUCAUCAACAAGAGAUAGUAAAAAAGGUUUACACAGGAUCUUAAUCUGAAAAGAAUCCUUAAAACGGGUCCCUACUGCACGUCUGUGCCUGUGUCUCCGUUGUGCCGUAUCCUGGACGGGCGUAGCACGGUGUUCAUCUGCGAAAGAGAGGAACUUAGUAAAAAGUAAUCAUGCGAGAAAUCUGUAUUAAAAUAAACAAAAUAUAAUCCAGAGACAUGAGCAAAAUUGAGCUGUGUUGUCUCCUGGUGUAAACACGCGGAGCCCCUUGUACAGGGUUAUGCGGCUAUUAAGCCUUUGUAUGUUUACGCCGGACUCGUCGAGCCGUGUCCGGGGUAGUAGGGCUGGAUUAGUGUGCGGGUGUUCAGGCGGCCGCACCAUUACCCGUACUUUGGGGAUCAAUUGAUAUUUCCCUUUAAAGAGAUGAUGCCUCGUGGACCGGGCAUUUUGAGUGUAAGGGAUGCAUAAUGCAGUAUUGCGUUAAAGCGGGCGAAAGCUUCACGUCCCAGUAGUGCUUGAUAGCGACUUAUGAAUGGGGCGAUAUGGAAGGUUAGCUUUUCGCUUCGGAAGUUGUUGGGUGAGCCGAACAUGACUUCUAACGAAAGGGAACCCAUAAUCUGGAUAUCUCGGCCCGGCGUGACUCCUUGAAAGGAUGUGUUGCCAUGGCGAAUUAUUGCUGGGUUUUGUCGCAUCCCUAGUUCUGGUAUGACCUAGACUAGCUAGCCAGUUGUGCAUCAUUUUUAAAUUCCUUUUAAUUUUGAAAUGAGGACUUGUGAAACCCUCAGAAUCAUCUCUGAAAAUGACCCAAAUAAAAAAUUGUUCCAAAAAGGUCCAAGAAAAUGUUCAUGUUGCUCUCUGAAAAUAUUGGUCAGAGGUAAAAUUCAAACAAAUAUUUUAGGAGCUCAUGGAUAUUUAUUUUGGCCAUUUGGAUUAAUCCGAUAAUUAUUUGCAUUGGAUAUAUAUAUGUCAUAUAUAUAAUAUAUGUCCAAAAAUUAUGCCAUUUGCUGAGGAGCUCUGGAAUAAUAUAGUUAGCUCCUGCAAAAAUUGGCAUAAGGUAAUAAAAUGAUUUUGUAUUUUAAUUAAAGCAAAACAAAUGUCAGAAAAAUAGAAAAAGAAAUAAAAGAGGAAAACCCUACCUGGACUUACCCGCGGCCUGGCACUGUGUGGCCUGGCCUAGCGGGCCAGCAGGCCGGCCCAGCCAGCUGGCCGACGCCAGUCGCCCCCUUCCUCGCGCCAGUCGUCCCCUUCCAACGGCUGGGGCCACGUCUCCCCGCCACCUCCUGCUUCUCCCCCUCGUCGUCUGGAUGCCCUGGGCGACGCCACGUGCCCUCCCGACCGCUCUCACUCUCCCCCUGUUCACUCCCUCGCCGUUUCCCACCGUGCCCGAACGCUGCCGUCGCCGCCGCACGCCGUUGCCGUAGCCACCGCCUCCCCCUCGCCUCUCCGACACGCGCAGGAGCUCCGCCUCCUCGCUCUGAAGCUCUCCGCCGAGCCACACAAGCCGGAGCGCCUGUGGAGCCGUCGUCGUCGCCUUCAUCACCUCCGGCCGCCGCAGAUCGCCAUCGCCGCUUUGUCGCCUCCCGCGCGUCCCUGGCCACAACGAGCAGCCCUGCAAGUCCACCGUGAGCCCUGCUUCUUCUCCCCUCUCUCCCCUGGUCGCGCUCUCCCUCUAGCUAUCGUCUCCACCGUGGCUGAACCUUCGCCGCCACUGAGCUCGCCGUCGACGCAGCUCCGGUGACCAUUUGGUCACCCCGGCGAGUCCAACAAGCUCGUAAGGCCCCGUAGAGCAUCCCUAGCGCUUUGCUUCUCUCGUCUUCGAGCUCCAAACGCGCUCUCGUGCACGACCAAACUCCGGCGCCCGCAACCGAGAUCGCCGCCGCCGACUCCGGCCAUCCCAGGCCCAGCCACGGCCACCGGCCGACACGCCAUCGAGCUGGCUCACCAACGCGCCUAGCCGCGCGUCAUUUGGAGCACCACAGAGGAAACCCGGGGCCCAAGUACGCCGCGGAUCUCGCCGGCGACUAACCGCCAGCGGGUUUGACUUGUUUGACCUGGGGUUUGACCCGCCCAGGGUCACUGACACGUGGGCCAUGCCCCUGUUUAGUUUAGGUGUUAGUUUAGUUAGCGCUAAUUAACUUAGUUAAUUAGUUGUCUCUCUGACAGGUGGGCCCAGGCCCUAAUUAACCUAGGUUAGUGCUAACCUAACACAAACUAACUCUGUUAGUUAGAUGUUCCACUGACAUGUGGGUCCCAGCCAUCAGGUUUGACCUGGUCAGCACCGUUGACCUGCUGACGCAGGCAUGACGUCAUGCUGGCGCAAUAAUAUAUUUUCUGGAAUUAAAAUAAAUCAGGAAAUUCCAGAAAAUGUUCAAAACUUCAAAAAUUCAUAUCAAUUCCACUGUAGCUCAGAUUGAAAUAAAUUAUAUAUGAAAAAUUAUCAGAAAAAUGCAACUUAUCCAUCUGUACCAGUUUCAUGCAUGAAAAACCAAGUUAUACCUGCUGGAUAAGUGAAACACUAAAAUGGCUUAUAUGAAGAGCUUAUUUGGAGAUGCAUUUGAACCUUUGGUUCAAAUGGACUUCAAACCAAAUGAAUACUAGUUGCAUUAGCUCAAACAGCAUCACAUCUUCAUGCCAUGUUCAUGCAUCAUAUUGUUGCAUAUGCUUGUGUAUUGAUUGUUGGCACCGUUCCUUCUCGAUAGGUCCUGCUCCGGAGACCGUUCCAGAGUACCUGUCUGAGGAGCAGUGCCCCCUUGUUGAUCUACCAGGCAAGCAAAGCCCCUUGUUCAUUCCGAUACAAUCCUACUCUCUCGCUCCUGCUCUUAGUUAUUGCAUUAGGACAACAACGAUUCAUCUGCUACUUUGUGCUGCGGUAGUUGAACCCAUUCCUCUGCAUGACCCGUCAUUGCCAGAGUAAAUAGUUGAAACCCACUAGCAUGUGUAGGAGUUGAUUGAGCCAUGUUGUGUUCCUACCAUGCUAUGCCUGCUAUUGCUUAGAGUUGUGUCAGGUCUGGUUCAUUGGGAAUGAAUUGGAGUGUUACGAUAUGUUCUGAUGCUGAGAGUUAAGUGUGUGAACACGAUUUGGUAAAGGUAGCGGUGAGAGGCCAUGUAGGAGUACAUGGUGGGUUGUCUCACUGGAACCGUCCUUAAGCACUUAGUUCUGUGUAUGUUGUCCAAUGACCAGCUACUACCACACAUUGGAAUGCUUAAGUGCCCCUCUCGACUUGUUAACCAACUUGGUCUCUGUCCAGGAGUCGCAACUAGUUUCUGGUGUUUGUAGGUAGUGUUAGUAGUCUACCAAGUGGCACACGGCCAGGUGGGCUUGGGACAAACUAGGCACAGUGGCAUGGUGUACCAAGUGGCACCCGGAUGGUGGGCUUGGGAACCCUGCACACAUCGUUUGGGGCCAUGAGCGACACCCCGGCCGGAUCUCCUUGCGGAUAGAACCCGAAUAGGCGAUAAACCUGGACUAGAGUCUUGUGUGGUUAGUCAGGUCAUGGCCGACACCCUCGCCAGGCUUCCGCUUGAAGGUUGCCGAGAUACAUGACGUGUACAUGGUGGUAAGUGGCGAGAGCGUGUGUGAAGAAGUACACCCCUGCAGGGUUAACAUGAUCUAUUCGAAUAGCCGGGUCCGCGGUUAUGGACUUCUUGGAUGCUUACAUGGUACAUAGACAACUUGUAGUGGAUACUCUAAAAUGCUCAAGACAAGUGUGUGUACUAUGGAUGGCCUUCUCGUAGGGAGACGGGGAUGAAUCCAUAGUAGUGUAUUGCAUGGUGAUUAGUGGACUCGUGUGUGCCAUAUCACCUCAAAGAAGUUCUGGUAGUCGUAGAACAGGAUAGCCACAGAGUCAAAGCUGGCUUGCUGCAACUAAACCCCACAUUACCCUCUUGAUACAAAUGCAUGUAUGAUAGGAUCUGAUGUAAGUCUUGCUGAGUACCUUUGUACUCAUGUUGCUUUAUUUAUGCUUUUGCAACGGAGACUUCGGUCUUACUAGUGUUCUCGUGGACUUCAACGAGUAGCUUGUACCUCAGCUACGAUCUUGAUCGGAUGUUGUAGAUAGCCAGACUCUUCAGCCUUUUUCAUUUGUAGAUGUAUGUACUCAGACAUGUAAUGCUUCCGCUUGUUGCUUGAUUGCUCUGAAUGUUGGGUCAUGUGACCCCUGUUUGUAAUAAAUGCUAUGAUGGUUCUUUGAGCCUUAUCUAUAUGAGUUGUUGAGUUAUGUGGUGAUGCCAUGUUGUACAGCACAUACUUGCAUGUUAUGCGUACGUGUAAUGUGUAUUGCUAUGUGUGGGAUCUAACUAUCUAGUUGUUUAUCCUUAGUAGCCUCUCUUAUCGGGAAAUGUCUCCUAGUGCUUCCACCGAGCCCUGGUAGCUUGCUACUGCUCCGGAACACUUAGGUUGGCCGGCAUGUGUCCUUCUUCGUUCCUGUGUCUGUCCCUUCGGGGAAAUGUCACGCGGUGUCUACUGGAGUCCUGUUAGCCUGCUACAGCCCGGUUUACCGGAGUCCUGCUAGCCCAGUUGCUACAGCCCGGAUUCACUUGCUGAUGACCGACACGUUCGAUGUUGGGUCAUGUAUGCCUGUCCCUGUAAGUUAGUGCCACUUUGGGUUCACGACUAGUCAUGUCAGCCCGGGUUCUUUAUCAUAUGGAUGCUAGCGACAUUAUCAUAUACGUGUGCCAAAAGGCGCAAACGGUCCCGGGCAUGGUAAGGCGACACCCGUGGGAAUACCGUGCGUGAGGCCGCAAAGUGAUAUGAAGUGUUACAUGCUAGAUCGGUGUGGCAUAGAAUCGGGGUCCUGACAGCUUUGGUAUCAGAGCCUGACUACCUGUAGGAUUACCAAGCCAAACUGGUCGAAGUUGAGUCUAGAAAUUCUUUAGAUAUGUAAGGGAAUUGAUUGUGGGAAGGAACGUAAGGCUCUUUUUACUCCUUAUACCUCAUGGCCUUCUGAUCUGAGUCAUCCUAUCUUUCCUACGGGGUUAAGGAAUUAGGCAUUCUCUUCCGUCUAUCAGGAUCACGUGUUACUACUCCAUAGUCCCAUAGGAUUGGUUGAUCAGAGUCUUACCCCAGUUUCGAGUACUUCCGGUGUAGCCUGUUUAGUAGGAUCUUAGAACCUUGAGUGAUGAUGUUGAGUAUGUUACUACCCCAUCUUAGCAGGAUGUCUCAUUCUGAGCAUUUUACUGCCGUUAUGCCGCCGGAAUUGCCCUAGGAGUUCGAGAGAUACUAAUUUCCUUGUCCUACAUUCUGUAGCCUAUAGUUGAUGCUGAUUCCGUCCUUGGUUUCGUUUCUCAGGAUGUCAUCAGCUAAGAGAAGUUCCAUUGCUCGUAAACAGAACCGCGGAGAUGGUAGGGAUGAGGAUCCUCCCGACCAGCCUUCGUUGGCAGAAUUCAUGUUAGAAAUGGAGAGGAACAAGCGUGAGUCUAACCGCUUGUUGGCACGUAUCGAGGAGAACACCGCACAUCAGUUCAAAGGGCCUGCUAUCAUUCAUGACUUCAUUCGCUUGCACCCACCCACCUUUCAUCAUUCUAUUGAGCCACUCGAUUUAGAUGACUGGCUCCGUAGCAUCACUCAUAAGUUGCGUUCCGCAAACGUAUCUGAAGAUGACAAGGUCACCUAUGCCACGUUCCACCUGGAAGGUCCUGCUAGUCUUUGGUGGCAGAACUAUGAGGCUAUGCUUCCUGCUGGUCAGAUUCCUACCUGGAGAGAUUUCACUGAGGCUUUUCGCGAGCAUCACAUUCCUGAAGCCCUCAUCGAUCGCAAGAGAGAAGAGUUCUGUAGUUUCACCCAGAGUAAGAUGGCUGUUGAUGCUUAUAGUAGAGAGUUUGAGAACCUCGCCCGCUAUGCCACAGAAGAGGUGUCCACGGACGCCAAGAAGCAAGCUAGGUUCCGGAAGGGUCUCAACCCCAAGUUGCGUCGUGAUCUCCACCUGCAUCAUUGUGAUACAUUCCAAGCCCUUGUGAACAAGUCCAUUAAUGCAGAGACAACUCAGCUCACUUACGAGGAGUCUCAUAAGCACACCCGUGAUCUGGGAUCUUCCUCCGGUUCUAGUUCUUAGAAGCGCCGGAUUUGGGUUCGAAACUCCGCUCUUCCUUCCAGAUAUGCACCGAGACCAUCUUAUGUGGUGCCAUCCCCAGCUCAGUCAUAUGUUCCACCCAGGCCUAUUGGUAGACCGCUUGUCAGUGCGGGUCAACGUCCAACUUCAGGGACUUGCUUCACAUGCGGGAAGCCAGGACACUAUGCACGUGACUGCUCUCAGACUAGUUAUUCUCCACCCCAGCCCGAGAAGUCUGUUGACUAUGUUAAGCCAUCACGCAAGAUGAUCAAUGUUAAGUCAGCUCCCACUGAACGUGGGCGUGUGCAUCACGUCUCAGCUAAAGACGCUCAUGAUGAUCCGGAUGUCGUUCUUGGUACACUCCUUGUCAACUGUCAUCCAGCAUCAGUUUUGUUCGAUACUGGAGCGUCUCACUCCUUCAUUUCUGAAAGCUAUGCUAACUUGCACAACAUGUCUUUUUGUGUUAUGCCCUCCCCACUAGUCAUUCAAACUCCUGGAUCCAAAUGGCAAACUUCUAGUGUAAGCCAUGGUAACGGAAUCCUUGUAGACAGACUUGUAUUCCUUGCAUCUCUUAUAGCCCUCAAGUCUACAAAUAUUAACAUCAUCUUGGGUAUGGACUGGAUGACAGCUCAUUAUGCCAAGAUUGAUUGUUACGCCAGGUCCGUUCAGCUUACACACCCAUCUGGCCAGAUAGUCACUGUCUCCACUAGAGUUGCAAGGCGUCAACUCUAUUCUGUUAAUGCCAGCCCUCUUCCAGACCUUGAAGAUAUCCCGGUUGUCCAUGACUUUCCGGAUGUCUUUCCAGAAGAACUGCCAGGUGUUCCACCUGACAGAGAUGUAGAGUUCAUCAUAGAUCUUAUCCCAGGAACUGCUCCAAUCUCUAGGAGACCUUACAAGAUGGCACCCUUAGAACUAGCCGAGCUUAAGAAACAACUUGAUGAGUCCUUGCAAAAGGGUUUCAUCCGCCCUAGUUCUUCCCCUUGGGCUUGCCCCAUCCGCUUUGUCAAAAAGAAGGAUGGUACGGACCGGAUGGUUGUAGAUUAUCGUCCCGUUAAUUUGGUCACGAUAAAGAACAAGUAUCCGCUCCCCAGGAUCAACGACCUGUAUGAUCAGCUCGCUGGAUCCUCAGUCUUCUCCAAGAUGGAUUUGAGGUUAGGCUACCACCAAAUCAAGAUCAGAAAUGGGGACAUCCCCAAGACGGCCUUUGUCACUCGUUAUGGCCAGUACGAGUACACCGUCAUGUCCUUUGGUCUAACCAACGCUCCAGCUACUUUCUCCCGCUUGAUGAACUCGAUCUUCAUGGAGUACCUAGAUAAAUUUGUCGUGGUUUACCUCGAUGAUAUUCUUAUUUACUCGAAGAAUGAGGAAGAGCAUGUGGAACAUCUUAGACUUGUGUUAGAAAAACUCAGAGAGCACCGUCUUUAUGGCAAGUUCUCCAAGUGCGAAUUUUGGUUGCCAGAAGUGACCUACCUAGGCCACGUAAUCUCUGGUAAGGGCAUUGCUGUCAAUCCCGAGAGAGUUAAGGCCGUUCUCAAUUGGACUCCACCUGAAACAGUCAAACAAGUUAGGAGUUUCCUUGGUCUAGCCAGUUAUUGUCGCCGCUUUGUUGAAAACUUCUCUAAAGUGGCCAAACCUCUCACGGAACUUCUCAAGAAAGAUAAAAAGUUUGAGUGGUCCCCACAGUGUGAGUACAGUUUUCAGGAACUGAAAAGACGCCUGACUUCUGCUCCCAUACUUGUGCCACCGGAUUUCACUAAAGACUUUGUUAUCUAUUGUGACGCCUCACGACAGGGACUAGGUUACAUUCUUAUGUAGGAUCGUCAUGUGAUUGCCUAUGCAUAUCGGCAGUUGCAUCCACAUGAGGAGAAUUAUCCUUCACAUGAUCUAGAGCUUGCAGCCGUAGUCUAUGCACUAAAGACUGGCCUGGCGACAUUACCUCCUUGGUAAACGUUGCGAGAUCUACACUGAUCACCAGAGUCUCAAGUAUAUCUUCACCCAACCAGAUUUGAGCCUUAGGCAAAGACGUUGGUUGGAAGUGAUCUCAGAUUAUGAUCUAGGGAUUACUUACACUCCAGGCAAAGCUAAUGUCAUGGCUGAUGCGCUAAGUCAUAAAUCCUAUUGCAACAAUCUCAUGUUGCAGCAGGGCCAACCACUUCUGCAUGAGGAAUUCUGUAAGCUUAACCUUCACAUUGCUCCUCACGGAUUCCUUUCUACCUUGGUGGCGAAACCUACCCUCAAGGAUCAGAUCAUUACUGACCAGAAGUUUGAUAGGGGUGUUAUCCGCAUCAAGAGAAACAUUAAGAAGGGAGUUGGUGGAUGUUUUUCUAUGGAUGAUCGAGGUGUUGUUUUCUUUGGGAAUCCCUUGGUGGUUCCCAAAAAUCAACAUCUGCGACAAUUGAUUCUUAAGGAGGCGCAUGAAUCCCCUCUCACGAUUCAUCCCGGUAGUACGAAGAUGUAUGAAGACCUACGCCAAAGGUUCUGGUGGACUAGGAUGAAGAGAGAAAUCGCUGAGUUCAUUGCUAAAUGUGAUGUCUGUCGUCGCGUUAAGAUAGAGCAUCAAAGACCUACUGGCACUCUUCAGCCUCUAGCCGUUCCUGAGUGGAAAUGUGAUAAAGUUGGUAUGGACUUCAUCACCGGCUUUCCCAGGACCAAAAAAGGGAAUAAUGCUAUCUUCGUAGUCAUUGAUCGUCUCUCCAAAGUGGCUCACUUCCUUCCUGUUUGAGAGAGUAUCACUGCUAGUCAGCUCGGUGACUUAUAUAUUUCUCGAAUAGUGUCACUUCAUGGUGUUCCAUUAGAGAUCAAUUCAGACCGUGGCAGUCUUUUCACUUCUCAUUUCUGGGAGAGUUUCCAAACUGCCAUGGGAACCCAUCUUUCCUUCAGUACCGCUUUCCACCCUCAGUCGAGUGGUCAGGUGGAAAGGGUCAAUCAAAUCCUGGAAGACAUGCUUAGAGCUUGCGUUAUCUCAUUCGGUAUGGAUUGGGAGAAAUGUCUUCCUUUCGCCGAGUUUGCUUAUAACAAUAGCUAUCAAUCCAGUCUCAAGAAAGCUCCUUUUGAGGUUCUCUAUGGACGAAGAUGUCGAACACCUUUGAACUGGUCAGAAACCGGUGAAAGACAAUUCUUUGGACCGGACAUGAUCCAGGAGGCAGAAGAGCAAGUUCGCAUCAUUCGUGAGAAUUUGAAAACAGCCCAGUCUCGUCAAAAGAGCCAGUAUGAUCGUCAUCAUAAGGAUAUGACUUAUGAAGUUGGCGACAAAGCUUACCUUCGGGUUACUCCUUUGAAGGGUACCCAUCGUUUCGGUAUCAAGGGCAAGUUGGCUCCUCGUUACAUUGGUCCUUUUCGUAUUCUCGCUAAACGAGGAGAGGUUGCCUACCAGUUGGAACUACCCACACAUCUUUCUCGAGUUCAUGAUGUCUUCCACGUCUCUCAACUCAGGCGUUGCUUCUCGGAUCCUAUCCGCGGAGUGGACCACGAAACGCUUGAUCUCCAAGAUAACCUCACAUACCGAGAGUACCCGGUUCGCAUUCUUGAUCAAGCAAAGCGUGUUACCCGACGUCAGAAAAUCAAGUUUCUCAAGGUUCAGUGGUCUCAUCAUUCCGAGAGAGAAGCUACUUGGGAGCGAGAAGAUCGUCUUCGAUUGGAGUACCCCACCUUCUUUCCGUCGACCCCUGAAUCUCGGGACGAGAUUCUUUCAAGUGGGGGCGAGUUGUCACAUCCCUAGUUCUGGUAUGACCUAGACUAGCUAGCCAGUUGUGCAUCAUUUUUAAAUUCCUUUUAAUUUUGAAAUGAGGACUUGUGAAACCCUCAGAAUCAUCUCUGAAAAUGACCUGAAUAAACAAUUGUUCCAAAAAGGUCCAAGAAAAUGUUCAUGUUGCUCUCUGAAAAUAUUGGUCAGAGGUAAAAUUCAAACAAAUAUUUUAGGAGCUCAUGGAUAUUUAUUUUGGCCAUUUGGAUUAAUCCGAUAAUUAUUUGCAUUGGAUAUAUAUAUGUCAUAUAUAUAAUAUAUGUCCAAAAAUUAUACCAUUUGCUGAGGAGCUCUGGAAUAAUAUAGUUAGCUCCUGCAAAAAUUGGCAUAAGGUAAUAAAAUGAUUUAGUAUUUUAAUUAAAUCAAAACAAAUGUUAGAAAAAUAGAAAAAGAAAUAAAAGAGGAAAACCCUACCUGGACUUACCCGCGGCCUGGCACUGUGUGGCCUGCCGACGCCAGUCGUCCCCUUCCUCGCGCCAGGAGGACAGGGGCACGCGCCGGCGCACGCGGCCACGCGUCCGGCUGGGGCCACGUCUCCCCGCCACCUCCUGCUUCUCCCCCUCGUCGUCUGGAUGCCCCGGGGGACGCCACGCGCCCUCCCGACCACUCUCACUCUCCCCCUGUUCUCUCCCUCGCCGUUUCCCACCGUGCCCGAACGCUGCCGUCGCCGCCGCAUGCCGUUGCCAUAGCCACCGCCUCCCCCUCGCCUCUCCGACAUGCGCAGGAGUUCCGCCUCCUCGCUCUGAAGCUCUCCGCCGAGCCACACAAGCCGGAGCGCCCGUGGAGCCGUCGCCGUCGCCUUCAUCACCUCCGGCCGCCACAGAUCGCCUUCGCCGCUUCGUCGUCUCCAGCGCGUCCCCGGCCACAACAAGCAGCCCUACAAGUCCGCCGUGAGCCCUGCUUCUUCUCCCCUCUCUCCCCUGGUCGCGCUCUCCCUAUAGCUGUCGUCUCCACCAUGGCCGAACCUUCGCCGCCGUCGAGCUCGCCAUCGACGCAGCUCCAGUGACCAUUUGGUCACCCCGGCGAGUCCAACAAGCUUGUAAGGCCCCGUAGAGCAUCCCUAGCGCUUUGCUUCUCUCGUCUUCGAGCUCCAAAUGCGCUCUUGUGCACGACCGAACUCCGGCGGCCGCAACCGAGCUCGCCGCCGCCGACUCCGGCCAUCCCAGGCCUAGCCACGGCCACCGGCCGACGCGCCAUCGAGCUGGCUCUCCAACGCGCCUAGCCGCGCGUCAUUUGGAGCACCACAGAGGAAACCCGGGGCACAAGUACGCCGCGGAUCUCGCCGGCAACUAACCGCCGGCGGGUUUGACUUGUUUGACCUGGGGUUUGACCCCCCAGGGUCACUGACGCGUGGGCCAUGCCCCUGUUUAGUUUAGGUGUUAGUUUAGUUAGCGCUAAUUAACUCAGUUAAUUAGUUGUCUCUCUGACAGGUGGGCCCAGGCCCUAAUUAACCUAGGUUAGUGCUAACCUAACACUAACUAACUCUGUUAGUUAGAUGUUACACUGACAUGUCGGUCCCAGCCGUCAGGUUUGACCUGGUCAGCACCGUUGACCUGCUGACGCAGGCAUGACAUCAUGCUGGCGCAAUAAUAUAUUUUCUGGAAUUAAAAUAAAUCAGGAAAUUCCAGAAAAUGUUCAAAACUUCAAAAAUUCAUAUCAAUUCAACCGUAGCUCAGAUUGAAAUAAAUUAUAUAUGAAAAAUUAUCAGAAAAAUGCAACCUAUUCAUCUGUACCACUUUCAUGCAUGAAAAACCAAGUUAUACCUGCUGGAUAAGUGAAACACUAAAAUGGCUUAUAUGAAGAGCUUAUUUGGAGAUGCAUUUGAACCUUUGGUUCAAAUGGACUUCAAACCAAAUGAAUACUAGUUGCAUUAGCUCAAACAGCAUCACAUCUUCAUGCCAUGUUCAUGCAUCAUAUUGUUGCAUAUGCUUGUGUAUUGAUUGUUGGCACCGUUCCUUCUCGAUAGGUCCUGCUCCGGAGACCGUUCCAGAGUACCUGUCUGAGGAGCAGUGCCCCCUUGUUGAUCUACCAGGCAAGCAAACCCCCUUGUUCAUUCCGAUACAAUCCUACUCUCUCGCUCCUGCUAUCAGUUAUUGCAUUAGGACAACAACGAUUCAUCUGCUACUUUGUGCUGCGGUAGUUGAACCCAUUCCUCUGCAUGACCCGUCAUUGCCACAGUAAAUAGUUGAAACCCACUAGCAUGUGUAGGAGUUGAUUGAGCCAUGUUGUGUUCCUACCAUGCUAUGCCUGCUAUUGCUUAGAGUUGUGUCAGGUCUGGUUCAUUGGGAAUGAAUUGGAGUGUUACGAUAUGUUCUGAUGCUGAGAGUUAAGUGUGUGAACACGAUUUGGUAAAGGUAGCGGUGAGAGGCCAUGUAGGAGUACAUGGUGGGUUGUCUCACUGGAACCGUCCUUAAGCGCUGAGUUCUGUGUAUGUUGUCCAAUGACCAGCUACUACCACACAUUGGAAUGCUUAACUGCCCCUCUCGACUUAUUAACCAACUUGGUCUCUGUCCAGGAGUCGCAACUAGUUUUUGGUGUUUGUAGGUAGUGUUAGUAGUCUACCAAGUGGCACCCGGCCAGGUGGGCUUGGGACAGACUAGGCACAGUGGCACGGUGUACCAAGUGGCACCCGGAUGGUGGGCUUGGGAACCCUGCUCACAUCGUUUGGGGCCGUGAGCGACACCCUGGCCGGAUCUCGUUGCGGAUGGAACCCGAAUAGGCGAUAAACCUGGACUAGAGUCUUGUGUGGUUAGUCAGGUCGUGCCCGACACCCUCGCCAGGCUUCCGCUUGAAGGUUGCCGAGAUACAUGACGAGUACAUGGCGGUAAGUGGCGAGAGCGUGUGUGAAGAAGUACACCCCUGCAGGGUUAACAUGAUCUAUUCGAAUAGCCGGGUCCGCGGUUAUGGACUUCUUGGAUGCUUACAUGGUACAUAGACAACUUGUAGUGGAUACUCUAAAAUGCUCAAGACAAGUGUGAGUACUAUGAAUGGCCUUCUCGUAGGGAGACGGGGAUGAAUCCAUAGUAGUGUAUUGCGUGGUGAUUAGUGGACUCGUGUGUGCCAUAUCACCUCAAAGAAGUUCUGGUACUCGUAGAACAGGAUAGCCACAGAGUCAAAGCUGGCUUGCUGCAACUAAACCCCACAUUACCCUCUUGAUACAAAUGCAUGUAUGAUAGGAUCUGAUGUAAGUCUUGCUGAGUACCUUUGUACUCAUGUUGCUUUAUUUAUGCUUUUGCAUCGGAGACUUUGGUCUUACUAGUGUUCUCGUGGACUUCAACGAGUAGCUUGUACCUCAGCUACGAUCUUGAUCGGAUGUUGUAGAUAGCCAGACUCUUCAGCCUUUUUCAUUUGUAGAUGUAUGUACUCAGACAUGUAAUGCUUCCGCUUGUUGCUUGAUUGCUCUGAAUGUUGGGUCAUGUGACCCCUGUUUGUAAUAAAUGCUAUGAUGGUUCUUUGAGCCUUAUCUAUAUGAGUUGUUGAAUUAUGCGGUGAUGCCAUGUUGUACAGCACAUACUUGCAUGUUAUGCGUACGUGUAAUGUGUAUUGCUAUGUGUGGGAUCUGACUAUCUAGUUGUUUAUCUUUAGUAGCCUCUCUUACCGGGAAAUGUCUCCUAGUGCUUCCACCGAGCCCUGGUAGCUUGCUACUGCUCCGGAACACUUAGGUUGGCCGGCAUGUGUCCUUCUUCGUUCCUGUGUCUGUCCCUUCGGGGAAAUGUCACGCGGUGUCUACCGGAGUCCUGUUAGCCUGCUACAGCCCGAUUUACCGGAGUCCUGCUAGCCCAGUUGCUACAUCCCGGAUUCACUCGCUGAUGACCGACACGUUCGAUGCUAGGUCAUGUAUGCUUGUCCCUGUAAGUUAGUGCCACUUUGGGUUCACGAAUAGUCAUGUCAGCCCAGGUUCUUUAUCAUAUGCAUGCUAGCGACAUUAUCAUAUACGUGUGCCAAAAGGCGCAAACGGUCCCGGGCAUGGUAAGGCGACACCCGUGGGAAUACCGUGCGUGAGGCCACAAAGUGAUAUGAAGUGUUACAUGCUAGAUCGGUGUGGCAUAGAAUCGGGGUCCUGACAGGUUUACCCCCAGUUUGCGGAUUGUGUCCUGAUAUAACAGGUUUAGGUCACUGUUGCCGUCGAUUAGGACUUGUGUAUAUUGGAGUCUGUCAAUAAUCGAAUCCAAGACCAAGUCAGUCCAGCCUGUGUUCCGGACCCCUCUGGAGUAAUCAUGAUGAUCGAAGAUGAUUGGUUGUAACAACCAGUGGCGGUGCUCCUCUGGGGCAGGCCGUAUGGUGCGUAUCUUCGCAAGCGCCGUUCUGUUUUUCCCUUUUGUCAUCUGAAGUGAAUUUACUGUUUUGACUUCGCGUGGGAACUUCUUUUGUUCUCUGGUGUUCUGCUUGUGGGGUGUGUCGUCAUCCUCGUUUGGUGUGUCGAGCCCCUUGUGUGCGGCGUGAAGUUUGCCGGACUGCUUGAAGACCCAACAAUCUCUGUAGGUGUGGUUUGCAGGUCUCCCGGGAGUACUGUGGAUUUGAAAUAUUUUGUCCAAGAUUUUGUUGGGGUUAGAUAGCUCGUCCCUGUCAUCUUUGGGGGGUGGCUUUUUCUGAUUUGCCGAGAGCUUUUGAAUCCGGCAUUGACUGUCGUGCUCAUUGGGCUGUUAUCCUUGAUCCGGCGCUGUUCUUUGUUACGGCACGGUUUCCCAUUUCCAUCUCUGAGUUCGGAUGUACUUGGGUCGCUGGUGCUGCUUCUUGCCAACCAGCUAUCCUCUCCUGCGCAAAAGCGGGUCAUGAGGCUUGUUAAUGCGGCCAUUGUUCUUGGCUUUUCUUGGCCGAGGUGUCUGACGAGCCAUUCGUCUCGAACGCUAUGUUUGAAAGCUGCUAGGGCCUCGGCGUCCGGACAGUCGACUAUCUGAUUCUUUUUAGUAAGAAAUCUGUUCCAGAGUUCCCGGGCUGACUCUCCGGGUUGGUGAGUUAUAUGACUCAGAUCAUCUGCAUCCGGAGGUCGGACAUAGGUCCCUUGAAAAUUUGCCCGGAAAGCAUACUCGAGCUCUUCCCAACUUCCCAUGGUGUUUUCGGGAAGACUUUUAAGCCAAUGCCGGGCUGGCACUUUGAGCUUAAGGGGUAAGUAUUUUAUGGCGUGAAGGUCAUCUCCUCUGACCAUGUGUAUGUGGAGGAUAUAAUCCUCAAUCCAGACUCUAGGGUCUGUUGUUCCAUCGUAUGCUUCUAUGUUUACGGGCUUGAAUCCUGCUAGAAAUUCAUGAUCCAGUACCUCAUCGGUAAAACAUAGGGGAUGUGCGGCGCCCCUGUAUGUUGAUGUGCCGCGAUGUUCGGAUAUUUUUUGCGUUGCAUUGCUCACUAGAGCUUGCUUUCUUGGCCCAUAGAUGGAUCUGGUUGGACCGGUUUUUUGAUGCGAAUCCUUGGGCGGAUCGCGUGCCGUAUUGAGUGCGGCGCCCUUUGUCGCUUGAGAUCGAUCGUGGGGUCAUCUAUCCGACCUGGUGGCUUCCUUGUUUUUUGACUGUGGGGCCUCUAAGGCCUCUUCAUCAAAUUCCGGUAGUAAUUUCCGCUUCGGAUAGCUCUUUGUGUGAUGACUGUUGCCGUACUUGUGUGCGGUAUUGAGUACUUUCCCCCAUCUAAUUCUGAGUGCAUCUUCCGCUGCCUUGAGCUUCCGCUUCUGCUUUUUCAGGCUACGUGUAGUGGCGACGAGCCUUUGGUGGAGGUUCUGGUGUUCGAGCGACUUGUCCGGCGUGAGGUCGUCCGGACUAUUAUCUUUCCCGGGGACGGAUUGUUCGGUUUGUCCGCCCUGUUUGGACGGUUGCUCAAUGGCAUGUUCGUCUUCCGUUGAUUCGCCCUGCUCUAUGGCUGGGUCUCUGUCAAGGUGGGGCUUGGCGCGGUGCUUACGCCGCCGCUUUGAUUGUUUUUCGAGGGAGCGAUCCCUGGUUGCGCCCUUUUGAUCCUCGUCGUUGCUUCUUUCAGGUGUGUCCACCAUGUAUACAUCAUGUGAUGAGGUGGCUUUCCAGUGCCCUAUAGGUGUUGGUUCUUGGUCGUCUCCUUCAUCGGCGUCCAUACCGUCGAUGUCUUUGGAGUCGAAGUCGAGCAUGUCGGUUAGAUCGUCGAUAGUGGCUACAAAGUGGGUGGUGGGUGGGUUUCGAAUUUCUUUGUCGUCCGCAUCCCAACCAUGCUGACCGUAGUCCGGCCAGGGCUCUCCUGACAAAGAGAGAUACUUUAGUGAAUUCAGGAUAUCGCCAAAGGGAGAGUGCUGAAAGACGUCCGCGGCGGUGAACUCCAUGAUCGGAGCCCAAUCGGGUUCGUUCGGAAGGGGUGCGGAAGAUUCGGAGUCUGGAACGAAGUACGGCACCUUGGAGUCACGGGCCUCGCGAAGGACUAGGCUAGUAUUUGGCUCUAUCGCCGUAGAGAUUGCGGCUCCUGGGACGGCGUCCAACCGUCCGUCUCCGACUGCCGCAGUCGACUCCGAGCUAAUGGUCGGAGCGGGCACCUGAUCGGUGCUCUGGGCGCUGUCCGGCGGCACAGCUAGAUCAUGCUCAUCGUGACAGUGCGGCGCACUCGGCCGUGGCUUGAAUCCAUCGGAGAUCAAGUCCCCGCGGAUGUCGGCCGUGUAGUUUAAGCUUCCAAACCUGACCUGAUGGCCAGGGGCGUAGCUUUCGAUCUGCUCCAGAUGGCCAAGCGAAUUGGCCCGCAGUGCGAAGCCGCCGAAUAUGAAGAUCUGUCCGGGGAGAAAAGUAUCACCCUGGACCGCGUCGUGGUUGAUGAUCGAAGAAGCCAUCGGGCCUAAAGGUGAGGACACAUAGGAACUCUCAAUGAAAGCACCAAUGUCGGUGUUAAAAUCGGCGGAUCUCGGGUAGGGGGUCCCGAACUGUGCGUCUAAGCGAAUGGUAACAGGAGACAAGGGACACAAUGUUUUUACCCAGGUUCGGGCCCUCUCGAUGGAGGUAAAACCCUACUCCUGCUUGAUUAAUAUUGAUGAUAUGGGUAGUACAAGAGUUGAUCUACCACGAGAUCAGAGAGGCUAAACCCUAGAAGCUAACCUAUGGUAUGAUUGUUGUUCGUCCUACGGACUAAAACUGUCUGGUUUAUAUAGACACCGGAGAGGGCUAGGCUUACAUAGAGUCGGUUACAAUGGGAGGAGAUCUUCAUAUCAUAUCGCCAAGCUUGCCUUCCACGCCAAGGAAAAUCCUAUCCGGACACGGGACUAAGUCUUCAAUCUUGGAUCUUCAUAGUCUGGGAGUCCGACCAAAGGUCAUAGUCCGGCCAUCUGGACACCUCCUAAUCCAGGACUCCCUCAGUAGGAGUUAGUCAAUGUAUGGAGUAAUAGUAGUAGAUGCAGGCAGGAAUCGGUCUACUUGACACGGACGUGAUGCCUAUAUUUCAUAAUCAUUGCCUUGGAUAUCGUCAUAACUUUGCGCUUUUCUAUCAAUUGCUCAACAGUAAUUUGUUCACCCACCGUAAUAAUUAUGCUAUCUUCAGAGAAGCCACUAGUGAAACCUAUGGCCCCCGAGUCUACUCUUUAUCCUAUAAGUUUCCAAUCUACUUUAUUUUGCAAUCUUUACUUUUCAAUCUAUAUCAUAAAAAUACCAAAAAUAUUUAUCUUAUCAUAUUAUCUCUAUCAGAUCUCACUUUUGCAAGUGGCCGUGAAGGGAUUGACGACCCCUUUAUCGUGUUGGUUGAGAGGUUCUUGUUUGUUUGUGUAGGCGUGAGGGACUUGUGUGGAGCCUCCUACUGAAUUGAUACCUUGGUUCUAAAAAACUGAGGGAAAUACUUACGCUACUUUGUUGCAUCACCCUUUCCUCUUCAAGGGAAAAACCAACGCAUGCUCAAGAAGUAGCAAGAAGGAUUUCUGGCGCCGUUGUUGGAGAGGUCUUCGCUCAAGUCAAGACAUACCAAGUACCCAUCACAAACUCAUCUCCCUCGCAUUACAUAAUUUGCCAUUUGCCUCUCAUUUUCCUCUCCCCCACUUCACCCUUGCCGUUUUAUUCGCCCUUCUUCCGUUUGAUCUUAUGUUUUCUUGUCUCUCCAUGUGCCUACUAUGUGCUUCCAUCUUUGCUUGCUAAAAAUCUACUGAUAAGGAUCCGCUUAAAGUGUUCUACUUGGAUCAUCUUCAAUCCUUAUGCGCUCGUGCUGAAACCCCAACUAGCCUAGUUGAUGGAAAAUCUUUAGAUGAGCAUGCUCAUUUUGUGCGUCAUCGUUUGUCUGAAAAAGGGAAGCUCUUAUGGUAUCACAUAAGUAGUUUGAUUUGCUAUGAUUGGAAUCUUUGUGAAAUUUAUGAUUAUACUUGUUGCUCUAAGAACCCUAAAAAACACUUUCCCUACCUAUGUGAGCUUAAUGAAAAUGAAAUCUUAUCUUCUUAUGCAAUGGGUGUUUAUAGUUACUAUGAUGUUAAACAAAUUGAAGAAUUUCUUGCUUUUAAGGGUUCUUAUGAAGUUGCUUCUUUGAUGGAAAAGUAUGAUAUUACUCUCUACGAAUCUGAAAAUUAUGACAUACUUAAAUAUUGCUAUGAAAACUAUGCUCAUAAUGCCUAUGUCAAAGAAUUUAUUGAGAGAAUGACUGUUGCUUUGGAAGAAAAUAAUGAUAUGCGUGAAUCUAUAGAUAAUGAUUCCAUUGAUUUGAUCGAAAUAUCCCUUGAUGAACAUGAUGCUUGCUAUUCUUGUGGCCAGGAUGCUAAUAUUUAUGAAGAUGAAUUUGCUAUAGUUCCUUAUGUUAAAUAUGAGAUCGUUGCUAUUGCACCCAUACUUGGUAGUUCCUUCAAUGAAAAGCAUGAUUGCAAUGAUGUUAAUAUAAAUUCUCUUGAUGUCAAUUGUGCUAAUAAUAUGCAAAACCCUAAGCUUGGGGAUGCUAGUUUUGCUAUGUCUACUACUUGUUGCAAUGAUCAUGAUUGGGGUGAUUCUUCUUUUGGUCUUGACAAUUUAUUUAAGCCCCGUGAUGAAUAUGAGAUUGAUAAUAGUGUUGGCAAUAAUAUUGGAAGUGGGUUUGGAGAGGUCAUGACUUUAGUUAAUGUUAAUCCCACUAUUUAGGAAGAGUGUCAACUUUGCAUGCAUGUGGAUCGUGUUGAAAAUAUUUUAUGUGAUAGCUAUUUUGUUGAAUUUGCUUAUGAUCCCAUGUGUAAUUAUUAUGAGAGGAAAAUAUGAUUGUAGAAAUUUUCAUGUUACAAAAUUUCCUCUCGUUAUGUUGAGAUUGCUAUUGUUCCUUUCUUCUUCCUUUCAUAUGUUAGUUUUUAUUUGCCUUGAUAAUUUGUUUGCUUAUAAAAUACCUAUGUAUAGGAAUUAUGUUAGACUUAAGUAUGUUUGUCACAUGUUUUAUGAUGCUCUCUUUGUGCUUCAGUUCUUGUCUUUCAUGUGAGCAUCAUUGAAAAUUUAUGCCUAGCUAGGGGCGUUAAACGAUAGCGCUUGUUGGGAGGCAACCCAAUUUUAUUUUUGUUCCUUGCUUUUUUCUCCUGUUUAGUAAUAAAUAAUUCAUCUAGCCUCUGUUUAUAUGUGGUUUUAUGUUUUAAUUAGUGUUUGUGCCAAGUAGAACCUAUAGGAUCAUCUUGGGUGAAAGUUAAUUUGAUCUUGCUGAAAAACAGAAACUUUUGCGCUUACGAGAAAAAAAUCUAAUAAAUCACAGAAACGUGAUUUUGAGUUGAUUAUUUUUGAAGUAGAUCAGUAGGAAACAUACCUAGGACUCCCUAUUUUGGUACGAUUUGUAGAGUUCUAGAAGUAUUUGAAAGUUAUAGAUUGCUACAAACUAUUCUGUUUUUGACAGAUUAUGUUUUUCCUGUGUUGUUUGCUUAUUUUGAUGAAUCUAUGGCUAGUAUCGGGGGGUAUGAACCAUAGAGAAGUUGGAAUACAGUAGGUUUAACACCAAUAUAAAUAAAGAAUGACUUCAUUACAGUAACUUAAGUGGUGGUUUUCCUUUCUUGCACUAACAGAUCUCAUGAGAUUUCCUGUUGAGUUUUGUGUUGUGAUGUUUUGAAGUUUUGGGUAAAGAUUUGAUGGACUAUGGAAUAAGGAGUGGCAAGAUAAUAAGCUUGGGUAUUCCCAUGCCCCCCCCCAAGAUAAUUCAAGGACAACCAAAAGCCUAAGGUUGGGGAUGCCCCGGAAGGCAUCCCCUCUUUCGUUUUCGUCUAUCGGUAACUUUACUUGGAGCUAUAUUUUUAUUCACCACAUGAUAUGUGUUUUUCUUGGAGCGUCUUGUAUGAUUUGUGUCUUUGAUUUUUAGUUUACCACAAUCAUCCUUGCUAUACACACCUUUUGGGACAGACACACAUGAUUCGGAAUUUAUUAGAAAUACUCUAUGUGCUUCACUUUUAUCUUUUGUGCUAUACAAUUUUGCUCUAGUGCUUCACUUAUAUCUUUUUAGAGCACGGCGGUGGUUUUAUUUUGUAGAAAUUAUUGAUCUCUCAUGCUUCACUUAUAUUAUAUUUAGAGUCUUUUAGAACAGCAUGGUAUUUGCUAUGGUUAUAAAAUUGGUCCUAAUAUGAUGGGCAUCCAAGUUGGGUAUAAUAAAAACUAUCAUAGAAAGUGAAUUGAAUACUAUGAUCAACUUGAUGCUUGAUAAUUGUUUUGAGAUAUAAAGGUGGUCAUAUUAGAGUCAUGCUAGUUGAGUAAUUCUGAAUUUGAGGAAUACUUGUGUUGAAGUUUGUGAUUCCCGUAGCAUGCAUGUAUCGUGAACCGUUAUGUGAUGAAGUUGGAGAAUGAUUUAUUUUUUGAUUGUCUUCCUUAUGAGUGGCCGUCGGGGACGAGCGAUGGUCUUUUCCUACCAAUAUAUCCCCCUAGGAGCAUGCGCAGAGUACCUUGUUUCAAUAACUUGUUGAUUUUUGCAAUAAGUAUAUGAGUUCUUUAUGACUAAUAUUGAGUCCAUGGAUUAUACGCACUCUCACCCUUCCACCAUUGCUAGCCUCUCUCGUGCUGUGCAACUUUCGCCGGUACCAUACACCCACCAUAUAACUUCCUCAAAACAGCCAUCAUACCUACCUAUUAUAGCAUUUCCAUAGCCAUUCCGAGAUAUAUUGCCAUGCAACUUACCAACGUUCCGUUUAUUAUGACACGCUCCAUCAUUGUCAUAUUGCUUUUGCAUGAUCAUGUAGUUGACAUCGUAUUUGUGGCAAGGCCACCUUUAUAAUUCUUUCAUACAUGUCACUCUUGAUUUAUUGCAUAUCCCGGUACACCACCGGAGGCAUCCACAUAGAGUCAUAUUUUGUUCUAAGUAUUGAGUUGUAAUUCUUGAGUUGUAAGUAAAUAAAAGUGUGAUGAUCUUCAUUAUUAGAGCAUUGUCCCAAGUGAGGAAAGGAUGAUGGAGACUAUGAUUCCACCAUAAGUCGGGAUGAGACUCCGGACUUUAUUGAAAAAUAAAAGAGGCCAAAGAAGCCAAAAUAAAAAAAGGCCAAAGAAGCCCACCAAAAUAAAAAAUGAGAUAAAAUGAGAGAAGGGACAAUGUUACUAUCCUUUUACCACACUUGUGCUCCAAAGUAGCACCAUGAUCUUCGUGAUAGAGUGUCUCCUCUGUUGUCACUUUCAUAUACUAGUGGGGAUUUUUCAUUAUAGAACUUCGCUUGUAUAUUCCAAUGAUGGGCUUCCUCAACAUGCCCUAGGUCUUCGUGAGCAAGCAAGUUGGAUGCACACCCACUUAGUUUAUUUUGUUGAGCUUUCAUACACUUAUAGCUCUAGUGCAUCCGUUGCAUGGCAAUCCCUACUCACUCACAUUGAUAUCUAUAAUGGGAAUCUCCAUAGCCCGUUGAUACACCUAGUUGAUGUGAGACUAUCUUCUCCUUUUUGUCUUCUCCACAACCACCAUUCUAUUCCACAUAUAGUGCUAUGUCCAUGGCUCACGCUCAUGUAUUGCGUGAAAGUUGAAAAAGUUUGAGAACAUCACAGUAUGAAACAAUUGCUUGGCUUGUCAUCGAGGUUGUGCAUGAUUUAAAUAUUUUGUGUGAUGAAGAUAGAGCAUAACCAGACUAUAUGAUUUGUAGGGAUAGCUUUCUUUAGCCAUGUUAUUAUGAGAUGACAUGAUUGCUUUGUUAGUAUGCUUGAAGUAUUAUUGUUUUCAUGUCAAUAUGAACUUUUAUCUUGAAUCAUUUGGAUAUGAACAUUCAUGACACAAUAAAGAAAAUUACAUUGAGAAAUAUGCUAGGUAGCAUUCCACAUAAAAAAUUCUGUUUUUAUCAUUUACCUACUCGAGGACAAGCAGGAAUUAAGCUUGGGGAUGCUUGAUACGUCUCCAACGUAUCUAUAAUUUUUGAUUGUUCCAUGCUAUUAUAUUACCCGUUUUGGAUGUUUAUGGGCAUUACUAUACACUUUUAUAUCAUUUUUAGGAUUAACCUACUAACCGGAGGCCCAGCCCAAAUUGUUUUUUUUCUUAUUUCAGUGUUCCGCGGAAAAGGAAUAUCAAACGGAGUCCAAACGAACUGAAACCUUCGGGAGCGAUCUUUUUGGAACAAACGCAAUCUAGGAGACUUGGAGUGGACAUCAAGAAGCAGUCGAUGCGGCCACGUGGGUGUAGGGCGCGCUCUAGGGGGGCGCCCCCCUGCCUCAUGGGCCCCCCGUGGCUCCCCUGACCUAUCUCCUUCGCCUAUAUAUAUCUAUGUACCUCGAAAACAUCCAUGAGCACCAUGAGAAACUAUUUCCACCGCCGCAACCUUCUGUACCCGUGAGAUCCCAUCUUGGAGCCUUUUCCGGCGCUCCGCCGGAGGGGGAAUCCAUCACGGAGGGCCUCUACAUCAUCACCAAGGCCUCUCCGAGGAGUUCUGAGUAUUUUACCACAGACCUUCGGGUCCAUAGUUAUUAGCUAGAUGGAUUCUUCUCUCUCUUUGAAUCUCAAUACAAAGUUCUCAUCGAUCUUCUUGGAUAUCUAUUCGAUGUAACUCUUUUUGCAGUGUGUUUGUCGAGAUCCGAUGAAUUGUGGGUUCAUGAUCAAGUUUAUCUAUGAGAAAUAUUUGAAUCUCCUCUGAAUUCUUUUAUGUAUGAUUGGUUAUCUUUGCAAGUCUCUUCGACUUAUCAGUUUUGUUUGGCCUACUAGAUUGAUCUUUCCUGCAAUGGGAGAAAUGCUUAGCUUUGGGUUCAAUCUCGCGGUGUCCUUUCCCAGUGACAGUAGGGGCAGUAAGUCCUGUAUUGCAUUGUUGCCAUCGAGGAUAAAAAGAUGGGGCUUACAUCAUAUUGCUUGAGUUUAUCCCUCUACACCAUGUCAUCUUACUUAAUGCGUUACUCUGUUCUUAUGAACUUAAUACUCUAGAUGCAUGCUGGAUAGAGGUUGAUGUGUGGAGUAAUAGUAGUAGAUGCAGGUAGGAGUCGGUCUACUUGUUGCGGACGUGAUGCCUAUAUACAUGAUCAUGCCUAGAUAUUCUCAUAACUAUGCACUUUUCUAUCAAUUGCUCGACAGUAAUUUGUUCACCCACCAUAAUAAUUAUGCUAUCUUGAGACAAGACAUUAGUGAAACGUAUGGCCCCCGUGUCUACUAUUUAUCAUAUAAGUUUCCAAUCUACUUUAUUUUGCAAUCUUCAUUUUUCAAUCUAUAUCAUAAAAUAGCAAAAAUGUUUAUCUUAUCAUAUUAUCUCUAUCGGAUCUCACUUUUGCAAGUGGCCGUGAAGGGAUUGACAACCCCUUUAUCGCGUUGGUUGCGAGGUUCUUGUUUGUUUGUGUAGGCGCACGGGACUUGUGUGGAGCCUCCUACUGGAUUGAUACCUUGGUUCUCAAAAACCGAGGGAAAUACUUACGCUACUUUGCUGCAUCACCCUUUCCUCUUCAAGGGAAAAACCAACGCAUGCUCAAGAGGUAGCAGGAACAUGUUUCUCGGAUGAGCUACCUUCCAAAUUGAGAGUAGGUACAAUUACCUCAUCAAGUGUUACUUUCCUCCCACUCACUUCUUUUGAGAGAAACUCCUUCUCUAGAAAUGUUCCGUUCUUAGCAACAAAAAUCUUUCCUUUGGACUUGUGGUAGCAGAUGUAACCAAUUGUCUCCUUAGGGUAUCCUAUAAAGACACACUUCUUCGAUUUGGGUUCGAGCUUAUCAAGCUGAAUCCUUUUGACAUAAACAUCGCAUUCCCAAACUUUAAGAAACGACGGCUUAGGUUUGUUGCCAAACCAAAGUUCAUAUUGUGUCGUCUCACCAGACUUUGGUGGUGCCUUGUUUAAGGUGAAUGCAGCUGUCUCUAAUGCAUAACCCCAAAUCGAUAGUGGUAAAUUAGUAAGAGACAUCAUAAAUCGCACCAUAUCUAAUAAAGUGUGGUUAUGACGUUCGAACACACCAUUACGCUGUGGUGUUCGAGGUGGCGUGAGAUGUGAACCUAUUCCACAUUGUUUUAAAUGAAGGCCAAACUUGUAACUCAAAUAUUCUCCUCCACGAUCAGAUCGUAGAAACUUUAUUUUCUUGUUACGAUGAUUCUCCCGUUGAGGGAGUCCUGGAUUAGGGGGUGUCCGGAUGACCGGACUAUAACCUUUGGCCGGACUCCUGGACUAUGAAGAUACAAGAUUGAAGACUUCGUCCCGUGUCCGGAUGGGACUUUCCUUGGCGUGGAAGGCAAGCUUGGCGAUACGGAUAUGUAGAUCUCCUCCCAUUGUAACCGACUCUGUGUAACCCUAGCCCUCUCCGGUGUCUAUAUAAACCGGAGGGUUUUAGUCCGUACGACAAACAACAAUCAUACCAUAGGCUUGCUUCUAGGGUUUAGCCUCUCUGAUCUCGUGGUAGAUCUACUCUUGUACUACCCAUAUCAUCAAUAUUAAUCAAGCAGGAGAAGGCUCGAACCUGGGUAAAGACAUCGUGUCCUUUGUCUCCUGUUACCAUCCGCCUAGACGCACAGUUCGGGACCCCCUACCGGAGAUCCGCCGGUUUUGACACCGACAUUGGUGCUUUCAUUGAGAGUUCCUCUGUGUCGUCAUCUUUAGGCCCGAUGGCUCCUCCGAUCAUCAACAACGAUGCAGUCCAGGGUGAGGCUUUUCUCCCCGGACAGAUCUUUGUAUUCGGUGGCUUAGCACUGCGGGCCAAUUCGCUUGGGCAUCUGGAGCAGGUCGUAAGCUACGCCCCUGGCCAUCAGGUCAGAUUUGAAAGUUUGAACUACACAGCUGACGUCCGCGGAGACUUGAUCUUCGACGGGUUCGAGCCACAACCGAGCGCGCCGCACUGUCAUGAUGGGCAUGAUCUAGUUCUGCCGCCGAACAGUGCCCAGGAGGUUGCACCACUGUCCUCUCCGACCCUUAGCUCAGAGCCGACUGCGCCAAUCGAGGACGGGUGGUUGGACACCACCUCGAGGGCUGCAAUCUCUACGGCGAUCGAGCCGAACACCAGCCUUGUCCUCUGCGAAGCCCAUGAUUCCAAGGUGCCGGACUCCUCCCCGGACUCCGAACCUUCCACGCCCCUACCAAUCGAAUCCGAUUGGGCGCCGAUCAUGGGGUUCGCUGCCACGGACAUCUCUCAAUACUCGCCCUUCGGCGACAUUCUGAAUUCACUAAAGUCUCUCUCUUUAUCAGGAGAGCGCUGGACGGACUAUGGUCAGCAAGGAUAGGAUGCGAAUAACGAAGAAAUUCAAAGCCCACCCACCACCCACUUCGUAGCCACUGUCGAUAAUUUAACCGACAUGCUCGACUUCGACUCCAAGGACAUCGACGGUAUGGACGACGAUGUAGGAGAAGAACAAGAACCAGCGCCUAUUGGGCACUGGACAACCACCUCAUCUCACGAUGUAUACAUGGUGGGCACACCUAAAAGAAACGACGACGAGGAACAAAGGGACGCAACGAGGGAUCGUUCCCUCGAAAAGCAGUCAAAGCGGCGGCAUAAGCGCCGCUCCAAACCCCACCUCGACAGAGAUAGCAGCCAUACAGACCCAGCCACAAAGCAGGGCGAACCGGCGAACGACGAACACGCCAUCGAGCAACCGUCCAAACAGGGCAACUUGGGUAAACAAACCGAACAACCCGUCUCCGGCAAAGAUAAUAGUCCGGCGACCUCACGCCGGACAAGUUGCUGGAGCAGAAGAACCUCCACAAAAGGCUCGUCGCCACUGCGAGUAGCCUUAAAAAGCAGAAGCAGAAGCUCAAAACAGCGGAAGAUGCACUCAGAAUUAGAUGGGGCAAAGUACUCAACACCGCAGACAAAUACGGCGACAGUCGCCACACAAAGAGCUAUCCGAAGCGAAAAUUACUGCCGGAAUUUGAUGAGGAGGCCUUAGAGCCCCCGCAAUCAAAAAAUAAGGAAGCCACCAGGUCGGAUAAACAACCCCAUGGCCAACAUAGAGCAGCAAAUGGGGACGCACACAAGAUGGCACGCGAUCCGCACAAGGAUUCGCAUCAAAAAGACGGCCCUGCCAGAUCUAUCUACGGGCCAAGAAAGCAAGCUCUAGUAAGCAACGCAACGCAACAAGUAUCCGAACAUCACGGCACACCCAAAUAUAGGGGUGCCGCACACCCCCUAUGUUUCACCGAUGAGGUGCUGGACCAUGAAUUUCCAGCGGGAUUCAAGACCGUAAACACGGAGGCAUACGAUGGAACAACAGACCCUGGAGUCUGGAUUGAGGAUUAUAUCCUCCACAUACACAUGGCUAGAGGAGAUGACCUCCACGCCAUAAAAUAAUUACCCCUCAAGCUCAAAGGGCCAGCCCGGCAUUGGCUUAAAAGCCUUCCCGAAAACACCAUCGGAAGUUGGGAAGAGCUCGAGGAUGCUCUUCGGGCAAAUUUUCAAGGGACCUACGUCCGACCUCCGGAUGCAGACGAUCUAAGUCAUAUAACUCAACAACCGGGAGAGUCAGCCCGGAAACUCUGGAACAUAUUUCUUACUAAAAAGAACCAGAUAGUCGACUGUCCAGACGCCGAAGCCUUAGCAGCUUUCAAACACAGCAUUCGAGACGAAUGGCUCGCCAGACACCUCGGCCAAGAAAAGCCAAGAACAAUGGCCGCAUUAACAAGCCUCAUGACCCACUUUUGCGCAGGCGAGGAUAGUUGGUUGGCAAGAAGCAGUACCAGCGACCCAAGUACAUCCGAAGUUAGGGAUGGAAACGGGAAACCACGACGUAGCAAGGACCAGCGUCGGACCAAGGGAAACAGCCCGAAGAGCACGGCAGUCAACGCCGGAUUCAAAAGCUCUCAGCAGAAUCAGAAAAAGCUGCCCCUCAAGGAUAACAGGGACGAGCUAUCUAACCUAAACAAAAUCUUGGACAAAAUAUGCCAAAUCCACAGUACUCCAGGGAAGCCUGCAAACCAUACCCACAGAGAUUGUUGGGUCUUCAAGCAAUCCGGCAAACUCAACGCCGAACACAAGGGGCUCGACAUAUCAAGCGAGGACGAUGACGAACCCCACAAGCAGAACACCGGAGAACAAAAGAAGUUCCCACAAGAGGUCAAAACAGUAAACUCACUUCAUGUGACAAAAGGGAAAAAUAGAGUGGCGCACAUAGAGAUACGCGCCAUACAGCCUGUCCCAGAGCAGUCCCGCCACUGGUUGUUAAAACCAAUCACCUUCGACCAUCAGGAUUACUCUAGAAGUAUCCGGAACGCAGGCUGGACUGCCUUGAUAUUAGAUCCGAUAAUUGACGGACUCCAGUUUACAAAAGUCCUAAUGGACGGCGGAAGUGGUCUAAACCUGCUAUAUCAGGACACAAUCUGCAAAAUGGGGAUAAACCCAACAAAAAUUCGCCAUGGCAACACUUCCUUUCAAGGGGUAACGCCAGGCCCAGAUACCCAUUGUACAAGUUCUCUCCUGUUAGAAGUUAUGUUCGGCUCCCCCGACAACUUCCGCCGCGAAAAGCUAACCUUCCACAUCACCCCAUUUACAAGUGGCUAUCAAGCACUACUAGGACACGAAGCUUUCGCCCGCUUUAAAAUGCCCGGUCCGCGAGGCAUCAUCUCAUUAAAGGGAAAUAUCGAGUGUUCCUCAAGCGCGGAAGACUGUGCGGCUGCCUUGCCAGCCACACACUAAAUCGGCAUCACUAAUCAAAGCACCUAAACAGGUCGUGCAGACCCAGACAUGGCUAGACGAGUCCGGCGUAAACAUACAAGGGCUUACUAGCCGCAUACCCCCGUACAAGGGGCUCCGCGCGUGUACAACAAGAGACAAUAAAACUCAAUUUUACCCAUUUUCUAAAUUAUACUUUGUUUAUUUAAUAUAACAUAGAUUUUUGCAUGAUCUUUUUCAACUAAGUUCCUCUCUUUUACAGAUGAACAUCGUGCUACACCCGUCCAGGAUACGGCACAACGGAGACACAAGCGUAGACAUGCAGUAGUUACCCGUUCCAAGGAUUCUUUUCAGAUUAAGACCCUGCGUAAACCUUUUUCACUGUCUCUUGUUGAUACACAUCCCCCGGUUUCUUGUUAUAACCGAGGAGGAGGCUGGCGUCUUGGCAUGUGGCCAUGUCCGAAUUUUGCGCUUACCUGGACACCAGGGGCUUCUUACCAAGGGCGUUGUUCAGCCCGUUUUCAUAAAGAACGAAUACCUUAGGGAGUGUUCGGCGUCGCGAGUUUGGACUUAUAUGCAUCAACUCCGAAUCAUGUCUUUGGUCAAAUGUUGGGUUUGCUCGGCUCCUGUGUUUUGCUGCCUUACGUUCCGCUCUAUCGACUAAUGCGGCACUAGGAGAACUACUGCGAUUGUGCCCCGGUUCGGCCAGGCGAGCAUCUCAGUAGAGAAAGCCGAAAACUGACUGUCAUGAUAUAGCGUGAGACUGGUCAACCAAUCGAUGACCCGCCGGAAUCUUUAGGAUUCCUCCGCAUUAACAAAGGGCUGUUUCCCGGCCAGGCACACAUGCGCCCCGAAUUCGGGUGAGCGUGGUGCCCCUAGGGGUUAUAUAGUAGCCCCACUGUCAAACUCCUAUGGCUAAGUGAAAGUGAUAAAGCAUUAUAGUCUGGUUGCCUAGUUCGUUGCGCUAUCACCUCCUUAAUAGUACCAAGACGUUGGAUCAAGUGUGAAAACGCGCCUUCUGUGAACACCCCCGCAUUAUAUGCGUGGGGGCUGAAGCCGAAGACUGCCAUCUUUCAGGUUAUAUACACAUAUACAUUAACGGCCGCACAGGAGGUAUUCUAAUUCUUGAAGGCACAAGUAUAAAAAGCUUUUAUAUUCCAUCGAAACAUUGUUUUACAAUAAUACAUGUUAUUCGAACAUAACAUCCUUCGAGCAUUGCGUCUCUAUUAAAUGAGCGCCCUGUAGAACUUCCUGAAAAUAGUGCUCGGCAGGUACUCGUCUCUCGUCUGAAUCUUGGGAUGCAGCAACAAUGGCCUUCAUCUCCGCCCAGUAUGUCUUGACACGGGCAAGAGCCAUCUGUGCACCCUCUAUGCACGCUGACCUCUUCAUUGCAUUAAUAUGCAGCACCACACCCAAGAACUAUUGCACCAAGUUAAAAUAACUCUUCGGCUCGGGCCUUUUCGGCCACAGAUGACUCACAACAUACUUCAUCGCGAGUCCGGAUAACCUAUUCAGCUCCGCCCAUGCGGCCAAACGAUCUGUUAAUGGAAGUGGGCGCUCUGGGUUGUGGAACUGCGACCAAAAAAGCUUUUCCACUUUGUGGUCCUCUUGAUCGCAGAAGUGUUCGCCGCACUCCACUGCCGGUCCAACGGAGCAUAUUUAGGAUCCCCAAACUUCAUCCGUAGCAUAAAGGGCUUUCCAGCCGUGAUAUCUCCAGCCUGACGUAGCUCCUCCUUCAUAGCUCUCAUCGCAGAGCGAGUAUCCUUGGCCUCGGUAGUGACCUUUUCUAGGUCCUUCUGUGCCACCCGAUCUUCUUUUUCAAGAAGCUUGCAGCGGUCGGCAGCAUUCUUCAACUUUACAGCCAUCUCAGCCACUUCCUUCUUGCUUUGGCUGUGAGCAGCCUGUUCGGCUUUUAGCUCUUCAGCUGCCUUUAAGGCAGCCACAUCGCUUUUCCGGGCCUGCUCCUUGGAUCGGGCAAGUUCCGUCCGAAGGUUCUCCGUGGCAGCGGCACCAUCUGCAUCAAGGACACAUGUUGUAAGGUACGGGCAUCAAGAUCCUCUUACCAGGUGUCUUCGGAGAAAUUACAUACCUUAUGCCACGUCCAGGCGCUUGUUGACAAGCGCGAUGUCGGCAUCUGCCACGUCAAGUUGCCGCUUUAGCUUGGCAAAUUCAUCAGUCCGGCUAGCCACCGGACACUUCGCCACCUAGAUAGGAAAGGCGGCAUAUUAUACCUGGGAUUAUGAUUCUCAGUGCACCGUCAUUUUUUGACAACGCACAGAGUCUCAGGGGCUACUAUCUAUACAUGGCGCAUCUUAUAUAUGCGGAUCUGUCAAAAGGUACAUCAUUUUGUGUACCUCAAAACCUGUCAGUAAACUUCUGACGGCCUCGUACAACCCGCUCUUCGUGGAUGAAAUCCUUCCAAUCACCGUAUCCAUCAACGCACGGUGUUCUUCUGGGAUAGACGCUCGCCCGAGCAGAUCCUUUAGCUCCUUCGACCGUGCACCGGACGGUGCCGGACUCGUACGAUGGCCUUUUUCGAAGGCCGGACACGGAGGGCCUUGGGGGGGCAUACGACUGCCUUCCGGCCCUGCCGGAUUUGGAGAAACCCUCUGUGACGACACCUUAGGGCCGCCCGCCUCGCAAAGCGGUACGGCAGGGGGAGGCAUUCCGCUCUCCAUAAUCUCCGAACGAAGAUCCCCUGAAGAUGAGCUCUGUUGAGAAGGGCUGAGAUCCAAACUACAAGGUAAAAUUUCGGUUAUCUUCCUCAGAAAAUAGAACAGGGAUGUCUCUCAUUUUGAAACCCCCCCUCUUUACUUACGGCUCGGUAGAGAGCUGAUACCCUCGGGGGCGCAAUGCGACCGAGGCACCCCCCCGGCGCCAGACCCUCUGACAAAGAUUUCUUCCCCCGCUUUGAGACCAUGGCCUCCGGGUCUUCAGAGGCGGUCCUCUUCUUCCCCUGGUUAGAGGAAUUCUCGAUUCCUCCUUUCCUGACAACCUCCUUCGGGGAGGCGGUAGCUUCCUUGCUCCCCUCUUCGCCUUCGUUCAAAGGCGCAACCUCCAGCAUCCUGGUUAACACGGGAUCCGAUGUAGUCUCAGGGAGGGGGGCCGGACAUCUGAAUAGCUUUGCUUUCGCUAUCCACUCCUGUUUAAGGGACAUCUCUUUUAAGGUCAAUUUCAUGAUAAAUACAUGGAUAGCGUGUUCAGGUACAGGGCUACUUACUUGAGUAUCCGGGCAAUUGCAGCUCAGACCUGCAUCCUCGGACGAGUCCGGACACAUUGCUUGUGAUCCGAAGAACAAUUUGUACAUCUCCAUGGGCGUCGCAGCCACAAAAAGUUGGAGGGAUCAUGGUCCUUCCGGAUUAAACUCCCAUAGGCGGAGGGGGCGACGUUUGCAGGGCAGGAUGCGGCGAAUCAACAUAACCUGCAUCACUACGGCCAGAUUGAUAUCUCUAUCUAGGAGAUCUCGAACGCGGCCCUGCAACAAGGGCACGUCCUUGGAUGACCCCCAGUUAAGCCCUUUAUUGACCCAUGAUGCUAGUUCUGGUGGGGGACCCGAGUGAAACGCAGGUGGCGCCACCCAUUUGGUGCCCCUGGGAGCUGUGAUAUAAAACCACUCUCAUUGAAAAGAGCCCUCGGGCCAUGGAGCGUCGGCAUUCUUGCUUAUAACAGCACCUCCGCACUCUGCGUGCUGCCCCUCGAUCAUCUUCGGCUCUAAUUUGAAGGUCUUAAGCCACAAUCCGAAGUGAGGAGUAAUACGAAGGAAGGCCUCGCACACGACAAUGAAAGAUGAGAUAUGAAGGAUGGACUCCGGAGCUAAGUCAUGAAAUUCCAGCCCGUAAUAAAACAUGAGCCCCCUCACGAAGGGGUCCGUCGGGAAGCCUAGCCCCCGAAGGAAGUGAGACGAGAACACCAUGCUCUCACCAGGCUUGGGAGUGGGAAUAACCUGCCCUUGAGCAGGCAGCCUAUGCGAGAUUUCGCCGGCUAGAUACCUGGCAUCUCUUAGCUUUAGCACGUCUUCUUCCGCAACGGAGGAAGGCAUCCACCGGCCUUGAAGGUCGGAGCCGGACAUCGUCGGAGGUCCGAAGCGCCUGAAUCUGGAGCUUUGCGUGUUGGAACUCAAGGUGAGAGGCGAAUUUGAUUGAGAUUGAAAGAAAGGAGUCGAGCCUUGGUAUCUUUAUAAAGAGGUUGAAUACCAAGAGCCCUCCCCCUGGCCGUUUGGGACUCGCCUUCGAUUGAGGAGACAUACCAACAGGCACGAUUGGGUUACCCACGCCCGUAUUGGUGAGAAUCCCGGGAUAAGGAGACACGAUCUCUGCUUUGACAAGACGUGCCAAGGAAACCGCCUUGCUAAACGCGCUGAGGUGGGACAGUAAAACGAUUCAAAUAAAGGCUUGGUCGUGGCGUGAUGUCACGCUGCGGAAUACGUCAGCAUAUUAGAUUUGUACAAAUAUUAUUCACUCUACGGUGGUAUGUGGAACUUAUUUUGCAGAGCCGGACACUAUCCUUGUGUUCAAAAUCUUCUAUGAAGUAUUCGGAGCAGGAACCCGCCUUGCAAUGCCGAAGACAAUCUGCGCGCAGGACUAUGAAGCCUGGUUCAGGGGCUACUAAGGGAGUCCUGGAUUAGGGGGUGUCCGGAUGACCAGACUAUAACCUUUGGCUGGACUCCUGGACUAUGAAGAUACAAGAUUGAAGACUUCGUCCCAUGUCCAGAUGGGACUUUCCUUGGCGUGGAAGGCAAGCUUGGCCAUACGGAUAUGUAGAUCUCCUCCCAUUGUAACCGACUCUGUGUAACCCUAGCCCUCUCCGGUGUCUAUAUAAACUGGAGGGUUUUAGUCUGUAGGACGAACAACAAUCAUACCAUAGGCUAGCUUCUAGGGUUUAGCCUCUCUGAUCUCGUGGUAGAUCUACUCUUGUACUACCCAUAUCAUCAAUAUUAAUCAAGCAGGAGUAGGGUUUUACCUCCAUCGAGAGGUCCCGAACCUGGGUAAAGACAUCGUGUCCUUUGUCUCCUGUUACCAUCCGCCUAGACGCACAGUUCUGGACCCCCUUCCUGAGAUCCACCGGUUUUGACACCGACACCCGUUCACUCUGAAAUUCUUGGAACUAUUCAAAUGUUUCAGACUUGUGUUUCAUUAAGUUGAUAUACCCAUAUCUGCUCAAAUCAUCUGUGAAGGUCAAAAAAUAACGAUACCCGCCACGAGCCUCAACACUCAUCAGAACGCAUACAUCGGUAUGUAUUAUUUCCAAUAAGUCAUUGAAUUGCUCCAUUGUUCUGGAGAAUAGUGUUUUAGUCAUCAUGCCCGUGAGGCAUGGUUCACAAGUAUCAAAUGAUUCAUAAUCAAGUGAUUCCAAAAGUCCAUCUGCAUGGAGUUUCUUCAUGCGCUUUACAACGAUAUCAGAAACGGCAGUGCCACAAAUAUGUUGCACUAUCACUAUCAACUUUGCAUCUUUUGGCUUCAAUAUUAUGUAUAUGUGUAUUACUACGAUUGAGAUUCAAUAAACCAUUCACAUUAGUUCUACGACAAUGGAAGAUUUUAUUCAUGUAAACAGAAUAACAAUUAUUCUCUAACUUAAAUGAAUAACCGUAUUGCAAUAAACAUGAUCUAAUCAUAUUCAUGCUCAACACAAACACCAAAUAACAUUUAUUUAGGUUCAAUACUAAUCCCGAAAGUAUAUGGAGUGUGCGAUGAUGAUCAUAUCAAUCUUGGAACCACUUCCAACACACAUUGUCACUUCACCCUCAACUAGUCUCCAUUUAUUCUGCAACUCCUGUUUCGAGUUACUAAUCUUAGCAACCGAAUAAGUAUCAAAUACCUAGGGGCUACUACGAGCACUAGAAAGGUACACAUCAAAAACAAGUAUAUCAAAUAAAACCUUUGUUCACUUUGUCAUCCUUCUUAUCCGCCAAAUAUUUGGGGUAGUUCCGCCUCCAGUGACCACUUCCUUUGUAGUAGAAGCACUCAGUUUCAAGCUUGGGUCCAGCUUUGGGUUUCUUCCCAGGAGUGACAACUUGCUUGCCAUUCUUCUUGAAGUUCCCUUUCUUUCACUUUGCCCUUUUCUUGAAACUAGUGGUCUUGUUUAAGUACCAACACUUGAUGCUUUUUCUUGAUUUCUACCUUCGUCGAUUUCAGCAUCACGAAGAGCUUCGGAAUCUCUUUCAUCAUCCCUUGCAUAUUAUAGUUCAUCAUGAAGUUCCAGUAACUUGGUGAUGGUGACUAGAGAACUCUGUCAAUCACUAUCUUAUCUGGAAGAUUAACUCCCACUUGAUUCAAGCGAUUGUAGUACCCAGACAUUCUGAGCACAUGCUCACUAGCUGAGCUAUUCUCCUCCAUCUUUUAGGUGAAUUCCUUGUCAAAGGUCUCAUACCUCUCGACACGGGCAUGAGUCUGAAAUACCAAUUUCAGCUCUUGAAACAUCUCAUAUGCUCUGUGGCAUUCAAAGAAUUUUGAAGUCCCGGUUCUAAGCUGUAAAGCAUGGUGCACUAAACUAUCAAGUAGUCAUCAUAUUGAGCUAUCCAAACAUUCAUAACGUCUGCAUGCGCUCCUAUAAUAGGUCUGUCACCUAGUGGUGCAUCCAGGACAUAAUUCUUUUGUGCAACAAUGAGGAUAAACCUCAGAUCAUGGAACGAGUCCGCAUCACUGCUACUAUCAUCUUUCAACUUAGUUUUCUCUAAGAACAUAUCAAAAAAUAUAGGGGAGCUGCAAUGCGAGCUAUUGAUCUACAACAUAAUUUGCAAAUACUAUCAUGACUAAGUUCAUGAUAAAUUAAAGUUCAAUUAAUCAUAUUACUUAAGAACUCCCACUUAGAUAGACAUCCCUCAAGUCAUCUAAAUUAUACGUGAUCCAAAUCAACUAAAUCAUGUCCGAUCAUGACAUGAGAUGGAGUAGUCAUCAAUGGUGAACAUCUCUAUGUUGAUCAUAUCCACUAUAUGAUUCACGUUCGAUCUUUCGGUCUCCAGUGUUCCGAGGCAAUAUGCAUAUGCUAGGCUCGUGAAGUUUAACCUGAGUAUUCUGCAUGUGCAAAACUGGCUUGCACCCAUUGUAUUUGAACAUAGAGCUUAUCACACCCGAUCAUCAUGUGGUGUCUCAGCACGAAGAACUUUCGCAAUGGUGCACACUCGGGGAGAACACUUAUACCAUGAAAUUUUAGUAAGGGGUCGUCUUAUAAUGCUAUGGCCGUACUAAGCAAAAUAAGAUGCAUAAAGAUAAAUAUCACAUGCAAUCAAAAAUAUGUGACAUUAUAUGGCCAUCAUCAUCUUGUGCUUUUGAUCUCCAGCACCAAAGCAAAGUCAUGAUCUCCAUUGUCACCGGCUUGACACCUUGACCUCCAUCAUAGCAUCGUGGUCCUCUCGCGAACUAUUCCUUCUACGACUAUCGCUACCGCUUAGUGAUAAAGUAAAGCAAUUACAUGGCGUUUGUAUUUCAUACAAUAAAGUGACAACCAUAAGGCUCCUGCCAGUUGCCGAUAACUUUUAACUUUCACAAAACAUGAUCAUCUCAUACAACAACGUAUAUCACAUCAUCUCUUGACCAUAUCACAUCACAACACGCCCUGCAAAAACAAGUUAGACGUCCUCUACUUUGUUGUUGCAAGUUUUACGUGGCUGCUACGGGCUUCUAGCAUGAACCGUGCUUACCUAUGGCACAAAAGCCACAACGGUGAUUUAUCAAGUUUGUUGUUUUAACCUUCACAAGGACCGGCUGCAGUCAAAUUCGAUUCAACUAAAGUUGGAGAAACAGACACCCGCCAGCCACCUUUAUGCAAAACUAGUCGCAUGUCUAUCGGUGGAACCGGUCUCAUGAACUUAGUCAUGUAAGGUUGGUUCGGGCCGCUUCAUCCAACAAUACCGCCGAAUCCAAAUAAGACAUUGCUGGUAAGAAGUUGACGAUCACUGCCCACAACUCUCUGUGUUCUACUCAUGCAUAUCAUCUACGCAUAGACCUGGCUCGGAUGCCACUGUUGGGAAACGUAGCAUGCAAUUUCAAAAAAAAUCCUACGCUCACGUAUGAUCUAUCUAGGAGAUGCAUAGCAACAAGAGGAGGAGAGAGUGUCCACGUACCCUCGUAGACCGAAAGCGGAAGCGUUAGCUUAACGAGGUCGAUGUAGUCGAAUGUCUUCUCGAUUUAACCGAUCAAGCACCGAACGUAUGGUACCUCCAAGUUCUGCACACGUUCAGCUCGAUGACGUCCCUCGAACUCUUGAUCCACCAAAGUGUCAAGGGAGAGUUACGCCAGCACGACGGCGUGGUGACGGUGAUGGUCAAGUGAUCCACGCAGGGCUUCGCCUAAGCACUACGACAAUAUGACCGGAGGAGUAAACGGUGGAGGGGCACUGCACACGGCUAAGAACAAUUGAUGUGCUUAGAGGUGCCCCCCGCCCCCAUAUGUAAAGGAGGGAGAGGGGAGGAGGCCGGCCUAGGCCGCGCCAAGUGGGGAGGACUCCCACUUGGACUCCUAGUCCUAUUCGGUCCCCUUUCCUUCUAUCGGGGGGGGAGGAGGGGGGAGGAGAGGGGGUUGGAGAAGGACAGGGGGUGGCGCCCCCUUCCCUACUCCAAUUCGGCCUCCUUCCUUGUGGGGGGCGCACCAGCCCCUUGUGGUCUGGUUAGCCUCCCUCCUAUGGCCCAUAUGGCCCAUAUCUUCCACCAGGGGGUUUCGGUAACCCCUCCGGUACACCGAUAUGUACCCGAUACACUCUGGAACCCUUCCAGUGUCUGAAUAGUACCUUCCAAUAUAUCAUUCUUUACCUAUGGACCAUUUUGAGACUCCUCGUCAUGUCCGUGAUCUCAUCCGGGACACCGAACAACCUUCGGUCAGCAAAACACAUAACUCAUAUAAUACAUAUCAUCAUCGAACGUUAAGCGUGCAGACCCUACGGGUUUCAGAACUAUGCAGACAUGACCGAGACACCUCUCUGGUCAAUAAAUAACAGCGGAACCUGGAUGCUCAUAUUGGUUCCCACAUAUUCUACGAAGAUCUUUAUCGUUCGAACCGCUAUGUCAACAUAUGUUAAUCCCUUUGUCAUCGGUAUGUUACUUGCCCAUGAUUCGAUCGUCGGUAUCUUCAUACCUAGUUCAAUCUCGUUACUGGCAAGUCUCUUUACUUGUUCCGUAAUACAUCAUCCCGCAACUAACUCAUUAGUCACAUUCCUUGCAAGGCUUCAUGUGAUGUGCAUUACCGAGAUGGCCCAAAGAUACCUCUCCGAUACUCAGAGUGACAAAUUCUAAUCUCAGUCUAUACCAACCCAACAAACACCUUCGUAGUUACCUGUGGAGCAUCUUUAUAACCACCCAGUUAUGUUGUGACGUUAGAUAGCACACAAGGCAUUCCUCCGGUGUUCGGGAAUUGCAUAAUCUCAUAGUCAGAGGAAUAUGUAUUUGACAUGAGGAAAGCAGUAGCAAUAAAACUGAACGAUCAUUAUGCUAUGCUAACGGAUGGGUCUUGUCCAUCACAUCAUUCUCCUAAUGAUGUGAUCCCGUUCAUCAAAUGACAGCACAUGUCCAUGACUAGGAAACUUAACCAUCUUUGAUCAACGAGCUAGUCAAGUAGAGGCGUACUAGGGACAUAGUGUUUUGUCUAUGUAUUCACACACAUGUGUAAAGUUUCCGGUUAAUACAAUUCUACCAUGAAUAAUAAACAUUUAUCAUGAAAAAGAAAAUAUAAAAUAACAACUUUUAUUAUUGCCUCUAGGGCAUAUUUCCUUCACAUAUGCCCAAUCAAGGCAGUCCUGGAUAAUUCUAGCUUUGAGGAACCCAUGUUGAUUGAUAUGUAGCAUCUAGAGAAUAACUCUUUGUAAUCUAUUGGCCAACAGUUUGGUAAUUAUCUUAAGUACUCCAUUGAGUAGUGAGAUUGGUCUGAAAUCAUUGGGUGAUACUGGCACUUGCUUUUUUGGAAUCAAUGUAAUGAAGGAUGUAUUGAUGCUUUCAAGAUUUAUAUUACCAUCACGAAAAGCCAUGAUAAGCUCAGUGAUAUCCACUUUAAUGAUGUACCAACAAGCUUUGAUGAACUCAUUAUUAAAUCCAUCAUGACCUGGAGAUUUAUUUGUAGGAAUGUUUUUUACCACUUCAUCACUUUCCUCCUGUGUAAAAGGCUUCUCAAGAUCUUGCAAGAUCUCAGGCUCAACUCUAUGUUCAUCUAGAUCAUUCAAAUCAAAGUGCAUUGUGUGACCAUUAGAUUGUCCCAAUCUUUUUUUAAAAGCCUCCCAAAGAAUAGUUGUUUUUUUCUUCAUGGUCAAUAAUUUUCACUUGAUCAUCAUUCAGUAGUAUAGCAAUUUUAUUAUGUCUAUGAUUAAUAGUGGCUUUGGUAUGAAAGAAUUUGGAGUUCUCAUCACCAAACUUAUGACCUUUUAUUUUCCCUCUUUGCUUCCAAUAAAUCUUCUGGCUAUUAAGUACUGGUAAUAGGAGUUCCUUCAGCAUAGUUCUAAAAUUCCCAUCAAAUACUGAGAGAUAUCUAUAUUCCUCAAUCAAGUCCCAAAGGAAAAUACAAGCAUUUAAAUCCUCAAACUGCUUUUUAAGACAUGACAAACUCUUAGCCCACAAUUUUAAAGAUCUUCUCAAAUUCUUAAACUUUGCGUUGAUUUUUUUGGCAGGAUCAGUGUAACAAACAUGAAUAUUCCAUGCUACUUGAACAAUGUCUUUGAAAGAGCUGUGUUUCAACCAAUAAUUUUCAAACCUGAAUACCUUGGACUUGGGAAUGCAAACCAAACCAAUAUUCCACAGUACACAAUUUUUAUUUGCAGACCGAUUUCAAAAUUGUCGCCUCUAUUCAUUUCCGUUGUCUAAUCUACUAGCCAAUUAAGUCUGAACCGAGAACCGAACCUAAAUCUCAGUCGACCGAAUCUUUGGUUAGGAAUUUUCCCAAAUGACCAAUCGGCCGUCUUUUUUUGAAAACUGAAUUUCUUCAAAAGCUGAAGAACCAAACAAAACGGUUCGGUUACACAGAAUGCCCAGCUCUCCAAACGCCUCCACUUUCUCCCAGUUGAACAUGUGAUAUUUCUUACACCGAGUCUUCUUGCCAAAGCAAUCUUCUCCCAAAACAAUCAAAUAUUUUCUUUACUCCUACUAGCACAUAUGCCCUUGCGUUGCAACGGGAAAAAUUGAUAUUUUAUGCAAACAUAAUGUCCCAUAAUAUCAGAUUCACUAUGAAGAACAUGCUGCAACGCAACAUCGUUCUACAAAAUGAACAUAAAAAAUACGUUGCAAUUUAGCCGUGUUCAUAUUUUCUAUGUCGGGCAUAAUCUCCCACUGAUUUCAUCUAAGUUUUAUCCCUUUUAAUGGCAUUUAAGUAUUAUCCUUUCGUUAGUUACCAUGACAUCCUGAUCUGUUUUAGUCGGGAAUCGGAUCCUUACUUUUCUAAUUUAGUAGCCCCAACACAUUGAAGCCUACAAUUUUUUUUAAUUAUCCUACCUUUUUACCUCAAAUCCUUCAUGUAAAAUUUAUUAAGAUCACAAUCUUUCUUUUAUUUAUUCCACCGGUUUACCCAUAGUCCUUUCUUUAAUUAGCCACAUCCAUUUAAAUAUUCUAUUCAAGCCCACAAUCCUUCCUUUAUUAGCUCAUUCACUUAGUUAGAUCGCUGUAAACAUGAUGAUUGUCACUCGUAUAUUUAGAGCGAGUUUGGAUUAGUAAAUGUGAAAGACGCAUAGGUCGUUGGUAGUUACAUCGAAGAGCCAGACAUGAGAUCACGUGUUUAAUUUCCACAAUGUUGAUUUAAUUUGUCCCAAUUAUUUUUCGUGGUUUCUAUAAAAGCCCAUAAAAGGUCCAUCAAUGUACAAGUACCUGGCCCAAAUCGCUUAGCGUGUAAACCAAACGAAAAAUACUAAAUCAAACCAAGAAUACCUAUUCCCUUUAAUUGUAGGUAUAGAUAUAGAUUGGCAAGCCAUAAAAGGAAAGCAUGCACAACAGUUUAUAUUUUCUAGACUACUUACUCUGGAGCAAAGCCCCGGUCCUUUAUUCAAAACCAAAUAGUAUGUACAGGGGUCAAGUAGUCAGCUACAUAUACAAAACAUACCUACUUACCUAGCAAAAAGGAAAACUAAGGGAGGCUGGCAAUCUAAGCCAGAAGAUUCGGCCUACCACAAGCCCUGACUCUACAAGAAAUAAGGGUUAUAUCAUGUACAAAUUUACAACACCAUGAGCCAAAAGUGGCAUAGCUCCAAAUGUCCUUCCAUUUAUGACAAUCCAGAUAUUUCAUUUCCAAGCAGAGUCAGCAUAACCUCGAAGAAGAAAGGAUGGGCAAACCUCAUGUUUGCCCCGACAAUGCAUGGUCUGAUCUCAGACCCAUGUGCCGGAUCUAUCUGCAUGUAAUUCCAGAUCCUAAGGCUGAACUAGCGGGAGAAGAAGAGAAGUCUGUAACACAUUACACAUGGGUUUAUUGCUCAAAGAAGCAGUGAGAAAAGAGAACAUGCCUCCAAUGGAUGCUAAUUUUCCUUGCCAAUAUUCUAAUCUUACAAAAAAACAUGCCAUCAUUAAAAUAAAUUUAUGGAUGGUUGAGCCUUUGAGGCUUUGAGGGAAGAAUCCAACAACAAAUAUGCCCAAUUUUCCCUUUGAGAUUUACUUUUGCCCCUGACAAAUACAGGCCAUGAAUCGUCAAUACUAAAUCAACAUCAGAAAACAGGCACAAGGCUUGACUUUAUAGAUAAAUCGACGAGCUCCACAAGAACACAAUUAUUGAAUACAAAGGUUCAGCAAAAAAGUGAAAUAGUUCACCAGCCAACAUAAAAAAACACGCAAAUGGCCUCAGUUUAUAUAGAUAAAUCGACGAGUUCCACAAGAACACGAUUAUUGAAUACAGAGGUUCAGCAAGCAAACAGGAAAUAGCUCGGGCUGGCGCAACAGCAUAGGUAAGCCCAAAAUAAAGAAAAAGAAAACAAACUACGGAGCCGGAAUCUGGUGAGCCACCCUCCGGAAGCCAAGAAGGAGCCCAUCCAGUCCUCCGUGAUCCCGACGCCAAGCGAGCACCUGCCAUUGCAGAAUCGAUCGAGGCUACUAGCUAAUUCAACAUCCCCGGCAGUGAGCUGAAACGGUCACAUCCCUUCAUUUUAUUGCGUCCAUCCGAUUAUUGAUUUCUUGAAAUAAACAGCAUGCCAUGCAUUCAGCAUUGUUUUAUUUAUUUGAACAUAGCACAACCAUCAUAUGGAAACGGAAGCAGGCACGGCUGGCGAGUUAUUGGUAGUCUUAACCAAGACUUCUGGGACGGAGUUGAACUUGGCAAACCACUUGGCUGACUUCUUGAGCUUGCGCUUGUUGCUGUCCGUCUUGUCGAUGUAGACGAGGCUGAAUCGUGUGCUGUAGCCAAGGGUCCAUUCGAAGUUGUCGAUCAGACCCCAGGUGAAGUGGCCCCGCACGUCCGCGCCCUGGCUGAAAACACACAUACAUGAAAGCGCGCUUAGCUAGACUUCAACCAUGUGUCUGUGUGUAUGUAUACAUGUGCAUGCAUGAUAACAUACGUAGUACUACCUCGGUCCUGGUUUAUUGGUCCCUAUUAUAUUUCGUGUCAAAUUUGACCUUAGAUUGAACUAAUAAAAUGUUCAUGCAUGUCAUAAAAAAUUAUGCCAUUGAAAACUAUGUUCAAAUACGAAUCCAAUGAUAUAAUUUUUGUUGACAUGCAUUAACAAUUUGUUAGUUAAAUCUUUGAUCAAAAUUUGACACACAUUACAAAGGGGUCCAAUAAACCAGCACCGAGGCAGUACCUUACAUUAAUCAAUGUGCUAUUAGAGUAAUGUAGGUAAGAGUGCAAAGUAAGUGAAACAAAAAAGAUAGGAUUUUAGGGUGGGUAGUUACUCUAUUGCGUCCUUGACGGCUGAGAUGUGGCGCUGGAGGUAGUCUAGCCUUUUCCAGUCAUCCAAUGGAUCCGGCAUGCUUUCGUCGCCUUCCACGUCAGCGAUUCCUAAGUGCAUCCAGGAAAUCCAUUUCUCUCCAAAUCCCUUUGCUCUGAGUAUAUCAAUAAUUGUCUGAUGUUCAAUAGUGUCAAAAGCUUUCUCAAAAUCCAGUUUAAUCACCAUCAUCUCUUCUUUUGAUUUAUGACAUUGAUGGAUAUAUUCAUAUGCCCCACCAAGGCAGUCCUGGAUCAUUCUAGCUUUGAGGAACCCAUGUUGAUUGAUAUGUACCAUCUAGAGAAUAAUUCUUUGUAAUCUAUUGGCCAGUAGUUUGGUAAUUAUCUUAAGUACUGCAUUGAGCAGUGAGAUUGAUCUGAAAUCAUUGGGUGAGACUGGCACUUCCUUUUUUGGAAUCGAUGUAAUGAAGGAUGUAUUGAUGCUUUCAAGAUUUAUAUUACCAGCAUGAAAAGCCAUGAUGAGCUCAGUGAUAUCCACUUUAAUGAUGUUCCAACAAGCUUUGAUGAACUCAUUAUUAAAUACAUCAGGACCUGGAGAUUUAUCUGUAGGAAGGUUUUUUACCACUUCAUCAAUUUCCUCCUGUGUAAAAGGCUUUUCAAGAUCUUGGAAGAUCUCAGACUCAACAAUAUGUCCAUAUAGAUCAUUCAAAUCAAAGUGCAUUGUGUGACCAUUAGAUUGUCCAAAUGUUUUUUUAAAGCCUCCCAAAGAAUAGUUGUUUUCCUUCAUGGUCAGUAAUUUCCACUUGAUCAUCAUUUAGAAGCAUAGCAAUUUUAUUAUGUCUAUGAUUAAUAGUGGAUUUGGUAUGAAAGAAUUUGGUGUUCUCAUCACCAAAGUUAACACGUUUUAUUUUCCCUCUUUGCUUCCAAUAAAUCUUGUGAUUCUUAAGUAAUGUCAAUAGGAAUUCCUUCAGCAUAGACCUACAAUUCCCUUCAAAUACUAAGAGAUAUUUAUAUUCCUCAAUCAAGUCCCAGAGGAAAAUACAAGCAUUUAAACCCUCAAACUGCUUUUUAAGAAAUGACAAACUCUUGGCCCACAAUUUUAAAGAUCUUCACAAAUUCUUAAACUUUGCAUUGAUUUUUUUGGCAGGAUCAGUGUAACCCACAGGAAUAUUCCAGGCUGCUUGAACAAUGUCUUUGAAAGAGUUCUGUUUCAACCAAUAAUUUUCAAAGCUGAAUACCUUGGACUUGGGAAUGCAGACCAAACCAAUAUUCCACAAUACACAAUGUUUAUUUGCAGACCAAUUUCAGAAGUGUCGCUUCUAUUCAUUUCCGUUCUCUAAUCUACUAGUAAAUUAAGUCUGAACCGAGAACUGAACCUAAAUUCCGGUCCACCGAAUCUUUGGUUAGGAAUUUUCCCAAUGACCAAUCGGCCAUCCUUUUUUGAAGACCGAAUUUCUUCAAAAGCUGAAGAACCGAACCGAACGGUUCAAUUACAUAGAAUGCCCAGCUCUCCAAACGCCUCCACUUUCUCCCAGUUGAACAUGUGAUAUUUCUUACACCGAGUCUUCUUGCCAAAGCAAUCUUCUCCCAAAACAAUCAAAUAUUUUCUUUACUCCUUUUGGCAAGCCAUAAAAGGAAAGCAUGCACAACGGUUUAUAUUUUCUAGACUACUUACUCUGGAGCAAAGCCCCGGUCCUUUAUUCAAAACCAAAUAGUAUGUACAGGGGUCAAGUAGUCAGCUACAUAUACAAAACUUACCUACUUAUUACCUAACAAAAAGGAAAACUAAAGGAGGCUGGCAAUCUAAGCCAGAAGAUUCGGUCUAUCACAAGCCCUCAUUCUACAAGAAAGAAGGGUUAUAUCAUGUACUCCCUCUGUUCCGAUUUACUCGUCGUGGUUUUAGUUCAAAUUUGAACUAAAACCAUGACGAGUAAAUCGGAAUGGAGGGAGUACAAAUUUACAACACCAUGAGCCAAAAGUGGGAUAGCUCUGAUUGUCCUUCCAUUUAUGACAAUCCAUAUAUUCCAUUUCCAAGCAGAGUCAGCAUAACUUCGAAGAAGAAAGGAUGAGCAAACCUCAUGUUUGCCCCGACAAUGCAUGGUCUGAUCUCAGACCCAUGUGCCGGAUCUAGCUAUCUCCAAGUAAUUGCUGAUCCUAAGGCUGAACUAGCGGGAGAAGAAGAGAUGAAGUCUGUAACACAUUACACAUGGGUUUAUUGCUCAAAGAAGCAGUGAGCAAAGAGAUCAUGCCUCCAAUACUAAUUUCCUUGCCAAUAUUCUGAUCUUAAAAACAUUAGAAAACAAGCACAAGGCCUCACUUUAUAUAGAUAAAUCGACGAGUUCCACAAGAACACGAUUAUUGAACACAAACGUUCAGCAAGCAAAAGGGAAAUAGUUCGGGCUGGGGCGGCAGCACAGAUAAGCCCGACAUAAAGAAAAAGAACACAACCUACAGAGCCCGCCGGAACCGGAAGCUGGCGAGCCACACCCUCCGGAGGCCAAGAAGGAGCCCAUCCAAUACGCCGUGAUCCCGACGCCAAGCGAGCAUCCGCCAUUACAGAAUCGAUCGAGGCUACUAAUUCAACAUCCCUGGCAGUGAACUGAAACGGCCACAUCCUCCCUUCAUUUUAUUGCACCCAUCCGAUUAUUAAUUUCUUCAAACUAACUGCAUGCCAUGCAUCCAGCCUUGGAUUAUUUGUUCGAACAUAGCACCACUUCGUUCUCCAUCAUACAGAAACGGAAGCAGCUGUCAUGGUUGCGUUGUUAUUGGUGGUCUUAAGCAAGGGUUUUGGGACGGAAUUGAACUUGGAGAACCACUUGGCCGACUUCUUGAGCUUGCGCUUGUUGCCGUCAUUCUUGUCGAUGUAGACAAGGCCGAACCGUGAGCUGUAGCCGAGGCUCCAUUCGAAGUUGUCGAUCAGACCCCACGUCAAGUGGCCCCGCACGUCCGCGCCCUGGCUGAAAGCACACAUACAUUUGAGUAAUCAGUGUGCUAUAUUAGGGUAUGUAUGUAUGUAGGUAGGUAAGAGUACAAAAUAAAUGAAAAAAAUAGGUAGGGUUUUAGCGUGGGUAGUUACUCUAUUGCGUCCUUGACGGCUGAGAUGUGGCGCUGGAGGUAGUCUAGCCUCUUCCAGUCAUCCAAUGGAUCCGGCAUGCUUUCGUCACCUUCCACGUCAGCGAUUCCUGCACACACACAAGUUAGAGGUAAUCCAUCACACUUCCUUUAAAAAAAACCUCCAAUGAACCAUUACAUCAUAUCUCCAUGGAUUAGGUUCUUGUCUGAUUUGAGGGAACUAGUGCCACUCGAACACAAAGAUUGUUUACAGAUUAGUGUGUGUCAAUCUUCAUGAGGAUUAGGGUAAUGAGGAUCAUGGAAAUUUGACUAGUUACUUUUGAUGUCAGAUUUUCAACCUUUUUAUUAACGGCAAGUCAACUAAAGUUUGAUAUGAACCGAUGACUGGUCAUUCGAUUACUACAAAAUCCAAUGCUAUAUACACACACACAUAUCACUACUUACCGUUCUCAGUGAUGAAGACAGGUGGGUUUCCGUAUUUCUCCUUCAUGAUCAGAAGGAGGUCCGUUAGGCCUUUUGGGUACAUGUAGAUCCAAUAAGUCCCGGUCUGCAAAUGGAUGUCCAAAAUUUUAAUUAGUAACGACAAAAAACUUCAGAUUUGUUUAAGCUUUAUUGCAGAAACAAAGCAUUAUCAUGUCUAUGCGACUUAACCAUUUUGUUCAAAAGUUUAACUAAAGUCCUGGCUGACUAGUUCUACCAUAAGAUUUUGGUGAAAAUAAUCUACAUUAUCACUAUCAUCAUAUAUGUCGUAUGCAAAAUUAACCAGGUAGUAGGAAGAUACAUACUAUAGGACCGAUGUCAUUCCCAUCACUCCCUGUAGCUGCUCGAACAGAAGGGAAAAAGUCCAGCAUUAGUAUGAGAACAUCAAAUUUCUCAAAGGAUCUGUAAAGUAUACUAACUAAGGUUUGUCCUCAACCAUAUUUUCUUACUUUCUGAACUGGCGUAAGCGUCGUCGGUGUUCAGCGUUGGCGUAAAGUCUGGUGACAUGUCAACAUGCUUGGAGAAUCUGGAGGUGUAAUAGUUGAGCCCCAUGAUGUCACAUGACGACGCUAGUUUCUCUUGCUCCUCCUUGGUGAACAUGGGUAGACGAUCUCCGAUCAGUGAUCUCAUGGAGAAGGGGUAGUCACCACGAACCACUGGCUCCAGGAACCAUCCCAUGUUGUAGUCAAUGGAUCUUUCCCGGGCCUGGUUGUCGAGGAAGGAGUCUUGGUAUGGCUCGUAACCCAUUACGUCAAAAGCCAUUCCUAUUUUGGAAUCUCCAUGCUGCAGUUGGUUCGUCAAUAUAAAUAAAUUAAAUAUACAAGUAGAUACCACUAGUUGUUACUUGUUUACUAGAUAAUGUAUAUCUCUCUCUUUGUGUAUGUACCAUGUUGUAAUGAGCUUUGAACAGCUGAACAGCCUCAGCAUGAGCUAGGAGGAUGUGGUGACCAGCAGUGUAUGGCUCUCUGAGCGAGUCUCCUUCUGGGACGGCACAAUCCAUCCCCGGCGAGCACCUCCCAGGAGCAUGAAUCCCCUCUCCGUAGGAGAAACAACAAUAUGUAUGUGGCUCGUUAAAGGUGAACCAGUUCUUCACCCUGUCACCGAAGUUCUUAAAGCACACCUCGGCGAAUUGUUUGUAAUCAUCUCUGGAAAAAAAAAUCAAACCCGAAGGAUGUUCAACAAAAUUGUUUCUUAGCUUAACAAUAAGUAGUUAUGUUAGUUUACUGAUGAAUCAUUGAAUGACAGUACAACAUUGUUUGUUAUCUGAAAAGAAACGUUUUUCUACUCAUGGUCCACUAAUGGCCUUCAUCCAAACCAAACAGUGUAUAAGCAAAAUCAUAUAUAAAGUAAUCUUGUUCAAAUCGAAUUUAACAAUAUUAUAGUUCGUAGUUUUUGUACAUAUCGUGAUUGCAAUUACUGAUCUUUCUUUAGAACCAUUUUCUUACAAAUCAAUGUACUGUUGUUU